GAGUAUAUUGUAGAGCAUGAUACGUGUACAUGAGCCAUAGGUUGAAUGACCUGAGUUUAAUGUUUUUAUUUUUGUGGGAUAUGAUCAGCAUUACUAAGAGGAAUAGAACUGAACCCCUUAUGUUGGGAACUGGAAUCAUACAUCAUUCUAUGAAAAGUAUGUGAAUAUAUGUUGGGUUCAUAAAACUGAGAUGUGAAGCAUGCGUAGGCAUCAGCUAACUAGGGUACGAAACUUUAAGCUGAGAUAAGAAUGGGUCAGGAAUCGUCUUCCCUUGCUACUUUUCUAGACACACUGGCACUACUACUGGAAUCUAAAAGCCUGACUGGCUUACUUGAUCUAUCAUCUCCCCCUUAGCUUAAAGCCAUCAACAUAAGUCGGUGAAUACUCUACUAAACUCUAAACUGCACUGCAAUCAUCGUAACAUACUUACACUAUGUAUGACACAUGCUUGCCUUACUAAACACAUUGUUUCUGUUUCUUCAUACACUACUAAUUUCAAUUCCCCUAAACUCGAUCCACACCUGUAUCUAAUCAAUAAACUUAAAUUCUAACUAGCACUGUUCAAGCCUACUGAUCUACCCUGGGUACAACUAUCCUUAUGAAUACAUAACCUAUUCAAUCUGAAUGAUAUUAUCCCAACUCUAUUACUACUAAACUCAUGGGUUUAUGCUUCUGAAUCUAGGCCUAUGCUAUCAUAGGAUUCUGAGAAGGGAUCUGAUAACCUAUCUAAAUUCGGGUUCAAGAAUGAGUUCUCAUGUUCACGAAUAAAAUCUAUACAACUUUGGGACAGAAUCGAACUGUUGGGAUAUCUUUGAACAUGUGGGCAAUCCCAUAGUUGUCUGCAGGGACUGUCUGAGAAAGCCCUAUCUUUAGGACUUUGAUCUUCACCAUUUCUAUUACCUCAGAAGUAAGGUAGAGUUGACAUGAAGGGUGUAUAAUGUGAAUCUACACGAUUUUCUUAAGGAACCUUUCUAUAGCAUGAUCUGAAACAUGAAAGAAGUGAAACUGUUCCUAAAACAUCUCAUAGCCUCCUGCACAUAACUGUUUUGCACAACACACCCAUGUACAAGACUCUACUAGAUGCGACUUUCAGACUUCCUAGGACACUGUUGAAACUUAGGCUCUGAUACCAAGUUUGUAAUGCCCUAAUUUUUUAAAAUAAAAUGCUACAUCGUGCUCAUGACUCCAAAGGACCAUGAUCUAGCCCAAGACUAAUAUCUGUACCUGUAUACUACAUAAUAUACAAUAAAAUGUGGAAACAUGAACUGAAUGGCCAUAAGGUUCAAAAGUGAAUAAACAUCUAAUAAAUAAUAUUUAAAAAUGGUAUAAUAACACCAAAGAAAAUCUAAAAUAACUGUCUAACAUGCUAUAGUCUGUAAGCCUCUAAAAUAAACUAAAUAAGGAGCUGAUGGGAUAUGUUCCCAACUAACCCCAUCUAAUGAAAUAAACUAAAAACUAAAAUGGUAAUGUAAUCAUCAUAUCCUCGAAGGAUGAGGACUCACAUUUGACUCUGACUGCUGAACAGGGAUGUUAGAUGCUCUGGAGAUCAUGCUUCUAAACUUAUAGUAUAAGACACCAUAACACAAAUGCGUUAGUACUUUGAAUAUACUAGUAUGAAAGUAAGGUAAGAUGAAUUCAAUAGGUUCAUAUGCAUUAGCAAUACUAAUUGACUGACUAACAAGAAUGUGAGAAUACAUGCAUGCAUACGUAACUAUAACUGACAUUGUGAUAGGAUUGAAUAUUAAGUUCUGACUAUUAAGUUUACUAAUAACAUAGAAUGACUGAUAUAUGAGGAACAGAUACUAUGUUACUGAUACUUGAAUAACUAUCUUUGACAGUUCUUAUUAUGAAGAACUGGUUUGGUAGACUGAAGUUGAAUACUGAUAACAUGAGUUUUGUAUAAUUGAUAUACUAUUAAUUUAGUUCGUGAUAACAUGAUUACUGAGUACUGAAUAAUGGUACAUGAGUGAAUGUGUCUGACAGCCCUAAUACUGAAUACUGCUAACAUGGGUGAUUGUAUCUAACAGUCCUGAAUCUGAUGGAACUAUCUGAGUUUUUUACUAUAUCGGAGUUGACUGUAUCAGACUAUCUUAAAAUCUGAAGAACAAUUUGAGUUCUUUUACUGAGACUGAUUCUGAAAUUAUGGGAAGUAGUCAUCUAACCGACAUGCCCCAAAUGUGCUAUAAUAGCUUAGCUGGGGUCCAAUCUGUGACCUGAUUGGAAGAGUGUCAAUACCACACCAUAGGUAAGGACAACAUGUGAGUGAUACUAGUAUAAUAGGUAACUCUAGUGAGAGCGGUAAGAACCCUAAUAUAGCAGGUUAAUCCCCCUAAUCUACCCUCAUAUAUCAUGCUAUGAUGUCUCAGCCUAUGUUGGCUGCAUAGUUCUAGAAUGGAAGGAUUGCUUCUAAGAAUCACACCCUUAUAUAACAGGUGAAUUCCUGUCCUUCGGUUCACUUAGUGCUAAUUUCUACUCCCAUCUGAAUAGACACUGAACAUGAUAUACUGAACUAAACAUGGACUGAUUUACUGAAUUCUGUGACUGACGGAAUACUACUAAUAUUUAACAACUAACUGAGUUCAUGAAAUUACUGAGAUUAAUAGGAAUACUGAGGUUACUGAGAUUAUUGAGUACUGAGAUCACUGAGAUCAAUGAUAUUAACUAAGAUUAAUUGAGUUUACUGAAUUUUCCUGAUUCACAUAAUUGACUGAAUUCUAUAGAUCAUGGCUUGACUGAGAGUAUCAUGAAAACAUAAUAUGGCUCUAGGCACAAAGCUAUAUUUUUUAGGUACAAGUACCCCCAGGACUCGAUGGAAGGAAACUGACAUAAUAUGACUUUCUUGAAUACAUGACCAUCAAUAAUAAUCCAUAAUACAAGAGUGAGGGAUUUCAUGAAGUACAUAGUAAUCAUAAUAUCUAACAUGAAUGGGAAUGCUUGAAAUCAAGUCAUAAACCUCAUGUUCCAAUAUCAUGGGCAUUCUGACAACAUAUACUAUUCAUAACAAAAGCAUGGAAACCAUUUAAACAUAAGGGAAUGGAAAGCAUGUUACAUUUUGUUCAUAUUGUAAUAAUUGGUUGAUAACUCAUGUGGUACUUCAUAAUCAUGAUCUUGUACAUAACAUGGAAUGCAUAUAGACACACUGUGAAACCAUUCUCCAAUCAUCAUGUAUAUUCCAUUAAUAUAUAUACUGCACAACAAUAACAUGUGAGCCCUUUGAACAUAAUAGACUAGCAUGAAUUUAUCAUAUAGUUCAUCCAUAAGCUAUAAUACAUGAUUCUAUCAUUCUAGGCAUUUUACCAAACACCUUACAUGCAUAACUUUGGGCAUAGGCAUACUUAUCAAUUAAAAAAUCUUAAGCCACAUAAAUUCAUGGAUUUCAACUAAUAUUCUCACAUAAUUCAUGAAAAUACAUCAAGAUACCAAAUAGCAACCAUCAACAUGGACAAAAUCAUACUACAACAAGAUAAUCACAAUUCAUGAUUUUAAAACUGGAUUCUUGAGCUCGAUGGAUGAAAGGGAUCCAUGGAUGAACACUAUGCAUACUUUAGAAGAUUCUCUCUUGAAUGUUCUUGAAGAAAUCCUUAGGUUUUUUUCUUGAUUUCUUGGCUAGGGUUCAUGCCCAUUUGAGAGAAAAUAUUUUGAUUUGGAGAAAAUUGGAUGAAAAAUAAAGUAUUUUGGUUAUUUAGGGUAUAAAUCCCUUGUUUGGAUGGGUUUGGGGUCAUGGGAAUUGUCUAAGUUUCCCCUGGAAUUUAUAAUAUGGAGCUGAAAUGCCAAAAAAAGACCUAUCCUGAUGCGUUGGAUGAUCCAUCUCUAUACCCACCGUGACACGGUGUAAUCGCAGUGAGCUACUGGAAUUGACAAUUGCCGAUUUAGUCUUCAUCGCGAUGCGGUGGCCUGUUAAUCGGGAACACUGUUAGUAAAAAGGCCAUAACUUGUUCACAGGGUGUCCGUUUUAGGCAAAUUUGAUAUCGACAGAAAUAUUAUUCAAUUCUCUACAAUUUGGUGGGUCUAAAUUUUAAAAAAUACCACCUAUAAACCAAUUUAUGCUCGUUCAAAUAUGACCUAUGUGAAAUCACACAAUAAAACUUGAUGGAUUCAAAAGCUCUUAGGUUGUCUUACUCUAAGUGACUCUUAUGAACAUGUGUAACACAUCAUGAGCUCUAUUAUUACUAGGAUACUCAUUCUAAUUCAUGUACUCAAAAAUGAAUCACAGGAUAGGAGGUUUCAUACAUAGGAAUAAUGGUUCAUUUUCUAGCUUAGAAAUAUACGGGGUAUUAUAAUAUCUCCCCCUUGGGAAUAUUUGUCCUUGAAUGAGACUGAGUAGGAUGGAAGAAAUGAUAAACUGAAGUACAUAAAAGACAUACACUAUUAAAACACAAUAUCUGGAUUGACAUCUCUGAUAAGCUGAAUAUAUAUCAUACUGAACAUACAUAUUUGAUGCAUAGAUAACUGAUUCAUGAAUGCAUGAUGAGCAUUAUGAUAAACUAAGUUUUCUGAAAAUGAGAGUACGUAUUGUAACGCCCCAAAAAAUAGGUCUCGGAGUGUCACACGGUGCUUGAGGCUACGAGUAGCCCCAAGCUAACCCUUUGAGCCAUUUUCAUUUAGUUAAACAAAAAUCAAUGGGGUUUCCACAAAUAACCCUCAAAUAUCAACAGAGUAAUCAUCAUCCAAGAAUAAAAGAAUCUCAAAAAGAUAACAAAAUACGACUUCUUAGUCAACUCCCAACAUCUAUACUAGUCUGACAAUCCUCUAAAAAAAUCAAUAAAACCAGCGAGCCAUUGAGACAUGCCCCAACUAACUCAUAUUCAGUAAUGAUUCCGUGAAACCAACAUCAGACAUCACAUCCUCUGAAAAUGAGGACUCACCACAACAGAGAAUGUAGAACAGUGUGCCUGAAGAAUCACUGUCGAACCUAAAACUGAGCACCUGAACCUAAAUUCUGAGAAAAUACAGCCCACAUCCGAAGAUGUAGGUCAGUACCAUGGAAAGAAACAGAGUAUAUGGGGGUUUAUGCAAUUGUAUAAACAUCAUCAUCAUAAAUAUUUAUAAGAAAUAUGCAGGAUGUAUGAAAGACUCACAUAGCCUGAAGAAAAUCAUCAUAAUCAUGAAAGGAUGAAAUAAGUACAAUAACAUAUGUGAGUCACAUAUAAUUUGUCAAUCACUUCCAGUUCAUCAAGAAUAUCAAUUCUCAUAAUGUAAAUAUCAUUUAAAUCUUUUGAAAGAAUAACUUUCACAAUUCCACUUUUAAAUCACUUCACCAUUCAUCAUAGACACAAGGAAACACACACAAACUGGGAGAUCCUAUAACCGGCAUAAACCAUAUGGGCUACAUGGAGUCCAAUGUACAACCCACAUUGAGGAGAGCCAUCCUAUCUUUGCCAUCGGAGUAGGACUAUCGAUAUAAAAUCCACACAAAAUAGUGAUCACUAUAUAAAGCAACCUCAGGCUCACUCCUAUGGGGCAUGUAGUUCUAGGAAAGUAAGGUCACUUUAUACCUCCCACUCGGUGCUAAAGAUUUCUCCCAGACUUAGCUCAGAUUAUUUCAAAGACAAUCCGCAAAAAAACAAUUUCAGUAAUAUAUAAUUAUACAUCGGGAGCCAUCAUGCUUCCCAUCUAUCAAAAUCAACCAGAUUGUGGAUUUCUUUCACACUCGAGUUCAAAACAACUUCAUUAAGACCAAAAGGUCAAAUUAUUCAAAAUAUCUCAAAUAUUCAACAUCAAUACAUACCUUGAAUGAUAACUUUAGAUUAAUACUCAUUUUUGAGAUGUUAAUUGUGCCUUUGAAUGAUGGUUCUUGGAGUUCUUGAACUAGGAACUUGGAAUCUUGAAUAAAUUUGCAGAAUUAAUGGUGAACUUCGGAGGUUCUUGAAGUUGGAUGUAGGAACUUAGGGUUUUCUUUUUGAGGGAAUUUGAUGAAAUAUAGCAUAUAAUGCUUCUAAUAGGUUUUAAUAUGGGGUUUGGACGAAUUUUAGGUGAGAAGGAAUGACCAAAAUGCACCUAAAAAUUAAAUAAUUCUCGAAUUUGUCAUUUGGUGGACUGUUUUUAUAGUCUGAAGUAGAUGAACCAUAACGUUUUACUCUGAUAUCUAAAUUGGAUGAAACCAAUAAUCUGUGGCUAUCAAAAACAUGUUCCCCUUAUAUCACCUUGUACCUACAAAAUAAACAAACAAGAUUAGUAGUGAAGCUCCUCACAUACACUCGUAUGCACUCACCUUUGUGAUCCUCAUAAUUGGAGCGGCGAAUAUUGAAAGGUUCUUAUACUCCAAUAGUCAAUAAGGUGUCAAUCACUAGUAGCGGCCGAAAUAGAUUCUUGUUUUAUCUACUCAAGACACAAAAAUAAAAAAUCUACUUACGAACUUGAAACAAAGAAUUUAUCGAAUCAAAAUGAAAAAAGAACACAAAGUACAAAAACACUAAGAAAACUGACUCAAACAAGUAAUUCACAAUCUAGUAGGUGAUUACUAGUUGCUAAUUAGUACUAGACUCAAGAAAUGAAACUAAAGAAACAAGAAAAAGUAACUUAGAAUCUGAAAUUUGAUCUUAGGGUAUUUGGAAAGUUGAUGAUGUGGCAACUUUGAUGACGUGGUGGGUUCUAAUUGGUUGACAUUUUUUUUGGGAAUUUCUUGUUUUCAAACAUUGAGUUUUUUUAUCAAUCUACAAUUUGGAAGAGUUUAAAAUCAUACUAGGAAAAGAAGACAACAAGAUUUGGAGCCUUUUUCAUAUUCAAAAAGGUUUGACUUGUCUUACACCUUUUUGGCAAAACACCUUUUUGAAAGCCUUUUUGCUUUUUCCUCUUUUGUAAAUCUUGGGAAGUGCCCUUUCUCCCUUUUGGUAAUAAGAUUUUUGAAAGCCUUUGUCUCUUUUUCUUCUUUAGUAUGGUCUUGGAAUAUAUUUCAAGACAAACAAACACCACAUUUUCUUUUUCUACUCUUUUAGAUCAAACACCAUACCUUGAAUGUUCUUGUUCAACAAUUUGUUAAGAACAUGAAGAAUACCAAGAACAUUUAAAGAUUCAACCUAACCUAAAUGAACUUGAAAUUUGAUAAUUUUUGUUUCUCCAAGUUCACAUUGCACGCCCAAACACAACCACACAUUUUUCAAGCCAUAAUAUCAAUAACAAGCUUACAAUUUUGAGCUUCACCUUACUAGUUUCUUCAACCUUCAACUUAACAAUGGUGAACACUCAAAACCACCCGGACUAAACUCAAAUCCAAGAUCAAGACUCACUUACUGUUAGGGAACAAGAACCUAAUACUAGAAACAAACAAAACACACCAAAAUCUCCAAAAUCUAAGUUUAAAAUUUUGGCCAAAACACAAAAAAAAUUCUUUUUUUGAGAUUUUCAGUUUUUCAACACUUUUUUUUGUGAUUUCAAGUUAACAAGCAAAAUAUUGAUUUUGUAGGAAAAAAAUCAAUUCUUGCUCUUAUACCAAAUGACACGGGAUCGAUUACAAACACACAAAAAUAACUAAAAAUAUAAGGCAAAUUGAGAAAAAAUAGAAAUUCAUCCUCGAUAUCAACACACAAACCGUGAACAAAAACAAGAAACAAAACACAACAAUGCAAUAAAAAUAAAGGAUAGGUAAGAUGACAUAAGAUUUUAUGAAACAAGGAGAACCUUCAUGUGGAUCAAAUUCAAAGACCCUCAACAUCGUAAUAAUCAAACACCAAUAUUAUUACGGUGACUGCUAAGGGAAUCAACUCCUCUUAAAACCACCGUUUCCAAGAAAAAGAUCAAUAUUGGCUUUUCCAAGCCCUAGACUAAACUUUUUGGGUUUUCCAAGCCUUACACUAAGAUACACUCUCAAUGAGAGAAGACUUUCAAUGUUCUUCAAAUAUCCUUCAUCAACUAACGAGUAAAUGAUAUAAUAGAAGACUAUUUAUAGGAUAGCAUAUUACAUAACAAAAUGGCCAAAAUACCUUUAAUGAGAGGGGUGGCCUUGGUGUGUAAAUUAGGAGCUUUUUUGGAGUGUUUAAAGCUCUUCAAAAUAUUUCAACACUUAGAUCUCUCAAAUACUCAUCAAGGCAAGCCUCCAAACAACCCCUCACAUACGGAAUUGCUCUCUUAAAUAUUCAAAAUGGGUCCUCCAUGCAUGCUUUUGUGUACUCGAGGUGACCAAAUCUUGAGUAUUUAAGUAUUGGUAUCCAAUGAUGUCAUCAAAUACUAUGAUGGCCAUUUGGCUCAUAUUAGGUGUUGAAGGAUAAGUUAACUUCGACUGUAGUUCUAACUUUGUUAAAAGGAAAUGAUGGGUUCGUGGUUUGUUGUGAUUUUCCUCGGGUUGGUCUUGGUUAUGUGUUGAUGCAGCGCGAGAAAAUAAUAGCCUAUAUUUCUAGGCAAUUAAAGAAGCAUGAGAGGAACUAUCUUACUCAUGAUUUUGAGUUAUUGGACAUUAUGUUUUCUUUGAACAUAUGUAGUAUUAUUUGUAUAGGGUCCACGUGGAUAUCUUUUAUGAUCAUAAGAGUUUGCAGUAUGUGUUCUAACAGAAAGAGCUUAAUCUCAGGCAAAGGAUAUGUCUUGAGUUUCUCAAGGACUAUGUUAUGAGUCUUUAAUACCACCCAGGUAAAGAUAACUAUAAGACCUUGCAAAGUUCUGUCAUAGUCCGAGCCUUAGAGCGUGUCAAGUGAAGUGUAAUUCUUACCCUAAAAGAUUGAGAAGAGACUUCCCAAGUGAUUACUGUUUAAACCAUAUAGAAUUUUCUCAAAUUUGACUUUUUUCAUGUAGAUAAUUGAAUUACCUUUCCAAUGAUACCAUUUUGUUCAAAUUUGUUACCGGGAUGAGAAGUUAUGGCUGUUUUAUUGAGAGUUGUUGAAACCACCCAGGUGCGACAGAUGAUCCGAUGGACUAUCGAGUCUACAAUGGACCAUCGAGUCUAUGAUGGAACAUCGCUUAGCCCAUCACAACCAAGGAAGUAACUCUUUUUUCUAGCCUAAGUGCGAUGGCCAAGAUGACGGACCAUCAAGGAUGCGAUGGACAAUCACCGAUACCAUCGUGUUGAGACAGUGUGGACUCACCUUGGCCAUCAUGCAAUGGAUGAUCCGAUGGACCAUCGUACUUGUGAAGGACCAUCGCUCCAACCAUUGCAUCAAGGCAGUGUGUCCUAUUAGUGGUCAACAUGCGACGGAUAACCCGGCGAACCGUCAAACUUACGAUGGUCCUUUUUAACCCUCAUAUAUAUUCCAAAUAAACUUAAUAGCAUCAUUUUCUCCCAAAACAUCCAAAGGCUAGGGUUUCUCCCUCAAGAGAAAAUUUAAAAUCCUUCUCCAAGAAAUCCAAGAACUCACCAAGGAUUCUACAAAUUGAGUUGAAAUUUAAGUUCCCCAAGUUUAAGGGUUGGAAGAACCCCCUCUCAAGAGUAAUAAUAAGAGUUUAGAGCAAGAUUAUUCAUCUAAUUUCAUAAUCUAAGGUAUGUGGGAUUUUGAACAAGGGUAAUCCUUUAACCCUUGUGCCCAAAACCUUCUUUAAACUACAAUUCUCUGUAAUUUAUGAGAUUUUACAUGAAAUUAAAUUGGGGGUUUUCACCCAUUGUUAUUGGUUGCAAGCUUUUGAUGUUUUCCUUGAAUUGAGAGUCUAAUGGCAUGAUUUUUACAUGUUUUCUUGAGAAAUUACAGCUGGUUCUAAACCCCAUGAUUUUUAAUCCUUGAGAAGUUAAUAGUUGAAGUGAGAUAUUAAAGUAUAUGAGUAUGUUGAUAUUUUGAGACAAAUUGCUAAAACUUCCAGAUUUCUACAUAAAUUAUGAAUCUAUAUGCUAUCUAUUAUUCUUUUGAUGAGUUUUAACUUUAGAAUGAAUUAUGGGUUAUUGAGCCCUGCUUAAGAUUUGCAAUUUUAUGAACUCUUAUACUAUAAGCACCCAUGAUUUGAGUAUUCUGAGAUUAUUGAGAAAUGUUUUGACCUAAUGGUCAUUGAGUUUUGAAAUCCACUCUACUACUUGGGAUUACAAAUUUGAUUAUUGGAUUCUUAUUAAACCAUGAGAUUAUUCUAAAGUGGAUUUUCAUGAGAUGAGAGAGAUUAACUAAAGGGAGUAGUAUUUAGCACUGAGCGGGUAAUUUACUAUGGUUUCUUACCCCAAAACUAUGUGCAACUGUAGGUUGGGCCUGAGGCCGAGUUUAUGAUUAUUAUUGGGCCUAAGGCCGAGUUGAUAUUGGGCCUGAGUCUGAGUUUGUUUAGUGAUCACGGGACCUAGGUUAUACUCCUUGACAAGAGUAUGACGCCUCUCCCCAACAUGAGGUCUCUUCCCUAGGAGGAUAAAGUGUUUGACUCUAUGUAGGUCACAUGUUUUAUGUCGAUUAAAAAAAAACUCCCUAAACUAAAGUAUUUUUCCAUUGAGAUAAGAUAUUUUCCUUUAAAACUAAAAUACUUUCCCUUGAUAUGAGUAUUUUUCCCUAAAGAAUGAAAUGAGAUAUUUUCCUAACGUGAAUGAAAUGCCUUCAAGUGUUCCAAAGUUAUAUGAUUUCAAAUUCCAAGUAUUUGAGUUCAAAAGAGUUAUGAGUUCUUGAGCAUUAGAGAAGUUUUACUCUCCAUGAGACAUAUGAACAAGUUAAAAGUAUUGUUUAAAGUUUCCUUUAGCCUAUCGGUAAUGAGAAUAAGAGAAGAUUACUGAUUUCAAAGUUAAACUAUGUUAUUCACGAUAUUGUGUUACAUGUUCCAUUUUACAUGAUUCAUGAGCUUUACAUUUUAUACUUAUUCAAGCCAUGUGAGUCAUUACUUAUUGCAUGCAUGAUUUGAUUAAAGAGUAUUAAUAUUGUUUUAUAUAAAUGCAUGCACCCCCGCAUACUCAGUACAUUCCCAAGUGCUGAUCCACAUAUAUGUCUAUGUGUUACAUUCUCUUAUAAUGUAGGUUCAGGUGCUCAGUCCUAGCCUCGUCAGUGACUUUCGAGUACCUCUGUAUGUAUCCCUAUAGUGGUGAGUCCUCGUGGUUCGAGAACCUAUCAUCUGACAUUUCAGUAUUUAAGAAACUAUGUUAGCACUUUCAGUUCAUUUCGAGUUAGUUGGGGACCUGUCCCAAUGGCUCUCUAGUUCAUGGAUUAGUAGAGGCUUUGUUAGACUAGUUAUCAGAUUGUGGUUGUGUUGAGGUUUUUUGGUAUUGCUUGGUCAUUUGGACCGAGCAUUUUCUUUGUAUUUUCUUUCAUAUGAUAUGACUAUUCUAGUGUUUGAAUUAUUUUAUCUUGAAAUGAGUGUUAUUAGAAGAAAUAGGAUCAAAGGGUUAGCUUGGGGCUACUUGUAUCCUUAAGCAUCGUGUGACAUCCCGAGAGGCAAUUUUGGACCAUUACAAACUUGGUAUCAGAGCCUUAUGUUUUAAGGAGUCCUAGGGAGUCUGACAAGCCGUGUUGAGUAGAUUCUUGAGCAUCGGUGUGUAGUGCACCACAGCUAUGAGUAAGAGGUUACAAGAUGUUUUAGGAAAAUAUUGUUUCUUCUUUUAGAUUCUAUCGUGCCUACAGUUGUCCCUCUCAUCUAAUAAUUCCUGCUCUUUUAUUUUCAGAAAAUGCCUCCUCGAAGAGCGAAUAUCCACGAAAACAAUGAUGGGAAACCCCCACCUAUUGGCCCUUUGAAUGCGACUGUGUCUCAUGCCGAGUUUUGGGUAGCCUUUCAGGCAUAAGCCCGUGUAGUCACUGUCAAUAUUCGGGCCAAUAAAGGAGUUUAUGAACUUGAGGCAAAUAUUAAGGAGUUUAUGAACAUGAGGCAGGGCUCCAUGACUGUUAAGGAGUACUGCUUGAAGUUCAAUCAGUUGGCCAAGUAUGCUUCUGAUUUGAUUUCUAACACUUAGGCUAGUAUGAACAACUUUGUGACAGGUGUUUCUGGUUUAGUAUUAAAGGAUUGUAGGACUGUGAUACUGCAUAGGGAUAUGGAUCUGGCUCGGUUGAUAAUGUAUGCCCAGCAAAUAAAGGUGGAUAAUAUUAGGGAGUGAGAUCAAGUGAGGAGGAAUAAGAGAGCUAGAUCUGAGCAGCAUAAGUAUAGCCAGCCUAGGUUCCAUGGAGAGAACCACCCUCAGUUUCUGAGAUAUCUAUGUAUGCCAGUGCCUUUAUCAGCUAGUGCUCUCGCGCCUAUAGGCAGGCAGGAGCAACGGGGCAGGUCUUUUAUGUCUAGGUCGCAGAACAGUAUUGGUAAUAGGCCUCAUUAUCCUCCUUAUCAUAAAUGUGGUAGAGAUCACCCUGGUAAGUGUUUUGUAGAUCUGAGGGGUUGUUUUGGUUAUGGCAAGCAGGGCCACAGACUUAGAGAUUGUCCUCAUGCUAGAUAGGGGAACAGAGAUGCCCGACCUCAGGCAUAAGCUACUAGUGCACCAACUCCUGUACCUCGUCCCGCCCCUACUCAGGGCGCUUCAUCUAGCACUGCUGGCGGUCAACGCCAAAACAGAUUCUAUGCCUUACUAUCCGAUCAGGAGCAGGAGCAAUCUCUUGAUGUUGUUACCUGUAUAAUCCGUGUCUUUUAUUUUGAUGUCUAUAUGUUAUUGGACCCCGGGUCAAGUCUCUCUUACGUGACCCCACUUGUAGCUGUAAAUUUCAAAAUGAAUCUCGAAAAGAUUUCUAAGCCCUUCCUAGUUUCUACACCAGUAGGGGUGUCAGUUGUUGCUAAACAAGUGUAUAAAAAUUGUCCUAUUACUGUUCUUCAUAAAGUCAUACUUACUGAUUUGAUAGAGUUAGACAUGGUGGAUUUUGACCUUAUUCUGGGUAUGGAUUGACUUCAUUCUUAUUAUGCGUCUAUAGACUAUCGUACCCAUGUGGUCAAGUUUUAGUUUCUUGAUGAACCAACUUUUGAGUGGUUUGAGAGUUCGAUAUCUCCCAAAAGUCAUUUAUCUCCUUUCUUAAAGCCAGAAAGAUAAUAUCCAAGGGUUGCAUCUAUCACCUAGUUAGAUUCAAAGACACUAAGUUCGAGGCUCCAACUAUUCAGUCAGUCGAUAUUGUUAAUGAGUUUUCAGAUAUUUUUCCAAAAGAUCUUCCAAGGGUACUUCCCAAUAGAGAUAGAAUUCGGGAUUGACCUUCUUCCCAACACUCAUUGCAUUUCUAUUCUGCCAUACUAUAUGGCACCUACUGAGCUUAAGGAGUUGAAAGAGCAACUCAAAGAUCUUUUAGACAAAGGUUUCAUUAGGCCCAGUAUUUCUCCUUGGGGCGCACCUGUGUUAUUCAUGUGAAAGAAAGAUAGUUCUUUGCAUAUGUGUAUUGACUACCGUUAGCUUAACAAGGUCACCGUCAAGAACAAGUAUCCUCUUCUAAGAAUUGAUGACCUAUUUGAUCAGUUGCAAGGUGCAAGUUAUUUCUCCAAGAUAGACCUUAGAUCCAGCUAUCACCAGCUUAAAGUCAGGGAAUGUAAUAUUCCAAAGACAGUGUUCCAAACCCGCUAUGGUCACUUUGAGUUGCUAGUCAUGUCCUUUGGGCUAACCAAUGCCCCAGCCGCCUUUACGGACCUCGUAAAUUGAGAAUUUAAGCAAUAUCUCAAUAUGUUUGUCAUUUUUUCAUAGAUAAUAUCCUUGUGUACUCCCGUAAUGAGAAUGACCAUGCAAAACCACCUUAUAAUUGUCUUGUAAACUCUUAGAGACCACUAGUUGUUCGCAAAAUUCAGUAAGUGUGAAUUUGGGCUUGUAGCCUUUCUAGGUCAUAUUAUUUCAGCCAAAGGUAUUAGAGUUGAUCCCUAAAAUACAGAAGCUAUAAGAAAUUGGCCUAGACCUAUCUCUCGAUCUGAUAUUAGAAGUUUCUUGGGUCUAGCGGGAUACUACCAUUAUUUUGUUGAGGGUAUCUCUUCUAUUACAUCUCCCAUGACCUGGUUGACCCAAAAGAAAGUUAAAUCUAGUGGUUAAAUUCCUGUGAGAAGAGUUUUUAGGAGUGGAAAACUCGACUUACUUCAGCCCCUGUGUUGACUUUGCCUGAUGGUACAGAUGGUUUUAUGGUGUAUUGUGAUGCCUCUAGAAUUUGUUUGGGUUGUAUGUUGAUGCAAAGAGGUAAGGUUAUAGCCUAUGCCUGUAGGCAGUUGAAGCCGCAUGAUAAGAAUUACAGUUGUUGUGUCUUUGCUUUGAAAAUCUGGAGACAGUAUCUUUAUAAUGUCCAUAUUGAUGUGUUUACUGAUCAUAAGAGCCUGCAAUAUAUGUUUACUCAUAGGGAGUUGAUUAUUAGGUAGAGAAGGUGGUUGGAGUUAUAGUGUGCUGUAUCACUAGGGCAAGGCCAAUAUAGUGGAAAAUGCCCUUAGCAGGUUAUCUAUGGGUAGUGUUGCCCAUGUAGAGGAAGGUAAGAAAGAAUUAGCUCAUGAUGUUCAUUAUUUGGCCAGUUAGGUUUUAGGUUACUUGAUUCAGCUGAGGGAAGUACUUUGGUGCAGAGUAGCUCUUAUUCUCUUUAGUUUCGAAAGUGAAGGAGAAGCAAGUUAAGGAUCCUAGUUUGGUCAGACUGAAGGAGGUAGUUAAGGACCAAAAGGUAGAGGUUUUCUCCCAAGGGGGAGAUGAUAUAUUGAGAUUGCAAGGUAGAUUAUGUGUUCCAUGUGUUGAUGAUCUGACACAUAGGAUUAGGCUGAAGUGCAUAGCGCGCGGUAUUCUAUUCAUCCCGGUACUACCAAUAUGUACCGCGACUUGUGGAACAUCUAUUGGUGGAAUGGUAUGAAGAAGGAUAUAGCCGAAUUCAUAGCAAGGUGUGGAAUGUGCCAAUAGGUUAAGGUAGAGCACCAAAGACCUAGUGGUGUGAUACAAGAGUUUUAUAUACCCUUUUAGAAGUAAGAGGUGGUGAAUAUAGACUUCGUGACCGGGUUGCCUCUUUCACAUCAUCAUCAUGAUUUGAUUUGGGUUAUUGUGGAUAGGCUGACUAAGUCCGAACAUUUCUUGCCCAUGCAUACAUCUUAUACAACUGAGGAUUAUGCUAGGUUGUAUAUCCGGGAGUUAGUCAGGUUGUAUGGAGUUCCCUCAUCCAUCAUUUUGGAUAGGGGCACCCCAUUUACUUCUUAGUUUUAAAGGGCAUUUUAGUAGGGUCUUGGUACCCAAGUUCUUUUGAGUUUUUCUUUUCACCCACAGAUAGAUGGUCAGGCUAAGAGGACCAUUCAGACCCUAGAAAAAAUAUUAUGGGCGUGUGCUCUUGAUUUCAAGGGUAGUUGGGAUGAGCAUUUGCCAUUGAUAGAGUUUGCUUAUAAUAAUAGUUACCAUGCUAGCAUUGGGAUGUCACCAUUUGAGGUCUUGCAAAGUAGAAGAUAUAGAUCACCUAUAGGUUGGUUUGAAGUAGGUGAAGUUGUCGUAAUUGGGCCUUAUGCAGUAUUUGAGGCUAUGGAGAAAGUUAAGUUGAUUAGAGAGAGGUUGAAGAAUGCCCAGAUCUAUCAAAAGUCAUAUACCGAUGUGAGGAGAAGAGAUCUUAAGCUUAAGGUAGGUGAUUUGGUGUACUUAAAGAUUUUACCCAUGAAAAGGGUGAAGAGGUUUGGUAAAAAGGGAAAGCUUAGUCCCCGUUAUGUUGGCCCGUAUAGAGCUUGAGCCAUGUUGGUAAAGUAGCCUAUGAGGUUGAGUUUCAUGCAGUGUUGUCAGUCGUUCAUCCUAGUUUUUAUGUCUCCAUGCUUAAAAAGUAUAUUGGUGAUACUGUUGUGGUAAAUUCUUCAGAGAGUGCUGAUAUUUAGAACAGUCUUUCGUUUGAUGAGAUUCCUGUUAAGAUCCUAGAUUUUUAGAUCCAUAGACUGAUGAACAAAGAGGUUCCUUGGUCAAAGUUUUGUGGCAAAACUAGUCUAUUGAGAGUGUUACUUGGGAGGCAGAAGCAGACAUACGAUUCAAGUACCCGCACAUCUUUUCCGUGAUUUUAGGUCAAUCUAAAGGUAUUAUUAUUCCUUAAUUUUGCCCUUCUAAUCUAAAGUGCAACUAUGUAUCUAUUCUUGCAUGAGUUCUUGCAAUUUUUAAGGUAUUCAAGAGUUUAGAGAGAUUCAGCUAUAUGUACUCUAUUUUUCCUGUGUUCCUAGUCUAACUAGCGACAUUUGAGGAUGAAUGUUUCCAAGGGGGAGAUAUUGUAAGACCCCGCAAAGUUCCCUCAUAGUCCAAGCCUUAGAGCAUGUCAAGUGAAGUAUAAUUUUGACCCUAAAAGAUUGAUAAGAGACUUUCCAAGUGAUUGGUAUUUAAACCAUAUAGAAUUUUCUCAAAUUUGACCUUUUGUCUUGUAGAUAAUUGAAUUAUCUUUCCAACAAUACCAAUUUCAUCCAAAUUCGAUAUCGGGGUGAGAAUUUAUGGCCGUUUUACCGAGAGUUGUCAAAACCACCUAGGUACGAUGGAUGAUCCGACGGACCAUCGAGGCUGUGAUAGACCGUCGCAACCAAGGUAGUAACUCCUUUUUUUGGCCUAAGUGCGAUGGCCAAGAUGAUGGAAUGACAAAUAUGUGAUAGCCCGUCGCUGGGACAAUCACAUUGAGGUAGUAUGGCCGUACCCUGGCCAUCUUACAACGGGCGAUCCGAUGGACCAUUGGACUUGCGACAGACCAUUGCUCCGACCAUCGCAUCGAGGAAGUGUGUCCUAUUCCUGGCCAAUGUGAUACGAGUAAAAUAGCCACCUUAGCUUUUGAUGACAUCAUUCGAAGUCAGUACGUGGGGCAUCAAGCUUUGGUCGCAUUAAGGACAGGGGAUCCUACAUGGAGGGGCCAAUUUAAGUACACCAAAGAGCAAUCCCAGUGUGGAAGAUUUCUUAAAGCAUUAAAAAUUGAGGACUCACGAUUUUGGGCCUUUAUUAUGGGCAUUUUGGUCACUUAGCCUUGUCCAAGUAACACUCCAUGACCACCCCUUUUAAUUAAAGGUAUUAUGGUCAUUUUGUUAUGUAAUAAAUUAGACUAUAAAUAGGUUCUAUUAGUUUAUUUGCUAGUGGGUUUUUAUGAAUGAUGAAAUAUUGAAAUAUUGAAAGUCCUCUCUUUGAGAGUAGAAAACCUUAGUGUAGUCUUAGUUAGGGCUUGGAAAAGCUACAGUAGUUUAGGGAUUGGAAAAGCCAAUAUUGAUAUUUGCUUUGAAAUGGUGGUUCUUGAGGUAAGUUGAUUCCCUUAGCGGUCACCGAAAGAAGAUUAGUGUUUUAUUAUUGCGACUUUGAGGGUCUCUUCAUUUAAUACAUGUGUUGUUUCUCAUUGUUUCGUAAGAUCUUAGUCAUCUUGCCUAUCCCUUAUCUAAUUUCACUUUGUAUGUUUGUAUCUUGUCUUCUUUAUCUCAUGUAUUUGUGUUGUUGUCAUGACUUGUCUCUACCUUGCUCUCGAUUUCUCCUUGUGUUGUGGACUAUUUUAGCACCUCAUAGAUCGUUCCCGUAUCAUUUGGUAUUAGAGCUAAGGCUGGUUGUGUUUCUACACUACCAACCUUGGGCUCUCUAAGUCAAAAAAUCAGAAAAAAAGAGGUGUUGAAAAAUAGAAAACUCAAAAAUUGUAAUAUGUCCACGUUUUUUUCUUUUUGUGCUUAGGCUGAUUUGAACCUAGUUUUCUUUUAUUUCUUGUUUUUAUUGUUGUUUCUAGUGUUAGUCCCUCCUUCACUAACACUUAUAGAGUCUAGAUCUAAAUUUUGAGUCAUUUCCAAGUUAUUUUUGAACUUUGAAUGAAGGUUGCUAUUUUUUGAGGAUUGGUGGCUUGAAAAAGUGUUGUUGAAGUUUACUGUUGAGAUUGUGGCUUAAAAACGUUUUGUUGAUGUUAUUGUUGAGAUUUGGAGCUUGAAAAUGUGUUGUUAAUGUGUGGGAUCCAACUUGAACCAUAGAACUCCAAGAUUCAAAAGUUGUGUUCUUGGUGUUUUUCACCAUCUUCAUAUUUUGUUGAAGAUAAAAUGGUUGUUUAAUCUUAGAAAUUGAAGAAUGAGAGCGUGUCUUGUUGUUAUUCUUGAAAGACACAACUCUAAGACAUCCAAAGGGGAAAUGGGAUAAAAGGGUUUCAAAAGUUGUCUUGCCAAAAUAGAGAAAGUCCACCUACCAAGACAUACAAAAAGGGAAAGCGCCAAAAGUCUUUCAAAAAGGUGUUUAGGCAAAAAGGUGCAAAAAAGUCAAAACACUUUUUGAACUUGACAAAAAGGCUCCAAAGUCUUGUUGUUACACUCCCAUAGCUGAAAUUCCACCAUUCCCCACUUGAAAUUUGAUCAAUACAAUUUGAAGACAAGAAAAUUUCUCAAACUUUCAACAAUUUUAACAUCCAAUAGGAGGUUGCCACAUCAUCAUCCUAAAAAUCAACCCUUAGGCUCAAAAUUUCAGAUUUCUAAGUUUUAUUUCUUGUUUCUUUAGUUUCAAUUUUCUUGAUCCUAGUACUAAUAGACAAACUAGUAAUCACCUACUAGGUUAUUUGUGUGCUUUUUUGUUUGUAACUCGUAGUAACUUCUUUGUUUCAAGUUUGUAAGUGAAUUUUGUUUUGUGUCUUGAGUCAAUCAAAAUAAGAAUCCAUUCCGGCCGCUAAGUGGAAUUGACAUCUUAUUGACUAUCGGAGUAUUAGCAACUUUCAAUAUUUGCCGCUCCAUUGUAAGGAUCACAAAGGUGAGUGUCUACUAGUCUUGGUGAGGAGCUUUUACUACUAAUGUUGUUUGUUCAUUUUGUAGGUUUGUUCCUUUGGUUGUUUUAGGUACAAUUGCAAUGGAACCCAAGGCUUCCAUCUCUCAAACCAUGGACAACAAUGUCACCAAUGUCAUUUUGGCCUACCUUGACACUAUUUCUCGAGACAUGGCUAUGGUGAAUGAAAGAUUGGAUCAUAUGGUAGGUCCAAGGGAGCAAGUGGGCUUCCCAAAAACACGUCAAGAUAAAGACUAUAGCUCAUGUGAUCUAGAAGGUAAAAUAGCUAACUCUUACACUUUUAUGCAUGAAAAUAGAAUUAUGUGGUUGGUAGCCCAUUGAGUGUGAGUAGUGGCUUACUUACUUUUGAUUCUAAUGAUUCUUUUUCUCUUUUUGAUGAUGUACAUGUUGUGGGUGUGGAUACACUAGUUGAUCCUAUUGAUGACCAAAUUGACCCUUCUUGUAAGAUCAAUUUAUGUCCACCUCGUGUUGAAGCCAAUAUGUUGAAUGAGAGUACAUCAUCUUGUGUAAAUGGUGUUGAUCAACUUAUUUGUGAAACUUGACCACCACUUGAGGUUAUGUGUGUUGUAAUUAAUGGAACUUAAGUGAGUGAAGUAUUUGAGAAUGUCUGUCAACAAACUAGGAGUGAACCUGUGAGCUAUCCUUAUGAUAUGGAUUCCAUGGUUUGUGUAGCUCAUAGGGAUAAUCUUGUACUUGAAACCUCUUUGAAACUUGAUAAUUGUCUUUUAGAGAGCAAAUAACUUACUUGUUCUAAAUAUGCCCGUGAGAUAUAUCAUGCUCUCUUUAGGUAUAAUGUCUUGUUUGAAGAUAAUUUAAACACUCCUAAUGAACCUAGUGGUGAAAAUGAUGGUAUAGCUUGUCUUGGAGGCUAUAGCCUAUAUAUUAACUCAUUAUGGUGUGACAAUAUUCCUCCUAACGAUGAAAAUCUCUUUUUGAAAGAUGAGAGUACUCUUAAGGGUAAAGAAUGUGUAGUCCUUCUUGAAAACCCGAGGGCAAAGGUGUCAUUGACUCCUUGGGGUAAUGUUUCUAAAUUUGCAUCCUUGCUUGACACACUUGUGCUUACAUUUCAUGAAUACCAACUUGAGAAUUCCAAGUUGACUAUUUUCUUGAAGUAAAGAAUGUGUAUGUGCUUAAAUGCUUUAUCUUCACCCGUGUAUACCUUUACACUUGGUUCUUUCCUAUACUACCUCUUUGCCUAUGAUGACAUCCAUACUAGUUUUGGAUUUGUAUUAUGUAGAGGUAGGAAACUUUUUGGUUGGUCUACUUAUUCUAGUGACUAUGCUAUGUGUGUUUGGUGGGCCUUAAGACCAAUAGUGGCACCAUGUUUGAUGAGGUCACUUGAAGAGAUAAUGAAACAAUUGUGCUUUAUGGUCCCUAAGUUACGGGUAGGCUUACCUUUGGGACUUCGGGAUACCAUUGAGUCCUUUGUAGUUUCUUUAUCUCUUGAUACUUUUCAUAACCAUGGCCUUUGUGACAUUUUUGUUCAGCUUUUCAUGACUAACACAAUCGAUUCAUGGUUAUAUUUCAAGUAUGUUCCGCCUUGGCCUGAUGAAAUUUAUUAUAGUGGUAACUCUAACCCUCAUGCCAUAAGAAAGUUGUGCUUGUUUGUCCUUUCUCUUGUUUUGCAAGGUCUGGAUUUGAGGUCGAAUCCUUUUCAAGAAGGGGAGGAUGAUACGAGUCAAAUGGACACCUUAGCUUUUGAUGGAAUCAUUGGAAGUCAGUACGUGGGUCAUCAAGCUUUGGUCGCAUUGAGGACAUGAAGGGUCUGAUUUGAGUACACCAAAGAGCAAUCCCACGUGUGAAAGAUUGCUUGGAGCAUUAAAAAUUAAGGACUCACGGUUUUGGGCCUUCAUUAUGGGCAUUUUGGUCACUUAGCCUUGUCAAGUAACACUCUUGAGGCGAGUUGAUUCCCUUAGUGGUCACCGUAAGAAGAUUGGUGUUUGAUUAUUGUGACUUUGAGGGUUUCUUCAUUCAAUACAUGUGUUGGUUCUCAUUGUUUUGUAAGAUCUUAUGUCAUCUUGCGUAUCCCUUAUCUUAUUUCACUUUGUAUGUUUGUAUCUUGUCUUCUUUAUCUCAUGUAUUUGCAUUAUUGUCGUGACUUAUCCCUAUCUUGCUCUUGGUUUCUCCUUGUGUUGUGGAUUGUUUUAGCACUUCGUAGAUCGUUCCCGUAUCACAACGUACGACAGAUGAACGAACAAACUGUCGGACUUGUGAUGGACAAUCACAGCCCUUGUUCAAUGUUUUAACACAUUUGAACAAGGGGCUUUUGGGUCUUUUCCCUAUUAACCCUCAUAUAUAUUCCAAACGAACUUGAUAGCCCCAUUAUCUCCCAAAUCAUCCAAAGGCUAGGGUUUCUUUCUCAAGAGCAAAUCUAAAACCCUUCUUCAAGAAAUCUAGGAACUCACUAUGGAUUAUACAAAUUGAGUUAAAAUUUGAGUUCCCCAAGUUCAAGGGUUGCAAGAACCCUCUCUCAAGAGUAAGAAGAAGAGUUUAGAGAAAGUUUGUUCAUCCAAUUUCAUAAUCUAAGAUAUGUGGGUUUUGAACAAGGGUAAUCCUUCACCCUUAUGCCUAAAACCUUAUUUAAACAACAAUUUUCUACAAUUUAUGAGAUUUUACAUGAAAUUGAAUUGUGGUUUUUCACCCAUUGUUAUUGAUUGCAACCUUUUGAUGUUUUCUUUGAAUUGAGAGUCUAAUGGCAUGAUUUUUAUAUGUUUUCUUAAGAAAUUGUAGCUGGGUCUAAAUUCCAUGAUUUUUAAUCCUUGAGAACUUAAUAGUUGAAAUGUUUGAGAUAUUAAAGUAUAUAGUAUGUUGAGAUUUUGAGACAAAUUGCUGAAAUUUCCAGAUUUCUACAUGAAUUAUGAAUCUAUAUGCUAUCUAUUAUGUUUUUGAUGCGUUUUAACCUGAGAAUUAAUUAUGGGUUAUUGAUCCCUACUUGAGAUUUGCAAUUUUAUGAACUCUUAUGCUAUAAGCACCCAUGAUUUGAGUAUUCUGAGAUUAUUGAGAAAUGUUUUGACCUAAUGGUCAUUGAGUUUUGAAAUCCACUCUACUACAUGAGAUUAAAGAUUUGAUUAUUGGUUUCUUAUUGAACCAUGAGAUUAUUCUAUAGUAAAUUUUUAUUAGAUGAGCAAGACAAACUAAAGGGAGUAGUAUUUAGCACCGAGCGGGUUAGUUACUACAGUUCCUUACCCCAAAAUUACGUGCCACCAUAGGUUGGGCCUGAGGCUGAGUUUGUGAUUAUUAUUGGGCCUAAGAUCGAGUUGAUAUUGGGCCCAAGGCUGAGUUUGUUUAGUGAUCACUGAACCUAGGUUAUAUACUCCUUAGCAAAAGUAUGAUGCCUCUACCUAAAGUAAGGUCUCUUCCUUAGGAGGACAAAAUAUUGGACUCUAUGUAGCUCGCAUGGUUUAUGUCGGUUAAAAAAAACUCCCUAAACUAAAGUAUUCUUCCAUUGAGAUAAGAUAUUUUCCUUUAAAACUAAAAUACUUUCCCUUGAUAUGAGUAUUUUUCCCUAAAGCUUGAAAUGAGAUAUUUUCCUAGUGUGAAUGAAAUGCCUUCAAUUAUGUUCUAAAGUUAUAUGAUUUCAAAUUCCAAGUAUUUGAGUUCAAAAGAGUUAUGAAUUCUUAAGCAUUAGAGAAGUUUUACUCUCCAUGAGACAUAUGAACAAGUUGAAAGUAUUGUUAAAAGUUUCCUUUAGCCUAUGGGUAAUGAGUAUAAGAGAAGAUUACCGGUUUCAAAGUUAAACUAUGAUGAAUCACGAGAUUGUGUUACAUGUUCCGUUUUACAUGAUUCAUGAGCUGUACAUUUUAUACUUAUUCAAGCCAUGUGAAUUUUUAAUUAUUGCAUGCAUGAUUUGAUUAAAGAGUAUUGAUGUUGUUUUAUAUAAAUGCAUGCACCCUUACAUACUUAGUACAUUCCCAAGUGUUUAUCCACAUAUACAUCUAUGUGCUACAUUAUCUUAUAAUGUAGGUUCAGGUGCUCAGUCCCAGCCUCGUUAGUGACUUCUGAAUACCUCUGUCUACAUCCCUACUAUGGUGAGUCCUCAUGGUUCGAGGACCUAUCAUCAGACAUUUCAGUAUUUAAGAGACUAUAUUGUUACUUUUAGUUCAUUUUGAGUCAGUUGGGGACCUGUCUUAAUGGCUCUCUAGUUCAUGGAUUAGUAGAGGCUUUGUCAGACUAGUUAUCAGCUGGUGGUUGUGUUGAGGUUUUUUGGUAUUGUUUGGUUGUUUAGACCGAGAGUUUUCUUUGUAUUUUCUUUUAUAUGAUAUGACUAUGCUAGUGUUUGAAUUAUUUCAUCUUGAAAUGAGUGCUAUUAGUAGAAAUAGGCUCAAAGGGUUAGCUUGGGGCUACUUGUAGCCUUUAGCACCGUAUGACAUCCUAGGAGGCAAUUUCGGGUCGUUACACUAACAUGGUCGGUGAUGCUCUUAGCAGGUUAUCCAUCAACAGUUUGGUUCAUUUGGAAAAAGGAAAGCGAGAAUUGGUAAAGGAUAUUCAUCGGUUAGAAAAUAUUGGGGUUUGUCUCUUGGACUCCUAGGAUGGUGGUGUAAUAGUGCAAGAAGUGGUUAGAUUUUCUCUUAGUAUGGAUAUUAAGUAGAAGCAAGUGUUAGAUUCUUACUUGAUGAAAAUCAAGGGUAGUGUUGGUGAGCAAAAGGUGGCGAAUUUCGAGUUAAGAGGUGAUGGUACUUUGCGGUACCAAGGGAGGUUGUGUGUUCCUGAUGUAGACUGUUUGUGGUAAAGGAUUUUUGCUGAGGUGCAUGAGUCAUGCUAUGUUGUCUAUCCUGGUUCUACAAAGAUGUACCAUGAUCUCAAGGAUAUCUAUUGGUGGAGUGGCAUAAAGCGAGACGUUGUUGAUUUUGUGUCCAAGUGCUUUGGGUGUAAAUAAGUUAAGGUUUAGCAUAUAAGGCCAGGUAGGUUAUAUCAAGUGAUUAAGUUGCAUGCAUAGAAGUGGGAUGAGAUCAAUAUGGAUUUCAUUAUUGGUUUUCCUCGGUCUCGGAACCAAUUUAAUUUAAUUUGGGUUAUUGUGGAUAGGAUAAUGAAGUCUGCACAUUUCUUUCCUGUGCAAACUAGUUUUUCGGUGAUGGAUUAUGCAAACCUUUAUCUUUCACAGAUUGUGAAACUGUAUGGUGUUCCUAUUUUGCUUAGUUCUGAUCAUAGUAGGUAGUUUAUGUCCCACUUCUGGUAGUCUUUCCAAAAAGGGCUAAGACUAAGGUGAGUUUGAAUACGAUUUUCAACCCAUAGUCAGAUAGGCAGAAAAAAGAACUAUUCAAACAUUUGAAGAUAUUCUUCAAGCUUGUGUGAUUGAUUAUGGUGGAGUUGGGUAGAGCAUUUACCUUUGGUAGAUUUUGAUUACAAAAAUAGCUAUCAUAAAAGUAUUGGUAUAGCUCAUUUUGAGGCAUUGUAUGGUAGGAGGUGUAGACCUAUUUUUAGUUAGUUUAAGCUCGGUGAGGCUAAUUUAUUUCAUUCGGAUUUGGUUCAUUAUGCUAUAGAAAAAGUGAAGGUGAUUCAUGAUAGGCUCAAGGCUACCCAGAGUCUCCAAAAGUCAUAUGAGGAUGUUUGGCAUAGAUAUUUAGAGUUUGCAGUUGGGGAAAAGGUUUUCCUUAAGGUGUCUCCUAUUAGGGAGUAGUGCAGUUUGGCAAAAAGGAAAGCUCAGUCCUCCAUUCAUUGAUCCUUAUGAGAUUUAGCAUGGAGCGGGCAAUGUUGCGUAUGAGUUGGAGUUGCCAUUUAGUUUGAGUUUGUUUUAUUUGGUAUGUCAUUCUUCUAUGUUAAGAAAGUGCGUUGGUGAUUUAUCUUCGUUUAUGCCUUUAGAAGGAUUGGAUAUCUCAAAUCCUUUGUCUUAUGAAUAGGUCCUAUUUAAGAUAUUGGAUAGGCCGGUUCAUCAAUUGCAGACCAAGGAUACGGUUUUAGUUAAGGUUCUAUGAUGGAAAAACAAAGUGAAAAAUCUAUGUAUGAAGCGGAAGAGGAUAUGAAGUCCAAGUAUCCACUCUUGUUUUCUGCUCUUGAUAUUCGUGAGGAAGGUAUGUUCUUGAACACAUCUUUAUUUUCUGAGUUUGUUAAAAGAAAUAUUUAACAUCUUUGCCUCUUUGUUUCAAACUUUGUUAAAGGGAUGUUUGAUAAUGCAAAUGACUCUGUGUGUAACCUUAUCUGUCAUUCGGGGAUGAAUGUUCCUAGUGUAGGAGACUGAAGCAUCCUUGGAUUGGACCCUUAGAAAAUUUCUAGGAAUCUUAUUCUUCAGAACCAUUAUGAAUCAUGGUAAGAAACGUAAGUUGGGGAACAAGUGGUGAAGACCUGUCAUAAGUUGCCUCUUGUAAUGCCCCAAGUUUGUACCCUGGAUGCUAUACGGUGCUAACAAUCCCGAAGGACCACUAGCUAACACAUGACUGGUACCUCCUGUAAGAACUGAAUAAUAAAGAUGCUGUAAUGAGAAAAUAAGGAAGUAAAUGCGGAAACUAUCAUAAGGUUAAAAUCUAAAAACAAUAUUGUAAACAGAAAACUUAAUGGUGGAAAACAACUAUAUGAAAACACUCUAGUCUGAUAAGCCUCUAAACUAUCUGAAAUAUGGAGUUAAUGGGACAAGACCCCAAUUAACUCUAGAUGACUACUGAAAUAACUGAAAUACUAAAAAAAUCAUGUCCUCAAAAUAUGAGAACUCACCACUACGCUAGCUGCUGAGAAGCUGUACUACUGAGGAUACUCAGGGGCCCGUGCAUCUGAACCUAUGAUAUAAGACAUCAUAGUGCAAAAAACCACAUGUCAGUACUUUAAAUAUACUGGUAUGCUCAAUGAGGUAGGCUUAAAUUCAUGGGUUCAUAAUACAUGAACAAUACUAACUAAAUAACAUAGAUAUGACCGAAUGGGGGUGCAUGUAUGAAUACGUAGACUAUAACUGAAAUUAUGAUGAUACAAAUACUAAUGCUAAAUACUAAUUUACUAAUAUCUGAGUUUACUGAUACUGUAUUACUGAUUAUCUGGAUGACCGUAUCUGACACUCCUGAAGUCUGUAGAACUAUACACUGAGUACUAAUCUGAGACUAAAUCUGAAAUUGAGAAUGUAGGAGGUAAUCAUCUAACCGACAUGCCCCAUUUCUAAAUAGAUUUUGGGGUCCAACCUGUAACCCCAGUUGGAAGGGUGCUAGUACCAUCCCAUGGGUAAAGACAACUGAAGAGAUGCCCUCAUCUGGCAGGUACUCUAAUGAGAAUGGUGGAACCCUCAACUGACAGGUUAAAACACCUUAUCAACCCUCUAUUGGCAGGUUUGAUGUCUCAACCUACACUGGCUAUGUAGUUUUGGAAUGCAAGGAUUGUUUCUAAGAAUCACACCCUCUACUGGAAGGUGAGUCCCCAUCCUUGGAUUCACUCGGUGUUGAAUCCUACUCAAAAUGAAUAGACACUGAACUGAUUUCCUAUUUCAUACUAGGCUUAACUGAACUGGACUGGAUUAGUACUAAGUUUACUAAAUUUUCCUGGAAUCUGGAACUGACUAAAAGUACCACUGAUCACGACCUGACUGAGACUAUUCUAUAACUGACACUGGCUCUAGGUAUAGAACUAAAUUGUUAAGUAUUAAAUACCACCAAGACUCGAUAGCGUAAAGAGUAAAGCGUAACAUAAAUCUUGAAGGCACAAUAAUGGAAACAUGUUCAUAAUUCACUUUCUACAGCAUUUAAUCAAACACUUGUAAAUCUUGAACUUGUACAUAUAUAGGUAUCCAUACUAUCAUGUCAUAAGUACACUAACAAUUCAUAUAGGCAUUUAAACAAACACCUUCAUGGAAUAGCUUUAACAUGGGAGCCCUUUAGACAAUAAUUAUUUCAUGGGCUCAUAAUUGAGAUAAACAAUGGAUCAAAUUUCACAAUUACUUCACAUAGGCAUUUUUGUUAAACACAUGGGAGGCAUCAUAUUAUACUUGGGCAUAAAUAAUAAUUCAAUACAUCAUGGCUACAUUAAUACUUUAAUUUCAAAGAUUUCAACCCACAUGCUAACAUAAAUUCAUGAAAUUCAUUAAAGACAUCAUCUUGGAAUUCACACAACAAGAUUAACAUGAAUACAAACAACCCACAACAUGGAAAUCAUGAUUUAAGAUUUUAAAAAGGGUUUCUUAAACUCCAAGGGUAAAAGGGCCCUUGGAUAAAUACUUCACAUACCUUUAUGCUUGUUUUUUAGAUGAUUGACGGUAGAAUUCUUGAGAUUAGAAUCUUGAAUUGAAAACCCUAAUGCUUGUUGUUGAGAGAGCUUGAGAGAAAGAUUGAGAUUUUACCCUAUAGGCUGAUUAAUUUCGUAUUAAGGUUGAAUAAGGUUGGGAAAAUGACCCACUUCCCCCCACAACCUGUAUUAAAAUAAUCCUGAAAAAGGAUGCCCUCGCGUCGCGAUCCCUACUUUGGUCAAGUAGCCAUCGCAAUGCAACCCCUACUUGGGUCAAGUAGCCAUUGCGGUUUGACCCUUACUUGGGUUGACUGGCCCUCGCGACGCGGGGCUAUCGCGACCCUUCACUAUUUUGGGCAUCCAAAUUCAACCUUACGCUAGUCUAAAAAAUUCAAAACUUACUUGAGAUGACCUCCAAGUAACCCUGAUCAUGAAUCAAUUCAUAAAUUGUCUAACUAUGGUCGGGAAGGUAGGAAAUAAAAUCCUCCAAAUUUGGAAUGCUAAAAUGAUUCUAAGUCUUGAUACUUAGCUAAAAAAAAAUUCUAAGUGUGGGACCCCUUAGUAAGCUUUAAAGGACUGAGUCAAGCUUAGAAUUUUGUAGGGUCUUACAAUAUCUCCCCCUUGGGAAUAUUCGUCUUCGAAUGAGGCUGACUAAGAUGAGAUUACAAAUGUACUGAACUUAUUUACUGGACACAAACAAUAAAACAUGAUUGAAACUACUAAUAUACUGAGUUUUUCAUACUGAGCAUACAUUUCAGAAUGUAACGAAUACAUGACUGAAUAUACUGACAAACAGGGUUUGUAUAAUGAAUAUGCAUAUAUGCAUGCAAUGAAUACAUGACUUAAAACAAUUCUUGAAUGCAUGACUUAAUAUGUAACGGCAAUUGAUACCAAGUUUUGCAAGGGAAUUCUAAGUAAGUUUUAAGGAAAACUAUUGCCUUGAGCUAAGUCUGAGUUGGCAGAGAAGAGGUGAGGUUACUUGGUUCACAUAUAUGCUUCUGCUUCCCAAGUAGCUCCCUCAACAGACUGAUUUCGCCAAAGAAUUUUGACUAGGGGACUUCUUUGUUCCUUAGUCUACAAAUCUGAUAGUCAAGGAUUUCAACUGGAACCUCUUCAUAAGAGAGAUGUUCUGAACGUCUAUGCCAUCUAUCACGACUACGACUACUGGGUCACCUAUGCAUUUCUUUAGCAAGGAGACAUGAAAUACUAGAUGGACUGAAGCUACAUCUAAAGGCAACUCAAGCUCAUAAACUACCUUUCUAAAACGGCUAAGAAUUCGGUAAGGACCGACAUAUCGGGGAUUGAGUUUCCCCGUCUUGCCAAACCUCUUCACUCCUUUCAUAGGAGAGAUUUUCAAAUACACAUAGUCACCAAUCUCAAACUCUAGAUCCUUUCUGUGCAUGUCUACGUAUGAUUUUUAUCUUAAGCCUUUCUCUAAUCAACUGAAUUUUUUCUAAGGAAUCAAAUACCAGGUCAGGCCCUACCACUGUAGCCUCACCCACUUCAAACUAACCAAUGGACGAACUAUAUCUCCUCUCAUAAAGCACCUUAAAUGGAGCUAUCUGAAUGUUCGAAUGAUAGUUGUUAUUAUACAAAAUCAAUUAAAGAUAAGUGGGCAUCCUAACUACUGUUAAAAUCAUUUGCACAUGCUUGCAGCAUAUUUUCUAAAGUCUAGAUGGUCCUUUUUGCGUGACCAUCUAUCUGAGGAUUAAAAGUGGUACUGAGGUGAACUCAGGUACCAAGACCCUUUUGGAAUGUCUUCCAGAAAUGAGAGGUGAACUGGGUACCCCUAUCUUAGACAAUGGACAAUGGAAAAUCAUGCAAUCUAACUAACUCCUUGAUAUAGAGUUUUGCAUACUCCUCAGCUAAGUAAGAGGUAUGGACUGGUAGAAAAUUAUUUGAUUUGGUCAUCCUAUCUACAAUGACCCAAACUAAAUCAUGUUGAUGACGAGUAUAAGGAAAACCAAUAACAAAGUCCAUGUUAACUUCUUCCCACGUCCAAGUAGGAAUGCUGAACUCCUGCAUGGACCCACUAGGUUUCUGAUGCUCAAUCUUAACCUACUGACAUGUAGAGAACUUAGCUACAAACUCUAGAAUGUCCCUAUUCAUCCCACUCACCAAUAGAUUUCCCACAAAUCAUGGUAUAUCUUCACGGCCACUAGAUGAAUAGAGUAAUGCACACCACGCACCUCUGUAAGAAUUUGCUGCCUCAAUCCAUCUACACUCGGUACACACAGAUGACUCUAAUAAUACAAUAUUCUAUCUCCCCCUUUUGAUAAUACCUAUACCUUCUGAUCGCUGACUGACUCUUUCAACUUAAUUAAACUGGGAUCUUUCUCCCUUUUUUCCUUUACUUUGGAAACUAGAGAUGAUUCUAAAUUAUUCUGAACCCAUACACUACCUUCUGUUGAGUUGACUAAGAGGAUACCUAAUCGGGCAAGUUGAUGGAAUUCUUGAGCUAAUUUUUCUUAUUACCAUCAACAUAAGCAACACUACCUAUAGACAGCCUAUUGAGAGCAUCAGCCACUUCAUUUACCUUGCCCGAAUUGUAUAUUACACUCAUGUCAUAAUAUUUUAAUAACUCUAACCACCUUCUCUGAUAGAGGUUAAGAUCUUUCUAGGAGAACAUAUACAACAGCCUCUUAUGGUCGGUGAAUAGAUCAAUGUGCACCCCAUACAAGUAAUGCCUCUAAAUCUUUAAGGCAAAAACUACUGCUGCUAUCUCAAGAUCAUGAGUAGAAUAGUUUUUCUUGUGGGGUUUAAGCUAUAAGGAGGCAUAAGCUAUUACCUUACCUUUCUGCAUGAGGACAUAACCCAAAACUAUUCUUAAUGUAUCACAGUACACAACAAAGCCAUCAGAAUAAUCUGGUAGGGUCAAAACUAGAGUUGUAGUAAGUUGAGUCUUCAACUCCUGAAAACUCUUCUCACAAGAAUCUAACCACUAGAAUUUGACCUUCUUUUGAGUCAACUUGGACAUAGGGGUUGCAAUAGAUGAAAAUCUCUCAACAAACCAUAGGUAAUAGCCAGCCAAACCCAAGAAACUCCUGAUGGAUAUCGGGUCUGGUCUAGUUUCUCACUUCUUCAUUCUUUUAGGUAUCAACUCUAAUGCCAUCACCCAAAAUUAUAUGGCCGAGGAAAGCUAUUGACCCUAGCAAAAAUUUGCACUUACUGAAUUAGGUGAAUAAUUGAUGGUUUCUGUGAGUCUAAAAUACUAUUUUGAGAUGGUCUACAUGAUCAUGUUCACUGCGGGAGUAAACAUGGAUAUCAUCUAUGAAGACUAUGUCAACCAUAUUCAUGUACUGCUUGAACACAUGGUUCAUCAAGUUCAUGAAAGCUUCUGGGGCAUUAGUAAGACCAAAUGACAUGACUAAGAAUUCAAAGUGGCCAUACCAUGUUCUGAAGGUUGUUUUUAGAAUGUCACACUCCCUGACUCUAAGCUGAUGAUAGCCUUAUCUGAUUUCUAUCUUAGAGAAGUAAUUGGCACCCUAAAUUUGAUCAAACAAGUCAUCGAUUCUAGGAAAUGGAUACUUGUUCUUGACUGUGACUUUAUUUAACUGACUGACUAUAGUUAAUACACAUUCUGAGGGAAUCGUCUUUCUUAAGAACAAAUAGAACUAGUGUGCCCCAUAGGGAGAUACUGGCUCUGAUGAAUCCCUUAUCUAAGACAUCCUUUAACUUCUCUUUUAAUUCUCUAAGUUUUGCUAGAGAUAUUCUUAUGGUAGAAUAGAGAUGGGCUGAGUAUCUGGAAGGAGAUCAAUUCAAAAAUCAAUUUCCCUUUUGAGAAGGACUCCGAGAAGAUCUUUGGGAAACACCUCUAGAAAUUUGCAAGCUACUAACACUAAUUCAAGUGUAGGGGUUUCUGAUCUGGAGUCCUAGACUUCGACAAAAUGGUAUACACACCCUUUAGAUAUCAUUUUUCUAGCCUGAAGGUAAGAAACAAGUUGAACCCUAAGUGCUGAAUUACUACCCCUCUACUCUAGGAAGGGUUCAUUCACAAACAAAAACUGGACAAUUCUGUUUCUGCAGUUGAUUGAAGCAUAGUAGGAAUAAAGAUAAUCCAUAAUGAGAAUGACAUCAAAAUCAGUCAUCUCUAAUUUGACUAAGUCUAUUGAAGUGAUUUUCUAAGAUACCACAACUAGAUAGUUCUUAUAUACGCGCUGAACUAUGAUGGGUUUACCCACUAGGGUAGAGAUUGAGAAAAACUCUGCUAGGAUUUUAGGACUGACUCAAAACUCAACUGCUAUAUAUGGAGUAACAAAAGACAAACAAGCUCCUGGAUCUAGCAAAUCAUAAACAUGCAAAUGAUAAACUUCUAAUGUACUAGUGACCACAUCAAGAGAAUUUUCCUAAUUCUAUCGGUACUGAAGAGCAUAGAGCCUAUUUAGGCACUGUCCACUAGUGGCACUGGCUGAGGCACCCUAUUAAUUCGAGUGAUUAGACUGAGCUGGAAGAUGGUUACGCUGACCCUGGAAACCUAACUGGGGACAAUAUCUGACUUUAUGGCCUGUCUUGCCAUAUAAAAAACAUACAUCAGUUCCUGCUCUACAGACACCCUGAUGGUUUCUGCCACACUACUGGCAGAGAGGAUUCAUUCAGGAACUGCUAAUACUACCCUGAGGUUUAGGGCCUGAUGCCCUAUCUCUGUUGCCCUCUCUAAAUUUUAGCACUAGAGCACUAGCUGAGGACGGGGAUGGAAUUAAAGAUUUUGGGUAGAAUUGAGAACAAUUCCCACCCUCCAAGUUAGGCUGAGCAAAGUUAAAACUACCUAUUCUAGCCAUCUUAUUAUGCUUCUCUCUCUUUUUAUUUUUCUACUCUUUGAUCUGUUGAGCAUGGACCAGCAGUCUAGACAAGUCCAUCUCACUAAUCAGCAUCUCGGUUUUGCACUCCUUAACCACAAUAUCAUUCACCCCAGACAUAAACUUACUCAUCUUAGACCUUCUAUCUACUACCAUGUGAGAAGCAUAUCUGGCUAAUUGAUUAAACUUUAGAGAAUACUCUUUCAUCAUCAUACUUCCUGCUUGAGAUUGAUAAAUUAUAGAAUCUUUGCUUCCCUUAUCUUCUGUGGGAAGAACCUACCUAGAAAAGUUGUGGAAAACUACUCCCAUUCUAUGGGCCCUACGUCUGCAGCCCUUUCUGCUUUCCACUAUUUAAACCACGAGUGAGCCACAUCCUACAACUGAUAUGCAGAUAGCUCAGCACUCUCACUAGCCAUCAUCCCUAUGACAUCAGUAACUUUCUACACCUGAUCAAUGAAUUCCUAAGGGUCUUUAGCUGACUUAGACCUGGUGAAAGAUGAAGGGUUCAUUCGGGUGAAAUCCUAAACCAAAACAGUCGUUGUCUUGGUGAUUGGGUUGUCUAGAAUAAUAUCUGAGCACUUAUUCUAUGCUGCUACAGCAUGAGCUAGGGUGGUAAAAGUAGUUCUGAACACAACAUGGGAGACAUGUUCAUCCACAGGAUCUGGCUAGAUGGAUUAGGGUUCUUGAUGGUCUCUUGUUCCUCUUCUCUUAGUUCUUUUGGGAGGCAUGAUCUAUAAAUAUAAGAGAAACUUGGAUUAGAUAGACAGUUUAACAAGAGCCUAUGCUCACUCGCACGACAUGAAUACUGAAAGAAGGGAAACUAUUCCUAAAACAUCUCAUCGCCUCAUGUCCACAAGUGUGGCGCGCUACACACCCAUGCACAAGACUCUACUCAAUAUGGCCUUUAGACUUCCUAGGACUCUGUUGAACCUUAGGAUCAGAUACAAAUUUUUGUAAUAUCCUGAGUCUGUACCCCAGAUGCUACACAGUGCUAACAAUCCCAAAGGACCACUAGCUAAUGGAUGACUAGUACCGGCUGUAAGCACUGAAUAAUAAAGACACUGUAAUAAUAAAAUAAGAAAGUAAAUGUAGAAACUAACAUAGGGUUCACAUCUAAAAAUAAUAUUGUAUACGGAAAGCUCAAUGCUUGAAAAUAACUGUCUGAAAAAUACUAUAGUCUGAUAAGACUCUUAAUUGUCUUAAAUAUGGAGUUGAUGGGAUAAUCCCCAACUAACUUUGACUGACUGCUAAAAUAAUUGAUAUGCUAAAAAUAAUCAUGUCCCCGAAAUAUGAGGACUCACCACUACGCUGUCUACUGAGAAGCUAUACUACAAAGGAUGCUCUGGGGCCCGUGCGUCUGAACCUAUGAUACAAGACAUCAUAGCGUAAAAAGCAUGUGUCAUUAUUUGAAUAGACUGGUAUGCUCAGUGUAGUAGGCUGAAAUGCAUGGGUUCAUGAUGCAUGAACAAUACUAACUAAAUAACAUGGAUAUGACCGAAUGGGAGUGCAUGCAUUAAUACGUAGACUGUAACUGAAAUUGUGAUGAUACUAACUAUUUAGUUUGAAUAAUAAUUUAUUAAUAUCUAAGUUUACUGAUAUUGUAUUACUAAUUAUCUGGAUGACCAUAUUUGAUAGUCCUGAAGUCUGUAAAACUAUAAUGUGUUCUAAUCUGAGACUGAAUCUGAAACUGAGACUAUGGGAGGUAAUCAUCUUACUGACAUGCCCCUUUUCUAAAUAAAUUUUAUGGUCCAACCUAUAACCCCAGAUGGAAGGGUUCCAGUACCGUGCCACGGGUAAAGACAACUGAAGAGAUACCCUCAUUUGGAAUGUACUCUAAUGAGAAUGGUGAAACCCUCAACUGACAGGUUAAAACACCUCACCAACCCUCGACUGGCAGGUUUGAUGUCUCAACCUAGUUGGCUAUGUAUUUAUUGAAUGCAAGGAUUGCUUCUAAGAGUCACACCAUCUACUAGCAGGUGUGUCCCCAUCCUUGGGUUCACUCAAUGUUGAAUCCUACUCCCAACUGAAUAGACACUGAACUGAUUUCCUAGUACAACUAGGCUUGAUGAACUGUUACUAAACUGGACUGGAUUAGUACUGAAUUUACUAUGUUUUCUUGGAUUCUAGAACUAACUAAAAGUACCACUGAUCAUGAUAUGACUGAGACUAUUCUGUAACUAACAUUGGCUCUAGGUAUACAGCAAAAUUGUCGGGUAUUAACUACCCCCAGGACUCAACAGCAUAAAGGGUAAAGCGUAACAUAAAUCUUGAAGGCACGACAAUGGCCACAUGUUCACAAUUCACUCUCUAAGGCAUCUCAUCAAACACUUGUGAAUUUUGAACUUGUACAUGUAUAGGGAUGUAUGCUAUCAUGUCCUAUGUACACUAACAAUUCACAUAGGCAUUUCAACAAACACCUUCAAGGCGUAGCUUUAACAUGAGAGCCCUUUUGACAUGUAUUUCUUUCACGAGUUCAUAAUUCAGAUCAACAAUGGAUCAAAUUUCACAAUUACUUCACUUACGCAUUUUUAGCAAACACAUGGGAGACAUCAUAUUAUACUUGGGCAUGAAUAAUAAUUUAAUACAUCAUGGCUACAUUAACCACUUCAAUUUCAAAGAUUUCAACCCAGAUGCUAACAUAAAUUCAUGAAAUUCAUUAAAGAAAUCAUCUUGGAAAUCACACAACAAGAUUAACAUGAAUACAAACAACCCACAACAUAGAAAUUAUUAUUUAAGAUUUUAAAAAGGUUCAAGGGUGAAAGGUCCCUUAGAUGAAACUUCACAUACCUUUGUGCUUAUGUUGGAGAAGAUUGAUGGCAGAAUUCUUAAGAUUUGAAUCUUGAAUUAAAAACCCUAAUGCUUGUUCUAGAAAGAGUUUGAGAGAAAGAUUGAGAUUUUUUCCUAAAGGCUGAUUAAUUUCUUGUUAAGGCUGAAUAAGGUAGGGAAAAUAACCCAUUUACCCCCCACAACCCAUAUAAAAUUAAUGCUGAAUAGGGCUACCCUCACGUUACGACCCCUAUUUGGGUUAAGUAGCCAUCUGAUGCAACCCUACUCAGGUCAAGUAGCUAUCGUAGCGCGACCUUAACUAUGGUUUAUUGGCCCUGGCGCUGCUGGGCUAUCACGACCAUUCAUUAUUUUGGGCAUCCAAACUUGCCAUUACGCUAGUCCAAAAAAUUUAAAACUUGCCUGAGAUGACCUACAAGUGACCCUGAUCAUGAAUCAAUUCACAAAUUGACUAAUUAAGGCCGAGAAGGUCAAAAAUAAAAUACUCAAAAUUUAGAAGGCUAAAAUGAUUCUAAGGCUUCAUACUUCGCUAAAAAUAUUCUAAGUUUGGCACCCUAUAGUAGGCUUUAAAGGACUGAGUCAAGCUUAGAAUUUUGCAGGGUCUUACACCACUCUAAUUCUUUUGCCUUCCCAAUACCCCUUCUACCACCCCUUCACUUCAAUAGUCACCUCUCUCUUUACCUUCUCCAUAUUUAUCCUCUUCUUUUCUCCAUUCAACUCCUCCUCGUCCUCUCUAUCUCUUUUAUUAUUAAUCUAAACUCUUCUCUACCAAAUGACCCAAACUCAAUCCAUGGAAAUCUCUCAAAAACCUUCGCUAGUAUGGGAUAUAUUUUAAUUAAUGAGGAGUAGUGUAGAAAGAAAUCCACUAGAGAAAAAUCUGAGUUCCCUAAGGUAAGUAAACCUAUUUGUAACCCCAUGUUUUAGGUAUUAAAGGAGUUGGAAGAACUCAAGGACCGCAUGAGUAUUGUCGAGGAAGAGGUGGUGUUGCUUCAGGUGUAAACUUCCAAAUUGCUGCAGCUUGGGAAGAGCGCUAAUUCUGACAUAAGCAAAGUAAGUUUGACCUUUGAUUAUUUCAAACCUAAAGGCAUAAAUUUUUUUUCCAAAGUAUUCUCUCGCAUGGACUCUUUCAAAACCGAAGAAAGCUCUUCCAACAAUGACCUUGCUAUUGCUUUUCAGAACUUCUAUUUCUUAUUUUUUAAGAAUAUUGAAAAAUCAUAUGACGAUUCUGUCACAACAUGUAUGAUACCCUCACCUACUUCUUGGCCAAACUAUAACUCUGAUGACUUCUAUUAGAAAGGGGGUCCUAUACUUUUUCAAAUUAUGGGUUGUAAAAUGAUUUCACACAAACUAUGGGGUUUUUAACUUCACCUUGAUGUAUAUCUGUGUGGUUUUCUUGGUUUGUGUUUUUGUUCCCUUCCUGUGUGUUGUUUCUUUUUUAUUAUGUCAAAGGGGGAAAACAAGAACAUCGGAGAUAACUAUCAAGUCAGGGGGAGAUAGUCCAGUCAACGAAAGUCAAUUGGCAUUUCAAAAUAUGAGAGUUGGAAAAAUAGAGAAUCCAGUCGAUUAUAGAAACAGAAAAGCUAACAGUUGUUUAAGUAGUAUUUGUCAUUAUCAAAAAGGGGGAGAUUGUUAGCUUUCUAUGGUUUCAUUUUAAUAAUGAUAAACUAAUAAGUAGAUAUUUCUAUGAUAUUGGAAACUUCUAAUGAUGGAAAGAUGUCUAACACAAAGAUUUAAAGGAUUAGAAAGUUGAUAAAGGUAAGAAAGACGGCUCCAAGAAUGGAAGAAUAUCCAAUCACGAUCUACAACAUCCAAGCAAAUCAAUCAAAACAAGAACAAAAGGAAGGAAAAUCAUAAAUCCCGAAAUCAUGAAAAAUCCAUGAUCUACAACAUCCAAAAGAAUCAAUAAGAAUAAAAACAAAAAAAAAGAAAUUCACAAAUUCGAAAAUCAUGACAAAAGCAUAAGAAAGAAGAGACCACGGAUGUAUCUAAUAUGGACGCAAGUAAGAAUUUGUGUAUGGAUUUAUCUGAUAUGGACAUACCAUAUAGUUACUUUCCUUAAAAUAAAGCAUCUUGGGUUUGGACCCUUAGAAAAUUUUGAGGAAUCUCUUUCUUCUGACCCAUUAUGACUCAUGGUACGUGACAACGCCCAAGAGCACAUGCAAGUAUGCGUGGUCUACCAAUUAGUAAAGUGUCCUUCAAGAAAGCCGAGUUAUUGAUCCCAUAGGGACUUGUGUUAAACAACUAUCUAAUUCUAGUUUAAAAACUUGAGAAGAGUAACAAUAAAGUCUUAGAAUUAUAAACUAAAAGUAAACUAAACUAAUCCAGUAAAGUAAUGACUUAGGACAAUCGUGGAUAGAAGCCCAAGGUUAAUCAUUACAACCAAUCAUACUACGUUAUUGAACUUUAUUCGUUGCAUUACUUAUCGUGGUUGUGUAUUCAUAGGGUUAAUUGCAUGAUUAUUGUUUUCCAACCUCUAAUCCUUUACCUAAGUUGCACCUUACACCUAUAUUUUUUAGCAGGGAUAUAAUAAUCCAGUUAAGUUAUGUAAGCUAUCAUCCUAUGUUUGAAUCAAGUAAGGCAUCUAAGCACAUCCCUAUGCUAGAUGCUAAUUCAAGUCUCUUACUUUAUAAAGAAAUAAGAACCAUACUUAGCUUAUUCCCUUGUUUUAUCUCCCUAUUCCCUCUCUCGAGAUAACAAGGUUGAAAAUUUAUGUAUUCUAAGGGUAGCUAAUCCUUAAAAUAGUUAAAACAAGAAUAAACAAGGAACCAAUAAUAAUAAUCAAGUCAACAAACUUAAUUUAAAAUGAAAGUAGUCACGAUCUUGGCAUUAAUCGCGGAAAGGGAGAUGUAGCUUUUAAUGGAAAUAUUCAUUAUCCAAUCCCUUGGAUUGAUGAUACAAACCAUGAAAAAAAAAACUAAAUUAAAGAGAUAUAAACCCUAAAAAAAGUGUUGAGAAGCCCCAAAACUAGUCUAAUACGUCCAAAAGUAUGUAAAAACUUGAUAUAAAAUGUAUUUAUAGCAAUCAGGUAAGCCAAGUCCGUAUUGGAAUUGAAUUAGAAUGAAACACCUAGGGGUUGAGUGGACCAUGCAUCACACCAUCUAUUCCUAUGGAAUGGAGAAUACGACACACCCUCUAUUCCAUAGAAAUAGAGCAUGUGACGCACGUUUAUCGGACGCCUUCACUGGAAUUUACAUACAAAAUUUUGGUUAAGUGUUGGUCCUUCCUCCUUCCAUCACUUAUCUUGUGGUGUCUUUCCAAUGAUUUUCCAGCCUCUAUAUCAUCCAUAUAUCAUCAUAUUAAGAUAAAAAAGGAUCUUUCAAGAAAACACCACAUGAAUUAGAGUUACAAAUACACAAUAUCCAUCAUGAUAAACCAAAAACAAGAGCUUAGACUAGGUUGAUUUCCAUGAUCUUUCACUUGAAGUUUCAACUUUUUCCUUGACUCACUUGAACUUUAAACACUACUAGAAAAUUGUUGCACAUAUAAAAACGCAUAUAAACCAUAAGGAACAAUUAAAACACAAUAGAAUCAAUCAAGAUAGACUAGACAAGCAACUAUCUCAACCUAGAAAGACUAGUUUUCUCUAUUGAACUCAAAUUGACUCUUUGAAGUACCAACUUACUUGGAAUUUACUUUGAACCUUAUAAACACAUGUUUUAACACUUUGAUACAUAUUUAUUUCAUUAUCAACCCCUAUAGCAUAGAGUCAUCCUCAAAACAAGGCUAAAAUAACUAGAAUAGUGACAAUAGAAUGCAUAAAUAUACCCUAACAUCACCACCCCACUCUUAAAGCCUUGUUCGUCUUUGAACAACUCUUAAUUGUAAUUAUUAUCAACUCAGGAGACUCUACAUUUCUACUAAAUGCAAGACACUCAAGGUAGUAAUACAAUGACUACACAGAAUGCAAGUUACUACACUAAGCAUGUUAUUUACACAAUUGAUAGCUCAUGAACACUACUCCAAAACAUCCUAGCCUCAAGAAUUGACUCACCUAGUUGGCAAACUCAUGUAUAUUUCUCAAUAAAGGACAUCAUAUAAAUCAACCACAUUCAUCAAACAUGUGUCUUCAUAAUAAGAGAGUUACCCAUAAUCACUAACAAUAUUGUAAUUUAUCACAUAAUGGGUACAAGAAUUAAAUUACACUCACUCUUACAAAGAAUUAACAAGUUACACAUACUGAAUCAUAAGCUUUCCCUUAGGCUAGUGCUCUACUAAUAUCAGAAUGUAAAGUAUAGGAUUAAUUAAGACUUUUUCGGGUUGCAAUAUAGUCUAAGGGACAGGUAGGAACUAUUUGAAAAUAGUAAAUAAAAUCUCUAAGAACUUUAAUGCACUACAUCAAACAUUUAACAUCAAUCUUCAACAACCAACUUACACUAUUUUUACUACCCCAUUCUUUUGUUUUGCCCCAUUUUCUUUAAGCAUUUUCACAAACACUUGGUGGGCAUAUUCUCUAUUCCUUUAAGAUUUAAUAUUUCUCAAUUUGUACAAUCAUGAAAAUAUUCCUAACAUCAUUUAUAUCACUCCCAACCACCACACAUCAAAUAUAAACACCAAUAACUCUUAUCUUGGGGCAUCAAUUUCACCUUUUUCUUUUUCAAUUUCUCAAACUCCUUACUAAUUUAAUUUUUUUUCAAUUAAAGAACCUAGGAGCUUUUUGGAUCAAAUUAAGUUCCAUCAAAGAAAAGGAAUAAGGAUUUAUAUGAUGUUGCCAAAGAAAAGGCUAAAGGCUCAAUAGGGGUUAACUAGAAUAAUGCACAAUAGGUAUGACAAAUAGAAGGAAUAAAACAAGGGUAUCAAAGAAACGCCCAAAUCAUCUCCUAAACCCACACUCUUUAUUUUACUUUACACACACACCGGGCAAGUUCUAGACUUCACAUGCAACAAGGAAUAUACCAAAUCUCACACUCAUAUGGAACAUGUUCAACUCAUAUAGGAUUAUGAUAGAAUACUCAUCAAACAAUAACAUGAAUUCAAAAUUAAGCCAACAAGUACAAGAGUCACAUAUAUAAGACUAGGAGUCUAAAAAAUAGCAAUUAAUUUAAUCAGCAUGCUUUUACAAACAAAUCCACUAGCUUCAUGUAAUAAAAAAUAGCACCAACAAGAAUAUCUUAUAAAAAAAUUAAAUUAUGCCAAAAAUUAGGAAUUUUCCCACCCCACACUUAAAAAUCUACUUUGUCCCCAAAGUGAACUUGUAAAGUAAGAGAUAGAAAUACUCCCUAAGGCCUUUAAUCCUAGAUAAUAUUAUAUUUUUAAAUUAAUGAGAUCCAUGGGAGCCCCACACUUAGUUUUUCCCAUGCUUCUUAGCUCAGGUUUUCAGUACUUAGACUUCCCAUAAACUUGUGACUCAACAAAAACAAAAAACUAUGUUAAAUAAAAAAAAUUGAAAAUAAAACAUACCUAAUUAACUUGGGUUGAUGCCCAAGAAACACCUAAUUUAGUGUCGUGGAAUGACCCAAUCAACUUUUUUCUCCACCUUAAGGAUAUUAAUUUCACCCCCAACUUUAUAUCCAACUUUUUCCCUUGCUCAUAUGGUGGUGGUACAAAGAUUAAUGAACUGAGUAAUGGAUGAUGAAUGGUAAACCACUCGGCGUUAAGGUAAGGUGUGUUCUUAAGUUGCUUAUCUGGUCUAAAAUUAAGAAUAUAGGAUUCUUGUUCCUCAUCUGCACACUCUUCCAAUCUUAUAGAUGGUUCCACAACAAGAUAUCACCUAAAAAUAAUGUAGAAAAGUGCUUUGAGUGAAUCCCAACCAAUCCCACAUCAAAAUUUACACUAUAUUCAACAUUAUCACUCAUAUUCACCUUCUAAAUUUCAGUCUCAAAAGAAAGAUGACAAUCGAGUGGCUGUGAUUCUUGUGUUUGUUCCAUAAAUUGGCUAAUAUCCUCCUCAUAUUUUUCUUUUCUUAGCAUCUAUAGACAUGGUAGAGGUGGCAUCUCCUCAGCCAUUUUAACAACUUUAGUUUUCAAGUACUCAUACUACCUCAAAUUAUCAUUAAUUUUAUCUACAAUCGGUUGGGGAGUCAACUCUGCAUCUACCUCCUACUGAUUAUACAAUUUCUUUAAAGCCUCCCGAUGGUUCUUUACAUUUGCUAACAACUAUACUUGAGAUGCUAAAAGUUUUUUAAUCAUCUUUUCAAAAUUGCUAGUUUGAGUUGUCACCUGCAUGUUUGGUUAUUUCUCCUAAAACUACUGCUGGUUAUUCCAUGAUUGAGUUUGUGACUGAUUCUAACCCGUUUGAUUAUAGUUGUUUAUAUAAUUUUGCCUUUCACAUAGGCCACAAAUAAUUCUGAAUCGAGAUUGAUAGCACACAUAGCUGCAAUAUGACAACUUUGACCAAAAACCAAACACCAAGUUAUAGUCUGCUCCACAGAUAGAACAGUAUUUGUAUCAUAUUAUGAAGGUCCUAUCCAUGCACUUCUAUCAAAAUCUGGAUAAUAAGCCUCAUGAUGUGGUCCCCUAUAAAAAUGACAAGAAUUGUUAUCACUCGAAAAGCAUCUUACCAACCUGACAUAUCAAGAAGUGUGAUAAAAAGAGAAAUAAAAGAAAAUAAAAAAAACUAAAUAAAAACUAUUUACAACUCAAUAUAUAAAAACAACAAAAAGAUAUUUGUGAAUUCAAGUCCAUGGCAACGGCGCCAAAAACUUAACAAUGCACACGCAAGUGUAUGUUGUCUACCAAGUAGUAAAGUUGCCUUUAAGAAAGCCGAUUUAUCAAUUCCAGAGGGACUUGUGUUAAAAAACUAUCUAAUUCUAGUUUAACAACUUAAGAAGAGUAACAAAUAAAGUUUACUAAACUAAUGUAGUAAAGUAAUGACUUAGGAUAAUUGUUGGAUAGAAGCCUAGGGUUAAGGCUUAUGACCAAUCAUACUACAUUAGUGAACUUCAUUUGUUAGAUUGCAUAUCGUGGUUAUGGAUUCAUAGUGUUAAUCGCAUGAUUAUGGUUUCCCAACCUCUAAUUCUUUACUUAAGUUGGACCUUACACCUACAACAUUGUGCAGGGAUGUAAUAAUCUAAUGAAGUUUUGUAAGUUGUCAUCCUACAUAUGAAUCAAGUAAGGCAUCUAUGUACAUACUAGUCCUAGUUUCUAAUUCAAGUCUCUUAUUUUAUAAAGAAACAAGAACCAUACUUUGCUAAUUCCCUUGUUCUAUCUCCCUAUUCUCUCUCUCGAGAUAACAAGGUUGAAAAUUAAUGUAUUCUAGGGGUAGUUAAUCCUUAAAAUAUUUAAAACAAGAUUAAAAAAGAAACCAAUAAUUAUAAUCAAGUUAACAAACUAAAUUCAAAAUGAAAUUAGGCAUAAUAUUAGCCUUAACCCAGGAAAAGGAGUUUUAGCCUUUAGUGGAAAUAUUCAUCAUCUAAUCCCUUGGAUUGAUGAUAAAAACCUUGAAAUAAACUAAAAUACAAAGAUAUAAACCAUAAAAUAAGUGUUGAUCACCCCCACAACUAGUGUAAGACAUCUAAAAGUAUGUAAAAAUGUGAUAAAACAUAUAUUUAUAGCAAUCGGGUAAGCCAAGUCUGUGCUAGAAUUGAAAUAGAAUGAAAAACCUAGGGGUGGAGUAGACCAUGUGUCACACCAUUUAUUCCUAUGGAUUGGAUCAUGCAAUUCACCCUAUAUUCCAUAGGAAUAGGUCAUGCUAUGCACGCUUAUUGCACGCCUCGACUGGAAUUUGCAUCUUAAAUUUUUGUUAAGUGUUGGGCCUUCCUUCUUCCAUCCCUUGCCUUGUGGUGUCUUUGUAAUGAUUUUUCAGCCUAUAUAUCAUCCAUAUAUCAUCAUAUUAAGCUCACAAAUGGUACUACAAAAAAACACCUCACGAAUUAGAGGUACAAACACACAAUAUCCAUCAUGAUGAAUAAAAACAAGAGCUUAGACUAGGUUGAUUUCCAUGAUCUUUCACUUGAAGUUUCAACUCUUUCCUUGACUCACUUGAAAUUUAUAAGCUACUAACAACUUAUUCCACAUAUAAUAGUAUAUAUAAACCAUAAGUAACACAUAAAACACAAUACAAUCCAUCAAGAUAGAUUAGACAAACAACUAGCUCAAGCUAGAAUGAGAGUUUUCUCUAUUGAACUCAAAUUGACUCUUUGAAGUACCAACUUACAUGGAAUUUAAUUUGAACAUUAUAAACAUAUUAUUUAACACUUUUGUACAUAUUUAUUUCAUUAUAAACCCAUAUAUCAUAGAAUCAUCCUUAAAACAAGGUUAAAACGACUAGAAUAGUGGCACUAGAAUGCAUAAAUACACCCCAACAUCAGUACGAUCCAUAACCUAGGGUAUGAGUGGUGAAGACCUAUCAUAAAAUAACUAGUGUUAGUUGGUGUGAUGGUUUUCAAAACUGUAAUUGAUACAAAUUAAGGGUAUAAGUCGUAAGUCAUGGGUUUGAGUCGUAUAUGUGACUCGUAAGGUGGUUAGUGUUUAAUCCUAUUGGUGUUACAUUCUACCAGGAAUACUUAUCAUGGGUGAGGAUCAUACGCUGAGGUUAUUACUUGGUUGGAUGAGAUGUAUAUUGUAUAGUGUCUGAUCCAUGGUUGAAGAUUGAUUAUGAUUGGGUCGGUAUCAACCGUAAGCUAGAUUACAACUCAUAAGAACGUCAGUCAUAACCCUGUGUCUAGUUUGUUUGGGAUUAAAGUGGGGAUAUUAUGGACAUUUCCCUACUUACCCUAAUAACGACCCAUGAUAUCUAAUGCACUUGGGAGGUUAUUAACCUUAUUAUUUUAUUCUUAAAUGCUUAGAAUCUCUUCCAAAACAUAUCACAAUUCUUUCAGGAGCUAGGGUUUCAACUAUGGAAUUACUUUAGGGCUUGUCUUCGUGAAUUAUUUCCAUUAAUAUUCUUGGCUUAAUGCAUGACUCUCUUCCCUACUUGUAAUUUCAAUUAAAUUCAUGGUCAUAUAGUUGACUUCAUGAUUUGUUCUUUUGCUUAGUUUUGUCUUUAAUCACUGAUUUAGGGGUUUUGAUGUUAAAGGAUUGGAUAUGAUUUCUUAUGGUUUUAAUUAUGUUUUUUUAUACAUUAAUGGUGGUUUUGGAUAAUGGAAUUGCAUGAUAAUAGAUUAAUGGUAAUGGAAUUUGGUUUUCGUUGUACUAUGCCCCCAAGCUGUUUGAUAAAAUACUUAUUAAGAUAUGAUCAUUGCAUUAACUUAUGUUAAAGGAACUCUUGCUUGUUUUCAUUUUAUAUAUGAAACCUUUCAUUUUUUUCAAAGGUUUACAAAGUUUAAUGUCUAAUUGGUAAUGCUUGUAGGAAACAUGGUAGUCUCCCAAAAGGUUAAUAUAUUAAAUGAAAAGGGUACCGAGAGUCCACUUAAUCUAAAUUAUUUGGCUACGGAUAAUUCUUGCAAGUAUGGUGAAGAUACCAUUGGUUGAUCAAAUAGCCUUGGUUAAUAAAUGGAUAAUUUGAUUAUUUUGGACUUGGUUUUAAUUGAGCAUUAAUAUCAAGAAGUGUAAGCUAAGCCAUAGAAGGUGGCGAUCUCAGGGGAUCAAAAUUGGAAACUUAUAUUUGAUGAUAUGAGGAUUUUCAAUGGCCAUGUACAAGUGUCACAUUUAUAUUAGAGGGAUAUAGUCAUCCUUGGGUUAUUGCCUAGUCAUUUGGAUANNNNNNNNNNNNNNNNNNNNNNNNNNNNNNNNNGCUACAAGGCCCAAGUUAAGGAUUUAAAUGUAAUGCUAAACUCGGUCCCUUAUCCCAACACUUAUAUAUAUAUAUAUAUGGUUGUUUGCAUUGGAUUAUUUUAACUUGGUUUUGAUAACUGGCAUUACUUAUCCUUAUCCUGAGAUUCAUGCUAGUAUUCACCCGCUAACCCAUCUACUAGCGGUUGUAUACCCAUUCUAUGAAAAAACCAAAUGUUUUAAUCCUCCUUAAUAGUACUUUAUUUGGGGACAACUUAUUGGACUAAAGUGGUGAGCUUCCAUCCUUUCAAACGACAUUAUUUUAUGUUGGACAUUCUUAGACUUUUUUUAUUUUAGGAUAUUAGUUUUGGCCAUAAUUGGAGAAACGUCCCAACCGAAUAUUCGUAUUCUUUUGGAUAGAGGCUUUAUGGUACUUCUAGGGGUUUAAAUAUGUGAGAUAGGUAUUAGUGUUAACCUUGGUAUCGAGAUAGAUGUUAGGGAUUAAACCCUUGUACGAUAUAUUUGUUUCCUCUAUUAUAUUAUAUUUUGGGUUUCACUUUCAUAUUAUGUUUUGAUAUUCUCUUUUGUUUGGUAUGGAAUGGAUGGUUGGUUUGGAAUGGACAGGCUUGCUUGGGUCGGUCAGGGUUGUGACCCUAUCCCAAAGUCUUCUUCAGAGCAUUGUAAAAUCUUCUUAUAUGGCUGAAAUUUAUCUCCUCUAAGUUUGUCUAAGGUGGUUGGGUUAGGUUAAGGGGGUGGUCCCUAGUUCUAUGUGGAUUUAGGAUGCCCAUUAUAAUGAGGCCACGAUCCGGGCUACGUCACAAUCAAGGAAUUAAUUCAAAUCCUUGAUUGAAUAAAAAUCUCUUAGGUUUCCUUACAACGAGUAGCAACUGAAGACUAUAAAAGAAGAAGUCUAAAGAUAGACAAAGAUUAUGAAACUUCAAGAAGAAUAUUGAAGUAUCUUAAUCUUAGUCUCACAAAGCUUUUUAACUUUUAUUUUACAAUUAUUGUAUAAAGAGUAGGAUCAAGUCAACUUUGUAACACAAACUAAAGUUGUUUCACAAGAUUUGAAGAACAAAAUAAGUCUUCAAAACUUGUUUCCCAUCAUUGUACUCGAUCCCGACAUUGAAUGAUCUAAAGAAAUAUUGUAACCCAAGGGUACUGGAAGUAGGCACAAUAAUGGUGUUUCGAUCUAGGAUAAAUAUCUAGGUCUUUGCUUUACAUUUGAUUAUUUAUUUUCUUAAUUAUUUCAAAUUUAAUCUAUUUUGUAAAGUGUACUGAUCUACAGGCGAGUCGACUUUGAGGAUCCAGUAGUCGACUCACAAAAAAUUUUCAAUUCACCCCCUCUUUAAUUUCAUUCAGGUUUUAGAGGAUAUAAUCCGCGCUUGUGUGAUGGACUUUGAUCGUUAGUAGGAGUAAUAUCUAUCUUUGGCAAUGUUUGCAUAAAAUACUAUCUACCAUUCCUGUAUCGAGAUGGCUCCAUUCGAGGCCUUGUAUGGUUGGCGUUGUCGCACUUCAGUUGGUUAGUUUGACUUUUUAGAGAUUAAACCUCGAGGUAAGAGCUUGAUUUAUGAGUCUUUAGAUAUAGUUUGGGUCAUUAAGGAUAGACUUAGAGCGGAUUAGAGUAAGUAGAAAUAUUAUGCAGAUAGUAGACUUUGUGUCUUGAGUUUUAGUGUUGGUGAUUGUGUCUUCCUUCUAUUUUACCUAUGAAUGACAUGAUAAGAAUUGGGAAUAGGGAAAAGCUUAGCUCGAGGUAUAUUGGACCUUUUGAAUUCCUUUAGACUAUUGGGGAUGUGGCUUAUGAGUUCGCAUUACCUCUAGAUUUAUAAGCUAUUCAUCCAGUUUUUCAUGUUUCUAUACUUUAGUGUUACAUUCUAGAUUAUUCUUAUGUAAUUCAUUAGGAUUCAGUACAGUUGGAUGGGCGAUUAUUAUUUAAGGAGCUUAUCUCCAUUCUAACUAUGGAUGUUAGACAGUUGUAUUAUAAGGUUAUUUAUUUAUUUAAGAUCCAAUGAAGGCAUUAAACAGUAGAUAAUUCUACUUAUGAAGUCGAGUUUGAUAUGCAUAGUAGUUAUCCCUAACUUUCUUCUUAUUUGGGUAUUUCUGUAGUCCAUAGUUUGAGGAAGAACUAGAUUUUUAGUGGUAGAUGAUGUAAUGAUUUGAUUUUUUGUGAUUUUUGUAAAAUAUUCACUUUUGUAUGAUUUGACAAUUUUACCCAUCCCUGUGGUUGCUUUUUGGUAUUUCAGAUGUAUAGGGAUGAUUGGCAUGGUUUCCGAUGUAUUUCAGUGUGAUUUGUACAAGUUUGUAGUUUUUGGUGGCUUAAAAAGCCUUAGAGAUGACUUCGGUCAACAUUUAUUGAUUUAUCCAUCAGAUGGGAAAAUGGACUAUGCCAGCAGAUCAAGAACAUCAAUUUUAGGUUGGUAACAUAGUUGGUGUGGUUUUACAAUUUUAUAUCUCAUUUCGAUCCUCAGUUUUGAAAGUUACAAAAUUAGGUUUUGGGGGUAUUUUGUAACAAACAUUUUUUGAAAAUAUGAUAUUGUCAUUGAGUUAGCAGCAUCGAAUUAGUAGGAUAGCAUAGUUUAUUUAUGUACUCAGGAUUUUGGAUGAAUCUCGAGGGGUUCGUGGAGUCAUGGAAUUCUCAAAACAUCCAGCUGGUGCACUACUCUGUUGGUGCACUUACUUAAGCAAUGCUUUGGCUGCUUAAGUGACUUGGCCCAAUAGCUAAAGUGUCGCCUAAGCAACACCAGGCCCACUUAAGCAAUUGCCUGGUCGCUUAAGAGACACUAACAAGCCAAAAACCUACCGCUUAAGCAAUACUAAAGUCACUUAUGUGACAAGGAAGGCUUUACUUAUAUGAUGCCUAGUCUCUUAUGUGAUAGCUACUUAAGCGACCCGGUAGUCGCUUAGGUGAUGUUUGGGUAGAUUACAACCCCAUUUUUGAGAUUUUUACACCAUUUUCAAGACUUAGAUCUGGGGUUUGAGUUUUUGAUCAUUUUCUUCAAUUUCUAAGCUUGGAUAAGAUCCAAAUCCCUAUUUUAAUUAUUUUCCUUUGCAUUUUAUCAUCUAAAUCUUGUUUAAGCUCAGAUCAAAAGUUGGAAUUUUGGAAUUUUGUACUAGAAGGCCCAAGUUACCAAUUCUUUGAUUCAAACCCAAAUUUCAACCCAUUUUCCCUUGUGUUUUCCCCUAUGAUUUCAUUUAAUCUUGGGAAAUAUAUUUUUGGAUUGACAUUUUGGUUUUACCCUUUUUUUCAAAAAUCCAUUUCGAGGGUUCAUUUUGACCCUAAUUAGAAAAGGGCAAUAUGGUUAUCAUUUACUUUCAUUUGAUCUAGAGAUUCAAUAUUUAUGUGUGUUAGCUACUUUUAACCUCGUGUGUAAGGUAAAAGCUCGGUGUUAAAGGAUUAUUAUACUUGUAUUAGCAUUCGAGGUAGGUUAUGGCUUAAUUUUCUUUAAAUUUGAUUGGGUAGUUAAUAAUAAUGUGAAAACAUGCUAUGGGUAUGGGCUUGUAUCAUGGAAAAUAUUUAUAUUUGAUUUAUGUGCACAUGUGGGACCUAUGUUGUUGAUAUGUGGUUGUUUUGAGAUAUUAUUUGUUAUGUGUGGCAUCAUGACGUCUUAUAUGGUGUUGUUGGCCUAGUAUUUAUAUAAAUACAUAUGUGUGUGUGUGUGUUUGGUUGUAAUUCCUUUGGUGGAAAAAUCCUAAAUUUUGGGAUUCAUGUGGAAUCAAUGGCAUUUUACUAGUAUGUUUCACUUAAUGGUUUUUGGAUUAUAUUGGAUUUUGGAUGGUUGAAUGAUUUAUGUAGAUUUUUUUGCUCAGAUGGCUGGUAUAUUGAUUGGAUAUUAUAAAUUCUCAUUUUUGUUGGUUAUGAGCAUUACACCUCAUAUCAUAUUCAAUCAUGAAACAUUGGUACCACCGUUGAAAUACUAAAAAUAUUUGAAACACUAACUUUUUCUGACAAAAAAUAUGACAUCUUUAAUAGCCCUCUACCGAUGUUUGUGCCAAAGAGGAGUAUGGAUAUUGGUAUUUGAUAUUUGUUGUAUACCAAUUGACGAACCCUCCAUUGGUCCUACCUGGGAGCAUAGCUUAAUAAUUAUAGGUUGACGAACCUCCCAUGGGUCUUACACCUACAGCUCAACUCGGUAGGUGUAUAUGGAGGUUGUAUAACAACCUCGUGCAUCAUCAUCUUCUUCAUUGCAUUACAUAUACUGUGCUUAUCCCAUGAUUGUGUUUCCUGUUCUUGACUUGAUAUCUGUCCUUUUGUUCUAUCUUCUUAUACUUAUAUUUGGAGUAUGUGUAUAUUUAUUCUUAUUUCCCUACCUAUAUUUGUUAUAUGUAUAUAGAAUAGAAUUGUUAGUGGAGAUUGUGUAGGCUACUAUUUUGGACUUUUUUUUAUUGCAGGUGACGUGGCCAUAGUUUGUGUUUAUAUGUUUUAUUUUCUACUUUACUUAGUCGGUCUAUGAUACCUACUAAGUAUAAAUGGAUUGUACUCAUCCCUACUGCACCCUUUUGGUGCAGAUCCAAGUACGAGUGCACUGUAUGGAUAGAUGAUUCAAGAGGCAUUUGGAGUCUAUUCAAGGUAGCAGUUGAUCUAUGCAUCUGGAGUUGGCUACUACCUUUUCUUGUUUAGAACAUGUCUUAUUUUUAUUCAUAGCCAGAGUUAUUCCUUUCGGGAUAUCCUAUGCAUAUUUUGACGUCAAGUUAUAUUAAUUGGUUCUUACAUUGUGACAACAAAUUUUGGAUUUUGUUUUUUAUCUUUGAUUAUAUUUCUGCUAUUAUCAUGUUUUGUGGCUCGACUUUACUUUAAAAUCCUUGUCUUGGGUUUUGGUAUUGAUUUCUCUUGUCUUAUUAGUUUGGGUGAUAGUCUUAUAGGUCAAGGCUUGCCGCGAUGAGUGCUAUCAUUACCGUUGGUUUUUAGGUCAUGAGAAAUGAGUUAAAAUUGUGAGAUAAUGAAUUAGAUGUCGAUUAAAGUCUCAUCAAGUGUUCAGUUCGUGACUUAUUUCUUUACUUUAAAAUGAAAGAUAGAAAUAAAAAAAUAAAAAUACAAGUGAAAGAUCCUAUUUAUGCAGUUUUUCUGGAAUCUUGACUUGAAUCUUCAUGACCUCUAAUGUUGUGGGAUAAUCUUUAUUUUGAGUUAAACUUGAAAAAUAAAUUUUCCUCCAUGACGACUCUUGGUAUUGGAGAGGAACUUGAAAAUUGACUGCAUUCUUCAGGUGGUCACUUGAUACUUCUGACAUUGAAACUAAGAAUCACCCAGUUUUUCAUGUGGGCUCCUAAAUUUGAACUAAAAUUAUUGAUCCUAUUAUCCAGAUGGGUUACUGAACUUGAAAUAAAGAUUGAUACUAUUCUCCAGGCAGGCUUUCUAAGUAUCAAAACUAUAAGUAAUUCUUGUUCUUCGAACGAGUUCCUAAAUCAAAAUAAAGAGUAAACUAGAACAGUAAAUCCUAUUUUUCAGGAGGGUCUUGUGCAAAAAAUUAAAGUCCCAUUUUUCAUGAAGGUCCUAAAGAGAAAAAUAAAAUCCCAUUCUUAGAAGGGUCUUACUAAUCAAAAUUCCACUUUUCAGGAGUGUCCUAAAUAGCAAAAUAAUAUCCCAUUUUCCAAAAGUGUCAUGAACAUAAAAUUAAAGUUCCAUUAUCUAGUAACAUUAACAUUAAAAGACAUAGAAAAAGACAUUAAAAUCCCAUUUUCCUCAUGUCAGUAACAUUAAAACACAUAGAAAAAGAUCUUGUCCAACCAAGAAGAAAUGUCUGUGGAAAUAAAAAAUCAGCAGCUAGCAUAGAAGAAUUUUGAGACAUAGUUGGGGAAGCUAGAUCAAGCAAAAAAUACAAGACCUCCAGGGGAUUUUCCUAGUGAUACUGAAAAUCCAGAGCAAGUAAUAUGAUCACCUUACGAAGUGGUAGAGACUUGAUUGAUAGACCUCCAAAGAAAAAUUAGGAGAUACCAGUAGAGGUAGUCCCAUAAAAAGUAGAUGCAAAGCAAUGAAAGACCAAAGAAGCUAAAAAUUUGGGAAAGUUUGAGAACCCAAAAACAAAGGCAGUUGAGCAUACACAAGAGAGACCCCUACCACCAUUCCCUCAAAAGAUGGAAAAGGCUAAAGAGGAUGUUUUUUUUAAGAAGUUCUUUGACACAUUUAGAUAACUUCACAUUAAACUUCCUCUAUUAGAUAUUUUUUUCAGGGAAUGGAAAAGUACAUUAAGUGCUUGAAGAAUGUAGUGACAAAUAAGACAAAUUUAGGUGGUUGAGAUGGUGGUACUUAUAGAGGAGUGUUGCUCAAUUAUGAUGUGCGAGAUUCCUAUGAAGCUUGAGGACCCAGGGAGUUCUGCCCUCCCCAUAUAAAUUGGUAAAAGUGAUGUGGUUUGUCCUUUGCGUGAUUUGGGGGAGAUCAUAAAUUUGAUUCCCCUAUCAGUAUUCAUUCUCUUAGUUUUUGAAAAUGGAGACCAUGUUUAAUGGUGCUCCAAAAGGCAGAUAUCAAAUAAGUAGUACUCAACAAAAUCAUAGAGGAUGUUAUUAAAAUUGGUACAUUCAUUAUUCUUGCUGACUUUAAUAUUCUUGAUUAUGAUGUAGAUGACAGGAUGUUGAUCAUGAUAGAAUGUCCAUUCUUGCCAACUGGAGGAGCACUUAUUGAUAUGAAAGAGGGCACUCUAAAAAUAAGAUUGACUCAUAAAGAGGUGGUCUUUAGAGUGUAAUGACUUAAUUUUUAGUUAUUUUGUGAUUAUUUAUUUCUAUGUUAUUGGACUAUUUCACCCUUCCAUGUGGCUAUUUUAUUGUAUUUUUAGGGUGCGGCGAUGAUUGGUAUCGUUCCUAAUAAAUUUCAAUGUGGUUUGUGCAAGUUUGUAGUUUUUGGUGGUUUAAAAGGCUUCUUAGUUGACCUUGGUCAACAUUUAUUGAUCUAUGCAUUUGAUGGCAAAACGGACUACAUUAAGAGAUCUGGAAUGUUGAUUUUACGUUGGUAACAUAGUUGGUGUGGUUUUAUAACAUUUGUAUCUCAUUUUAACCCUCAAAUUAGGAAGAUGUGAAUUUCUUUGGGGAGGUCAACUUUUUGACAAUGACAUUUUCUCAAAAAUUUGAUAUCGCCAUUAAAUAUGAAAUAUCAAAUAUAGUCUAGUAUCAUUGUUCAUUUGUGUUCUUUGGAUUUCAAACUAAUCCUAGGGGUAUGCGGAGAAUUAGAAUUCUCUAAGUAUCUAGCCGAUGCACCACUCAACUGGUGCAUCCGCUUAAGCAACAUUUGGUCAUUUAAGCGACCUAGCAUCUAGCUGAGGGUAUAUCUUAAGUGACUCACCCAUUGCUAAAGUGACUAUUGCUUAAGAGACAAUAAGUAUCUUACACAACACUUGUAUGCCAGGUGGGUUUCACAAAAGGGACACCUAAUUGCUUAAGCUAUAGCUGCUAAUCCACCCGUUGUUUACUUAAGUGAUGCCUGGGUGUGUAUUAUACCCUUUUUGUGACUUUUUCACUAUUUUCUACACUUGGAGCUUAGGGUUUUAUGUUUUUGGGAAAUUUCUUCCAUCGUCAAGCUUGGUUAAGCUCAAAAUCCCUAUUUCAAUUAUUAUUCUUUGCUUUCUGUCAAUUAAAUUUUGUUAAAACUUGAACUCAAAAGUGAAAUUUGUGGGAUUUUGGCUCGAAAGAUCUAAAUGAGUAAUUCUUCAAUUUAAACUCUAAUCUCAACCUAUUUUUACUUUGGUUUUCUUCUAUGAAUUUCUUUAGUCAUGGCUAAUAUAUUUUUUGACUAAAUUUUAGUUUUACCCUUCUUUUAGGAAAAUCCAUUUUGGGAUCCACUUUGACCCUAACCCAAAAAUGGGUACUAGGGGUAUCAUUGGCUUUCUUUAAUGCAUAAAUUCUAUAUUUGUAUGCUUUAGUCAAUUUUGGAUCCAUUCAUGGGGAGAAAUCUCUAUGUUGAGGAUUUUGGUCUAAUUUUUGGUAUUCAAAGUAGGAUAUGGCUUAACUUUCUUCAGACUAGGCUGGGUAGUUAUUAUUGGUCUAAAAUCAUGUUAUAGAUAUGGGAACUAAUCGUAAAAAUGACUUUAUUAUUGUUUUGUGCCCAUGUAGGGGCCUAUGCUGUUGUUGUUUGAUAGUUUUGAGACAUUAUUGGCUAUGUGUGACCAUGUGGAGUUUUAUAUGAUAUUGUUGGCCUUGUUUAUGCAAAUUGGUAGCAUCUUUUCAGGUGAAAAAGCCUAAUUUGGAAUUUAUGUAAUAUCAAUAGCAUAUUUUUGUACAUUUUAUUCUACUGCCAUAUGGAUUAUAUUGAAUUCAUUUAUGGUUGGCAUAUUGAGGGGAAUUUGGCUAACAUUAUUGUAAUGUUGGUUGUAUUUCAAAAUUUUCAUUCCAGCUAGUUUUGAGUUUUACAUUCUUAUAUCAUAUACAUUUAUGAAACAUUGGUACUAGUGUGGAAAUACUAGAAAUACUGGCUUUUUUGAUAGAAAAUAUGACAUCUUUAAAACCCAUUUAUUGAUGUAUCUGCAAGAGAGAAGUCUUGAUAUUGUAUUGGUAUUAGAUAUUAUAUUAUAUAUAGGUUGACGUACCCCCCAUAGGUCCUACCUUAGUAGAAUAGCUUAGUAGAUGUAUACAGAGAUUUUACGACAAACUCAUGCAUUACAUCAUCAUCUUCUUCUUCUUCAUUGCAUUCCAUACGUUUUUACAUUCUAUGUUGUAUUCACAUUCUUAAUGUGAUAUCUAUAUAUUUAUGUUUAUUUUUUGUACUUGUUUUUUGGUAUAUGUUUAUAAUAUAGAACUAUUAGUAGAGACGGUAUGAGCAAUCAUUUGGGAUAUUUUAUUAUGGUAGGUAACAUAUUCAUAGUGUGUAUUUUAUAUGCUUUAUUUUCUACUUUACUCAUUUGGCCUAUGAUCCUACUGAGUGCAAGUGGACUUUACUCAUCCUUAUUAUGCCUUUUUGGUGUAGAUCCAUGUACAAGUGCACCACAUAGUGCUAAUUCGGGCAGUGCUUGGAGUAUUUUUUAUGUAGCAGUUGGUCUAUGCUUUUGGAGUUGAUAUACUAGCUUUCUUAUCUAGUUCAUGUCUUGUUUUGUAUUAAAAGAUAGAUUAAGUUUCUUUUUAAACUAUUAUUUUAUUUUGAUUUUGAGAUGUACUUGGUUGGUUCUUACAUUGUGACAUCAAAUUUUGGGAAAUUAAUGGUAUCUUUUUAAUGUUCUACUAUUAUGGUAUAUGUGUGGUUUGCUUAAUUUUACAAGCCUUACCUUUGGAUUUGGCAUUGUUUUCUCAUUUUAUACCAGUUUGGGUAAUAGGCUUACAUAUCAAGAUUUUUCAUGAUAAGUGUCACUAUGACCCUUGGAUUUUAAGUCAUGACAAAUUAGUAGCAACCAGUUUCAUCGAUCUCAUCAGUGUAAGAAUAGAAUGCCUAGUGGAGUCUCAUGGAUUGGUAUGUAGACGUCCAUAUCUAUCCUUAAGUGGCUAUCGUAGGAAACUUUUCUUACUUUAUUCAUUAUCAUUAGGAUUCUUUCAUGCGUUGUCUUCUAAAGAAUAUUUCACUCUUUUCUACAUAUAUGGUGAGGACUGGAUUGAGUGAGGUUAGAGAUAUUAAUCUAUCAUUUGAGAAGAGAGAUCAAUAUAGAAAGUGAGUUGGAAACCAUGGUCGGGCUUGAGGUAGUGGAUAAGCAUGAGGAUCUACUCAUUCCAUAGGUAGUACUAGGAGGAUCUCCCCUUAACUUAGGUUGAGAGUGCUGGAGAUAUAGAGCCUACUUUAGUUCAACAAAGUUAUUCUACCCCUGUUUUAUAGGGCUUACUUAUUCGCUUGCUGACUCAUUUGGAGGGUACUCUUUUGAGUGCACCUGGUGCUCCUCCAGCUCUGAGUAUUGUACCUCUAUUUGUGCUUGAGUCUACCUAUAGUAUUCCUCUAGUUCUAAGUGUAGAUCCUCUAGUGGUAUUGAUAUCUUCUUAUGGUACUCCACAGACUCUGAGUGUUAUUCGUCCUUCCCUACCAACACUUAUGUAUGGUAUUUUGAGAUUAAGAGUUCACCCUUCAUCUAUGUUACCUCCUCAGAAGGGAUCUCAGCCAACCAUAUUCACUAUGCCUCUUAAUAUUGUGAGUAUAGUUAUGUCUUUUUAGGAUCAAAAGAUGUUUGAGAGACUUACUCAUUUGGGUCCUCUUAGGUUCAAUGGUGUUGUGGGUGAGGAAUUCUAUGAAUUCUUUGAUUAAUUGUAGGAGAAUUUGUAUAAUCUUGAAUCUCUUGAGUCGCAUGAGGUUACUUACGCUACUUACUAGUUGAGAGAUAUAGUUAUGGAUUCGUGCAGGUCACUAGUUAGUUGCAGACCUCUUGGUCCCUAGAGAUGGCUUAGGAUUAGUUUGUUAAGGCCUUUUUGGAUGGGUUUAUUCCAUACAGUCUAAGGGAUUAGAUAAGAGAUAAGUUUGAUCACCUAGAGAAGGGCUUUAUGACUAUUGUAGAGUAUGGGGCAUGUUUCCAUGCCUUGUAUAGAUAUUCUUAAACCAGUAUUGCCACUGAGUCUGAGAAGAUUUUAAAGUUUAUGAAUGGUUUGGAUGUUUUGCUUUACCUUACUACUACCCAAAUGGUACUGUUAGGGGCAUUCUUUCAGAGUAAAAUAGAUCAUGCUAAGAUGAUUAAGUCUAUACAUUGAUCAUCUUAUGGAGGCAUCAAGAGGGUGCACCAUCAAGGCAAAUUUAGAGGUGCACCCUCAAGGCAAAUUUAGAGGUCAUACUCCUCGAGGUAGAGAUUUUAAAGGCUUUCGUAAGUAUCCUAGAAGACUUGUAUAGGCAGCCUUGCAGGGUCUAGGUAAUGGGUCUUCUAAUUUAAAAGGUUUGGCUGGUAUUUCUGGCUCAGCUUUACCUUCCCUAUUGAGUCGAGUCAUAGAGGUUGUUUUAUGUGUGAUGAGAUUAGCCAUUAGGCCAAGGCCUAUCCCUACUGUAUUCUUAGGCCUACUUUUUUAUCAGAAGUAAGAGGUGGGAGGUCUACUAGAGGUACAAAAGACAAAGGUAGUAAUGGUCAUGGUGGAAUUUGUAGGGUUACUUAAUCAUGUUGUGGUCAUGAACAGUGCUAUGCUAUACCCACCAGGAAAAAGGUAGAGGCUUCUGACACUAUUAUCUUAGGUAUUAUCCCCAUUUUUUUUAGAUCUGCAUAUAUUUUAUUUGACCUAAAAUCGAAUUUAUCCUAUAUGGAUGCAUAUUUUGCUUUGGAUUUUGAUUCUACUAGUGAGCCUUUUGUCGUGCCUAUCUGUGUAUCUAUCCUUGUAAAAGACUCUUUAGUGGUGGAUGGGGUGUUCUAAUUUUGUUUUAUGACCUUUAUUGGGUGUGAGACUUGGGUAGAUCUUAUUAUCUAAGGUAUGGUAGAUUUUGAUAUUAGUUAUGGUAUGGAUUGGUUAGAUCUUUAUCAUGAUGUAUGCUAAGAUCGUGACCUUACCUUUGCUAGGUGUGCUGAGGAUAGCUUAGUUAGGGUCCCAAGAGAGUUAUGUGUAACACCCUAGAUUUUUGCCCUAGAAAAAUUCUAAGUUUUGAACUCACUGUCCAACCUACUACUCACCAUACGAGUCAUAAGGUGUCUUGACGGGUCAUAGAACCCCAAAUCGUAGGGUAUCCAAUAAAGUUUGUUGAAGUUACGACUAGGGUUCACGAGUCAUAAAGACUUUAUACGAGUCAUAUAGUCUAAAUUGUAGGCUAACUAGUGUUAUGCCCCAAGUGUUCUAUCCUAAUUACAACUGGAUGUUUUGAGUCAUAUAGACUUAUUACGAGUCAUAAUGUGCCAUCCGUAAGGGAACCAAUGUAGGGCCUUAAUGUUUCUACCUAGGCUAUGACUCUUGGUGACGAGUCGUAAUGAGACCCUAUGAGUCAUAAGAUGACCCGUGGUCAAUGAUGACAGAUUUCCAUAUUUCAUUAAGGGUACUUUGGAUUUCCCUUUCUUCUAACUAUAACCGACAACCUUAAAACACUUUGGGGACCCCAUUGUCCUUCAUAAACAUAUUAAAUACUCUCUUUACUUCCUCAAACUCUCCUAAAUACCUAAGGGAAGAACAAGUUAGGGUUUCUCAGAGUUGGAUAUCUAAGGGCUCAAGGAUUGAUCUCUCUCCAUAAUUCUUUGUACUUUCAGGCAUGUUGCUCUUCUCCAAGUCUUAUUUUAUGAAAAGCAUGUGUUUAUAAUCUUACCCAUGUGAUAAGUUAUGAUUUUAAAUGUGGGUUGAGGAUUAUCAAACAUUAUUGUAUUACUUGUUUUUCACAUAGCUUUUAUGAAUCAUGUAUGACUUGAAUUGAUGUUUUUGAACAUGUGGGGUGUAUGGGCACGAUGAAUGAACUCAGGGGUCAGGGUUUCCCCUAAUUUCAUGAAUAUGGAUUAUUUAAAUUGUAUAACCCCAACCUAAUCUUGUGAAAUUGGCUUUGAUUAUCAGUACAUUUGCAUUAAGCUACUUCUGUAACCCUUGCACAAUAUAAAAAGGUUAUUCAAACAUAAUGGUUUGAUUUAAUGAACAAAGGUGUUCAUGGUAUUCCCCCAAAUAGACUAAAUGAACAAAGGGGAUUGUUUUCUUAAGUAAAUAGAAUUGUACUAGCAUGAUGAUGUUACCUUGCAAGUGUAGUUGGUAUGACAAUACUAACUAUGUAUGUCUUGAGUAAUAUUGUGGCUCAAGUAAUGGGAAUAUGUGAAAAAUAUUUUAACUGGGCUUAAAAAGGGUUAUGCAUCUUAGUAAUGAAAGUGAAGGUCCCGAGAGACCAACAUCAAAAACUGUAUUUGUUAGCAUAGGGGUCUAAAUUGCUUAGGGUUCGAGUCCCCUUACUUAUGACUACGUGGUUUGAGUCUCCCUUAUGACUGACUGGGUGUACAUGUCACCCUUGAUAUUUGACAGGGUGGUUUGAGUCUCUAUUGGUACAUAUGUACAUAGUAUUAUUCUCUGGUUGAUGCGGCUACAAGCAAUGGGGUUUUUUCAGCUGGGAGAGUAGAGCCCAUAUAGCCUGUGGGUGCCCUUUUAUGAUGGUUAAGCUACACAAACUAGAAAAAUAUUUUAAAGUUUAUGCUAAGCCUUGUUCUUUUCCCCGAAUGUGAUAUUUAUAUAUAUGUAUAUGCAUAUAAUUAUGUACAUUAGAUUUUAGAUAAUUUUAAACAUUGAUCAUGGAAUAAUUUUAUCCCUUUCCUAAGUUCAAUGCCAAUGCUCAACCUGCUAACCAUCUCUGAAUGUUUUAUUCACUCAAAAUGCAAGAACUGGAGACACUUCUGCUUUUAUUUUGGCAGUGAUUGGAUUUUUAGGUUAUCAACAGCCAACUUUAAGUGGUGAGCCUCAUUCUCCUAGAAGGCUGUUACUUUUUGGUUUAUCUUUUAUCAUAGACUUUUCUUUGGAGUUAUUUAGGCUAUCAUCAGGGGUAUGUCCCAAUAUUAGUUUGAUUUGGUUUUGUCAUAAAGGUUGUGUGGAUUACUAUGGACUGGGUACUGGUUGUGGAUGUAUUUUAGAGUCCUUGAGCAUAUAUUUUUCUAUUUUGUUAUAUGUUCAAAAUUCAGCCAAUGUCAUGUGUAUUGUAUUUAUGUGAUUAGGCAAAGAAGGUGUUUUCCUAUCCAGGGUAGACUUGGGAUAUCCUUCAUGGCUAGGACCUAGUUUGGAUCAUGAUAUUAUAUUAGUUUUUUAGGCUCAUCUCUUAGUUGAGAAGGGGUGUUUGUCUUUUUGGCUCAUAUUCUUGAUAUUAGUGUUGCUUCACCACCACCUUUGGAUUUUGUUCAUAUUGUUCAUGAUUUCAUGGAUGUUUUCCUUACGUAUUUCCUUGGUAUUCCUCUGGAUUGUGAUAUUGAAUUUUCUAUUAAGGUUGAGCUAGACACUAAGCCCAUUUCUAUUCUUUCUUAUAGGAUGGCCCAGUAGAGUUGAAGGAAUUAAAGGAUCAGUUGAAGGAGUUGUUGGAUAAGGUAUUUAUCUAACCUAGUGUAUCACCUUGGGGUGUGUCUGUCUUGUUUGUGAAGAAAAAGGAUAGGUAUAUGCAUAUAUGUAUUAAUUAUCAGCAAUUGAACAAGGUGAUAGUGAUGGUUAUUAAUAAGUAUCUUCUUUCUCAUAUUGAUGAUUUGUUAGAUCAGAUUUAGGGUGGUUUUUGUUUUCAAAGAUUGAUUUGAGAUCUAGUUAUCACUAGUUCAGGAUUAGAGCUUUGGAUAUUUCAAAGACAUUUAUUUUAGACUCAGUAUAGUCAUUAUGAGUUCUUUGUCAUAUACUUUAGGUUGACCAAUGCCCCAUCCAUAUUUAUGGAUUUAAUAAAUGGGGUAUAUUAUCUAUACCUCAACUCUUUUUAUUUUAUUUAUAGAUGAUAUCUUGGUUUAUCUCAAGAGUGAGGUCGUUCAUAAAGAACAAUUAUAGAUUGUGCUCCUGAGAUUGAGGGGUGAUAAGUCGUAUGAUAAGUUAUCCAAGUGUGAAUUUUAGUUGUAGUAUGCUUUUUUCUUUGUUUAUGUAGUGACCAAGGAUAGUAAUUACAGUGGUUCAUAAUUGGGCUAGACCUAUUUCUCCUACCGAGAUUUAGAGGUUUAUUGGUUUGAUAAGUUACUAUUGGCCUUUUUUUAUCUAUUGUAGCUCUAUUGACCAUUUUAACUUGGAAGAAGAUUUCCAUUCAGUGGUUUGAUGCUUGUAAGGCAAGCAUUCAAAAGCUUAAAAACUUAUUGACUUUAGCUCUUAUCUUGACUUUUUCCAGGGAGGGCAUAGGGUUUACCAUCCGUUGUAGGACAUUAGGUGUUUGGUUAAAUAUUGUGUUAAUGUAAGAGGGUAAGGUGAUUGUGUAUGCUUCACAUCAGUUGAAGCCCUAUAGGAAAAAUUACCCUAUCAGUGAUUUGGAGUAGUGUCCAGUUGUAUUUGCUUUGAAGUUAUAGAGCCACUACUUGUAUGGAAUUCAUUGUGGUAUCUUCUCAGAUUAUCUUAUCCUUAAGUAUCUCUUCACCCAGUCUGAUCUUAAUCAAAGGCAACGUCGUUGUCUUGAGUUGUUUAAGGAUUAUGAUCCUACUAUUGUAUAUCAUUUAGGCUAGAAAAAUGUGGUUACGGAUGCCUUGAUCCAGAAAUUAACUAGCAUAGAUAGCUUAGUGGAUCUUUUGACCUAAGAGUGGUUUUUGGCCUUAGAGGUUUAUCCUUUGGAUAACCAGAUAGUUAGACUUGAUAUUAUUUCACCGACGUGUCUUUUAACAUUUGUGGAGGCUAAUUGUUCUUUGAUGGAGCAGAUUCGGGCUUAUCAAUUUUAUGAUGUAGGGUUGAGAGUGUUCAGGAUAAGGUAUUAAGAGGAGAGACUAAGGAGGACUCACUUAAUUCAGAUGGUGUUUUAAGGAUUGGAGGUCGAGUAUAUGUCUCGAGAGUAGAUGAUUGGAUUAUAGUGAUUUUGGAGGAGGCUCAUUGUUCUAGGUACUUCAUCAUCUAGGAGUGACUAAGAUGUAUUGUGAUAACAUUACUAGUGGGGUGGUAUGAAGAUGAAUGUAGCUUAUUUUGUAGAUUGUUGCUUAUGUUUCUAGGAGAUAAAAGUCGAGAAUUUGAGGCCUGGUCAUUUUUUUCAAGGGUUACCCAUUCCCAAGUAGAAAUGGGAAUGGAUUACUAUGGACUUUGUGACUGAGUUGCUACAUACUUCUCGUAGUUCUGAUAGUAUUUAGGUCAUCAUGGAUCGAUUGACCAAAUUUGCUAAUUUUAUUUUGGUUCAAGUUUUAUUUAGUGUCGAGAGGUUGCCUACAUCUUUAUUUAUGAGAUAGUUUAUCUUUAUAGUGGGUUAGUGUCUAUCAUCUUGGAUAGAGGUUCAAUGUUCACAUCUUAUUUUUAUAAGACCCUUUUGGAGGAUUUGGGUACCCAAGGUGAUCAUAGUAUAACUUUCCACCCACAGAACAAUAGUGAGGCAGAGCAUAUGUUAGAGGACAGGCUCCAUGUGUGUGUUAUGGACUUUAGACGUUAGUAGAAGUAGCAUCUAGAUUUGGCGGAUUUAGCAUAUAAUAUCAGCUACCAUUCCAGUAUUAAGAUGACUUAUUUUGAGGCUUUGUAUGGUAGGCAUUGGUGCUCUCCAGUUGGUUUGUUUAAGGUUUUUUAUAUUAGACCUUAAGGUAAGGACAUUCUUCAUGGGUCCCAAUGUAGAGUUCAGAUCAUUCAGGAUAGACUUUGAGUUGCUCGGUGUAGGCAAAAAUGCUAUGUAGAUCAUUGACUUUGUGCCUUGAUAUUUAAUAGUGGAGAUUAAGUUUUCCUUUGUGUGUCACCCAUGAAGUGCAUGAUAAGGUUUAGGAAGAGGGAAAAGCUUAGACCUAGGUUUAUUAAACCUUUUAAGAUUCUUCAUGUUAUUGAAGAUGUAUCUUAUGAGUUAGCAUUGCCCCUAGAUUUUUCAACUAUUUAUCCAGUUUUUCAUGUUUCCAUGCCUAAGCAUUAUAUUUCGGACGAGUCGCAUGUCAUUCGUUGGGAUUUAGUCUAUUUAGAUGAGAGGUUGUCAUUUGUUAAGGAGCCAAUCUCUAUUCUAGGCAAGGAUGUUAGGCGGUUACAUUUUAGAGUUAAUCCUGUGGUUAAGGUCCAGUAGAGACAUCGACCUGUAGAUGAGGCUACGUAGGAGUAUGAGUUUGAUAUGUGUGGUAGUUAUCCUCAAUUUUUCUCUCAUUCGAGUAUUUCCCUUGCCUUUAGUUUAAAGACGAACUAGAUUUUAAGUGGUGGAUAAUGUAAUUACUUAAUUUUUGGUGAUUUUGUGAAGUGUUCAUUUUUAUGUGAUUUGACCAUUUUACCUUACUCUGUAGUUUCUAUGUGGUAUUUUUAGGGUGCGGGAUGAUUGACACAGUUUCUAAUGUAUUUUGAGAUGGUUUGUGUGAGUUUAUGGUCUUUGGUGGUUAAAAAGCGUAUAAGUUGACUUUGAUAGACAUUUACUGAUCUGUACAUUGGAUAGAAAAAUUGACUAUGCCAGUAGAUUCAAAAUGUUGAUUUUAGGUUGGUAUCAUGGUUGUUGUGAUUUUAAGGCUUUUACAUCUCAUUCUGACCCUUAGAUUCGAAGUUGUAAAAUUGGGUUACGAGGGUCAACUUUUUAUACAACAACAAUUUCAAAAUUAUGAUAUGACCUUUGAGUCUGAAGCGCCAAAUUUAGUCUAGUAGCAUAGUUUGUUUGUAUUCUCAAGAUUUUGGAUGAAUCUUGAGGGGUUCACAGAGAAUAAGAAUUCUCCAAGUCUCCAACUGAUGCAGCACUUAGCUGGUGCAUCUGCUUAAUCAAUAUUUUGGUAACUUAAGAGACCUAACAACCACCUGGGGUAUUGCUUAAAUGACUCCCCCAUUGUGUAAGCAAGUGUCGCUUGAGCAAAAGUUAGGUCACUUUCGUGACAUUCGCAUUCCACGUAGGUAUCGCAAAGGCCACACCUGGUUGCUUAAGCUACAACCAUAUAAGUAUUCUGGUGUUCGCUUAAGCGAUGUCUGGGUGGGUUAUAUGCCCCUCUGUUUUAAAAUUUUCACCUUUUUUACACUUGAAACUUGGGGUUUUGAGUUUUUGGAUGAUUUCUUCCAUUUUAAAGCUCAAGUAGGCUCCAAAUUUAUCUUUCAAUCAUUUUUCUUUGAUUCUUUUCAUUUAUAUCUUGUUAAAACUUGAAUUCAAAUGUGAAAUUUGUGGGAUUUUGGCUCAGAAGGCCUAAAUGAGUAAUUCUUCAAUUUAAAUCCCAAUUUCAACCUAUUUAACUUAGGUUUUCUUCUAUGGCUUCCUUUAAUCAUGGGUAAUAUAUUUUUGGACAAAAGUUUUGGUUUUACCCUUCCUUUUCAAAAAUCCUUUUCGAGGGUCUGUUUUGACCCUAACCCAGGAAUGGGCAAUAUGGGUAUCGUUUGCUUUCUUUUAAUGCAUAGAUUCUAUAUUUGUAUGUUUUAGUUGAUUCCAGAUCUAUUCGUAGGGAGAAAGCUCUAUGUUGAGUGCUUUCCGGACUAGUUUUCAACAUUUGAACUAGGUUAUGGCUUAACUUUUUUCAAACUAGAUUGGUAGUUAAUAUUUGUUUACAAACAUGUUAUGGGUAUGGGAACUAAUAAUGGAAAUGGAUUUAUUGUUUUUUUGUGCCCAUGUAAGGGCCUAGGUUGGUUUUAUUUUGUGAUUUGAGGCAUUAUUUGCUCUGUGUGACUGCGUGGGGUCUUAUAUGAUGUUGUUGCCCAUGUUUAUGUAUAUUGGUUGUAUCUUUUCUGGUGAAAAGCCUAAAUUGGAAUUUAUUUAUUAUAUGGUAUCAAUUGCAUAUCUUUGUCUAUUUUACUCUAUUGGCAUAUUGAUUAUAUUGGAUCAUAAAUUGUCGGCAUAUUCGGUGAUUUUUUCUCACAUGAUUGGUAUAUUGGUUGGAUUUGGAAAUUCUCAUUCUGGUUGAUUGUGAUCAUUACAUCCUCAUAUCAAAUCAUUAAUGAAAUAUUGGUACCAUCGUGGAAAUACUAUAAAUACUGCCUUUUUCUGAUAGAAAAUAUGACACUUUUAAAAGCUUUUGUCGAUGUAUGUGCCGGAGAGAAGUUGUGAUAUUGAAUUGGUAUUGGAUAUAAAAUAGUAUAUGGGUUGAUGACCCCCCCGCCUCCCCAUGGGUCCUACUAUGGAAGCAAAACUUGGUAGGUGAAUAUUGAGGUUAUAUGACAACCUCGUACAUCACAUCAUCAUCAUCUUCAUUGCAUUUUAUAUGUUGUGCACAUUUUGUGUUGUAUUCUCAUUCUUGAUGUGAUAUCUAUCUAUUUAUCUUUCUUGCACUUGUAUUUUGGUAUGUAUUUAUAUUGUAGAGCUAUAGUGGAGACAGUGUGGGCUAUCAUUUGUGACAUUUUCUGAUGCCUUGAUUCUUUUCCGUGGCAACGACGCUAAAAAUUGAUGUCACCCAAAACUAACCUCCAAAGAAAUCUGUGGUUGUUGACGCAAGUAUAGUUACCCAAACUAGGUUGGGGUUUAACCCACAUGGAAUGCUUGGAAUAAUGUGUUGAACUUGACGAAAUCAUGGGCAGUGCUGAAAAUUAAAUAUAGGGAAUUUGAAACCACAAUAACACAUAACCGAACUUGAGUGCUUGAGAUUGUAAACAAUAGAAGACGAACACUAGGACUCUGUCCCCCCUAACUUCUAAAUCUGUAAGAGUCUCAGGUUCAAUUCAUCUAUCCUAUUGCUAUGCAUGCAAAGACUGACAAGUUAUGUAUUAUCAAUCACCUUGUGAACGCAUUGAUAAAUCUCAUCCGUCACCCUUUAAGUCUCAGGGCGUCGCCUUACUAUCCCUUGUCUUUGACCCCAGUACAACUAUACCUUAUGGGUCUCAAGUUUAUUAGAUGAGGGUUGAUAGCCUUAAAUUACUAUCAUAAUCUUCUUUUCUCAAUAUCAAACUUGUUUGUGAGGAUGAUAUAGAAUACAAGGAAUUCCCAAUCUUCUAGAGUAGCUUGGGAUACAAUUAAUAUAAAGAAAAUCAAGAUACAUGCAUCCACAACAAAAAUAUUAAUCUCCCACUUCCCUUACGUAGUCAAUAUGCCAGGGGUCCCACAACCCAAGUCAAGGAAAUUAGCUGCUCAAUUCAUGAAAAUCAAUGAAAAAGACAUGUAAUUAAUUGAACAAAAAUGAAAGAGUAAAAUAAAAAAUCUCCAAUUGAAUACGAAACCAAGACCACAUGGACAAAAUCAAGAACUCAAAGUAUAUUCAAAAGUAUUAAAAGUGCGUAAAAUAAUAAUGGAAUAACCAUAGGGUAUUUAUAGUAUCUCAAAAUAGUAAAGAAAUCCUAAUUAUAAUGGAAUAGGAAAAUUAAGUCAGCAGUGGUCACGACUCUAGUAAUGAGUUGUUAGGUCUGCUUAUGACUCGUUGCUUGAUCUCAUAGCUCUUUUUUGGCUUCAACGAUUAUGACUCAUAUGCUCUCCGUACGAGUCGUAUGCUUCUUAUUGUAGGCACUCCAAUAGCUUUUCUCUUUCAAAGAAAAUGAAUCUGUUGUUUUUAUGACUUCUCGUUAUGAGUCGUAGUCAUACAUUACGACUCGUGGUCUUCACUCGUAUCCAUUAGAGCAUCAAUAUUCGGGCUUUAGAUACUCGUCACAGUACGAAUUCUUACAAUGAGUCGUAGUCUGACCUUACGACUUAUCGUCCUGCAUAAUUUUCCGCCUGGACUUCAGCAUUUCUAACUAUUGUCAUUACGCUUGCACACCAUAAAUCACGGUCACUCCUUAUUAGUCGUGGUCAAUAUUUACUUAGUUCCUCAACUAAGCUUUUGUCACUAUUAUCCUUAUGAGCUUGGCUUUGAGUCAUAAGGUAACUUAGUGACUCGUACGUUGACCACAACUUCAACAUAUUCAGAGUUUUUUCUUCCAUUUUUAAUGGCAAGCCACUUCCUACCUAAUUUACCUGUAUUACAUACAAAACACAUAUCAUAUCCGAUAAAAUAUCCCAAGUCAAUGCAUAAUUUCACAGUUUUACGCAUAGAAUUUUCCUUGAAAACACAGCACAUCAGUAGUUGAUGUGCCCAUUGUGUGUCUUUUAUAUCUAUUAUUUUAUACUUUUCUCAGUCGACCUAUGAUACCUACAGAGUACAAGUGGACAAUACUCAUUUCUAUUUCAUCAUUUCAGUGUAGAUCCAGGUACGAGUGCACUACAUGGUAGCUAAUUCGGAUGGUGCUGUGAGUAUUUUUGAGGUAUCGGUUGGUCUGUGCUUCAAUAUUUGAUCUACUACCUCUGCUUACUAGUUCACAUCUUUUUUUGUGUUUAGAGACAAAUUAUGUUCCUUUUUGGACUAUCAGUUUGUAUAUUUUUAUUUCGAGAUGUACUUAGUUGGUUCUUACACUAUGACACCAUAUUUUGGGAGAUUUAUGGCAUCUUUCUUAUGUAUUUUUCUGCUAUUAUGGUAUAUGUGUGGUUUGGAUUCAUUUUAGAAGCCUUGCCUUAGGUUUUGGCAUUAUUUACUCAUUUUAUACCAGUUUGGAUGAUAUGCUUACUUGCCAUGAUUUUCCGCAACACGUACCAUCCCAACCUUUGAAUUUUAGGUUGUGACACGAAGUGUAGAAGACAGUUAGCUCACACUGCAAGGAUUUGUACAUGAUCGCAUCUAUGAAAGUGGAUAACUAUGAGGUGGUGGAGUGAAACCUUCCAAUGACCUCUUCGGACCUCUCACAUUGAGUUGCCCAAUUCUAAAUUAAGCCUGAGAUUAAGAGACAUAAAAAAGGAGCUUGCAAAAGGCAAGUAUGGAGAAAGCUACAGACCUUGAGAGUAUGCACUCAAGAGUUCAAAACGAAUAAGAAUAUGGGGUUCGAGUAAGAGGAACAGGAUGUAAAAAUAUGGUUGAGAAUGGUGUGAACCAUGCCGCGAUAAUAAACUAGGCAUUGCUUCCGGGGAAUCCCAACUUAAGGUAGGUAUUUUAUUUUCUUAGUUUUAUUUAGUAUCACCUUUCUUUUUAUUUAUGUUUGAGUCAUGGGAUAAAGGGAAGUUUUAUUACAAGAAAUCCAAGCUAAAGAGCACAACAAAGACUGAGUAUAGGGUCCUUCGGACCUCUUUGAUAAUUUGGAUGCGACUAGCUAGGCUGGAGGCUAAAAGAAGUAGUUCAAUCCUUACUUCUAAUUUUUACUUUAGGGACAGAGUGUAAUUUUAAGUUUGGGGUAGGGAAUCUUCUGAUUCUUUAAGGUGAAGCGCUUCUAUAGGACUUCCAUUCUUAGUUAUUUUCUAGUUUUUGACUAAAUUUGAAAAGUUACAAAAAGAUUUUAUUUUUAGUUAUUUUCAGUUUUUAUUGGUGUCUAGUAGAAGCACACUUCACCCACACCUUGAUUUUUAUUUUUGGUUAUUUUAUGAGGGGGUGAUGGUCACGACCGAUGCUACCCCUAGUCACGACACAGUGCUUAAGGCAAUAAGUGAUUCCAAGAUAACCCAUGAUCUAGUACAUGCUGUGAGCACUAAAUAAAAUAAUAUGGAAACAUCAUGAGCGGAAGAUAAACUGAUAAUUUUCUAAUAUAAUAUAAUAUUGAAAUCUAAACCAACAUGUCUGAAAUAACUGAGUAGACUAAAGAUUACGCUGCUUGUUUGAAAGACUUUAAAACAUAAGAAGUUGAUAGGACAAACCCCCAACUAACUCUGACUAUCUGAGAUAUAGAAAGUAUUGAAAAUAACUAAAGAAAACAUAUUGUCCUUAAUGAAUGAGGACUCACCACUAAUGUGGCUGAGAGGUAUUGAGCUGUCUAAGAAUAAUCAGGGGACCUUGCAUCUGUACCUAUGUUAUAAGACAACAUAUCUCAAAACAAGAGUAUGCAAUUAGUACUUUGAAUGUACUGGUAUGUGAGGUAAGGACUAACUAGACAUAUAUAAGGAAGCUAAACAUGGAUGCAUGAACAUAUAAAAAUGAGAAUCCAAGACCAAGUAAAGUAUGAACUGAAAUAAUUUAUAAAAUUGACUGACUGAAUAGCUGGUAAACUGAAUACUUAGUCAUGCAAACCUAAGAUGAUACAAUUCGAAUACUGAACUGAAAUAAAACUGUAGGAGUUAUCACAUAACCGACAUGACCCAGUUUGAUCUAAUAAGGGUCCAACCUAUAACCCAAUUGGAAGAGGGUGUCAGUACCUUGGUACGAAUACUAAUAUUGACUUAUGGAUCGACUAAAUUGAUGUCCCAAAGGAUAAUGGCGUCAUUCCUCUAUUGGCUGGUGACCCUUAAAAGAAUGGCAUUCCUAUACCAGUAGGUAACAUCUCAUAACCUAUGCAGUGUACGUAGUUCUAGAACUUAGGGAUUGCUACUAAAGGUCCCAAUACUCUACCAGUGGGUGAUCCUUUAUCACUAGGUUCACUCAGUGCUAAAUCCUACUCCCAACUGAACAGACACUGGUAUUGAUUACUGUUAACUGAACUCAUAACUGAUAGUGCUCAACAUAAUCAUUACACAACUGAGUAUGAUAAUGGAAUUUAUGAUUUGACUAUCUUAGUACUUGAAAAACUAAAACAUAAGUAAACACAUAGGUAUUGUGUGUUCAUAACCUUCCAACACUUAAUAUACUGAAAUACGAUAAUAACACUUAAAACAUUGGUAGAAAGACAUAAUUUAGAGACCCAAAAUACAAUACAUUUCAAUGAAUGACUGAGCUACAUGAAUUUGAAUAUGGGGAGGUGUUAAACUUGUGAGAAUAACAAUUUCACAUGGUUUAAUUCAUAACUUGAUUAUUUGACAUGGGAUCAAUUGAAAAUGAUAUAGGUAAUUGCAAUUCAAAGUAUGAAAUAACCUAAUUUACAUAGGAAAACAUUUUGACAUGGCUUGAAUUUAAAUUUCUAAAACAACAUGGAUUAAAUUCAUAUUUAGCAUGGAUAAAUUUCACAAAAGAGGAUAAAAUUCAUAGUUGAACCAAAAAGGGAUUUCGACUCAAUCAUUGGAAAAAACCCAUUAACGAAUACCCCACACACCUCAAUUGGUUGAAUUCUUGUAGAAAAACUUUAAAUUGGAGUUUGAAUGCUAGAAUUCUUGGGGUGACACUUGAAAUUAUGUUCUUGGGUAAAAGGGGAAUAAGUUUUCGUAUAAUAACUGGUAAAGAAUGGGGAAAUUGAUGCCCUUUUGUGUUAUAAAUCGUGGAUUUGGUCUUUUGUGAUGAGGGGAAAUACUAAAAUUCCCCUCAUUAACUUAGUGAAAUUUCUUAGAAAACAUAACCUCUGUGGCACGGAGGUUAUCACGGAGGCUAACAUGUGUAUCACAAACCUUACCGCGGAGGUCCUACCUCCAUGUCAUGGAGGUUAUCAUGGAGACUAACCUUUGUGGCAUGACUAUAUUAUAGAGGCUUACUGCCUAUGGGAUCUGUAAUUACCCCAAACCACAUUUGAAAAUUCCAAAACUCUUUCAGGAUACCCUUUUAACAUCCCUAAACAUGUUUCAACUCAAAAAUCAACGAUUUGGAUUUCGGAAGUCCCCAAAUAAAUUCCUUGAAAUCUUAAGGUAUAAAUAACUAAGUCCACUAUACUCGGUGUAAAAUUCAUCCCUUGGACCCCUUAAACAUACCACUAGGAGUUGGAAGCGAUCCUAAGAUCUUAUGAGGUAUUACAAUAUCUCCCAUUUGGGAUCAUUCAUACUUGAAUGAAACUCGUUAAGAUGAGAUACUAAGAAUACUGAGAUCAUACACUUAAUACUUAGAAGUUGAAUCAUGAUUAAAUAACUAAGUCUAAAACAUAAUACAUGGACUGAACUGAAUUCAUAAAUGCAUACAACGACAAGAGGAUAUUUAUAUAGCUGAAAUAUAAAAUGAGAGAAUCACUUAAGGAAAACAUUAACUCACGCUAAGAAACGAUGGGGAUACUUAACUCACAUAUUUGUUUCUUCUUCCCAUGUUGAUCCCUCAACGGACUGAUUUCACCAUAUAAUCUUAACCAAGGGAACUUCUUUAUUCCCCAGCCUACAAAUAUGAUGAUCAAGGAUCUCAAUUGGGACUUCUUAGUAUGAGAGAACAUCUUUGACAUCCACACUGUCUAAAGGAACAACAGAAUCUGAAUCAUCAAUACAUUUCAUUAGCAAGGAGACAUGAAAUAGGAGAAGCACUGAUUUCAAAUCUACAUGCAAUUCUAAUGGAUAUAAGAGAUUGUACACUUCAUACUUAGAACUGAAUCUGAAUUAAAUAACUAAGUCUAAAACAUGAUACAUGGACUGAACUGAAUUCAUGAAUACAUGCAAUGACAAGAGGAUGGUUAGAUAGAAGAAAUAGAAAAUGAGAGAAUCACUUAAGAAAAAACAUUACUUUACGCUAGAUCUGAAUUCAUAAAGAAAAUAUGGGGAUACUUAGCUCAUAUAUCUGUUUCUUCUUCCCAAGUAACUCCCUUAACGAACUAAUUUUGCCAUUGAACCUUAACCAAGGGAACUUCUUUGUUCCUCAACUAACGAAUCUGAAGGUCAAGGAGCUCAACUGGGACUUUUUCAUAUGAGACACUUUCACAUCCACACUAUCUAAAGGAACAAUAGAAUUUGAGUCACCAAUAUAUUUCAUUAGCAAGGUGACAUGAAACACCAGAUGCACUGAUGCCAAAUCAACAUGCAACUAUAAAUCAUAUGCUACCUUCCCAUAAAGGCUCAAAAUCCUGUAUGGACUAAUAUAGCGAGGACCGAGCUUCCCCUAUUUUCCAAAUCUCUUCACCCCUUUCUUAGGUGAUAUUUUCAAAUAAACCAAGUCGUCAACAUCAAAUUCAAGAUCUCUUUUCCUUAUAUCUUCAUAAUAUUUCUGACAACUCUAGGCUAUCUUUAGCCUCUUUUAAAUCAAUCAAACUUCCUCCAUCACCUCAAAAACUAAAUUUGUCCCUAUCAAAGCAACCUCACCUACUUAAAACCAAAUAAUGAAAGAUCCAUAUCUUCUCCCAUAGAGAGCCUCAAAUAGAGCCAUAUAAAUACAAGAGUGAUAGUUAUUAUUGUAGGCAAACUCAAUCAAAGGUAAAUGGUCAUCCCAACUACCCUUGAAGUCAGUAACAAAAGCCCUCAAUAUGUCCUCUAAGGUCUGAAUGGUCUCCUCUGCCUAACCAUAGUUCGAAGGAUAAAAUAGCCAACUGAGAUGCACUUAGGUACCAAGACCCUUCUAGAAAGCCUUCCAAAAAAGAGAGGUAACCUGAUUAACUCUAUCUAAAAUAAUGGUCAAUGGAUUUCUAGCAACUUUUCCAACUCCUGAGAUAGGGCCUAACAUCAGUUGAGCAUAAAGUAUGAACUGGCAAGAAAUGAUCUUACUUGGCCAUUCGGUCUAUAAUGACCCAUAUAAAAUCAUGAUGACAAUGCAUUUGAGGAAACCCUAUCACAAAAUCCAUAUUCAUUACUUCCCACUUCCAGGGGGUAUUCUAUACUCCUAAAGUAUACCACUAGGCCUUCAUGGCCAACCUUAACCUACUGAUAAUCCUCACACUUAGCCACAAACUCUGUAAUAUUAUUUUUUCAUACCACUCCACCAUUGAUUUCCCACAAAUCACGGUACAUCUUAGUGGCUCCUUGGUGAAUAGAAUAUCACAUACCAUGUACCUCAGCUAAAAUUCACUACCUUAGACUGUCAACACAAGAAAUACAUAGUCUUCCUUGAUAAUGAAAUACACUAUCCUCACUUGGGAGAAUACCUCAACCUUCUAAUCCCUGACUAUCUCCUUUAACUUGACAAAAAUAAUACCCCUGUCUUUCUUUUCUUUUACUUUUCUACCAAUGAGGAUUCCGAACCAUUCUGAACCCAUAAACUACCUUUAGCUAAAUCAACCAACUGAACACCUAACCUAGCAAACAGAUGUACUUCAACAAACACCUCCUUCUUAUCUUUCUCAACAUGUGCAACACUUUUCAUAGAUAAUCUACUAAGGGAAUCAACCACUACAUUGGCCUUACCGAUCAACACACUUAUAUCACUGUCUUUUAACAAUUCAAGCUAGCUUCUAUGAUGAAGAUUAAGUUCUUUCAGUGUGAACACAUACAAUAACAAUUAUUAUCCAUGAACACAUAACCAUGAACCCCAUAAAGGUAAUUUCUCUAAAUCUUUAAGGAAAAGAAAACUCCUACCAACUCAAGGUCUUAGGUUUGGUAAUUUUUCUCAUGGAGUUUAAUAUGUCUAAAGUCAUAGGCUAUGACCUUACAUCACUGCAUUAACACAUACCCAAGACCAACUCUAGAAGAAUUAUAGUAUACCAUAAACCCAUCUAUUCCAUCUGGCAAAGUCAAGACUAGAGCGGAUAUUAGUCGAGUCAUUAUCUCUUGAAAACUCUUCUCGUAGAAAUCUGACCACUAAAAUUUAACUUUCUUUUGGGUUAUGUGAGACAUAAGAGAAGAAAUAAAAGAAAAUCCUUCAAAAAACCAUCUAUUGUAACCAUCUAAACAAAAUAAAUUUCUAAUAUCUGAUGAAGAGAUGGGUCUAGGCCAGUAUCUUACUACUUAGGUCUAUUAAAGAUCAACUUGAAUGUUAUCACCAAAAAUAAUGUGACCAAGGAAAUCUAUUGAUCUCAACAAGAAUUUUUACUUAUUGAACUUAGCAAAAAACUAGCGAUCCUUAAGGAUCUACAAUACAACCUUAAAUGGUCUUCAUAAUCACUCUCACUAUGGGAAUAGAUAAGAGUGUCAUUAGUGAAGACUAUGACUAACAUGUCCAAGUACUGCUUGAACAACCUGUUCAUCAAAUACAUAAAAGUUGUAGGGGCAUUCGUUAGUCCAAAAGACAUAACUAGGAAUUCAAAGUGACCAUACCAAGUCCUGAAGGUUGUCUUUUGAGUGUCACAUUCUCUAACUCUAAGCUGAUGAUAGCCAGCUCUAAGGUCUAUCUUAGAGAAAUAGCUUGCACCCUAAAGUUGGCUGAAUAUGUAAUCAAUUCUAGGGAGAGGAUAAGUAUUCUUAAUUGUAACUACGUUCAAUUAAUGGUAGUCAUUGCAUAUUCUGAGAAAACCAUCUUUCUUGCACAUGAAAAGAACUGGAGCACCCAAUGGGGAAAUACUAGGAGGGAUGAAACCCUUAUCUAAAAGAUCUUCAACUAUUUCUUAAAUUCCUUAAGCUCAGUUGGAGCCAUUAUGUAAUGUGGAAUAGAGAUAGGCUGGAUACCUAGCAGGAGAUAUAUUCUAAAAUUAAUUUCCAUUUCGUGAGGAACUCCAGGAAGAUCUUCAGAAAACACAUCUAUAAAUUCAUUCAACACUAGAACCAACUCAAGACUCAAAGUUUCAAAAUUUGAGUCCUUGACACAAAUGAGAUGGUAUAUACAUCCCUUUGAUAUUAUAUUUUUAGACUUAAGAUAGGAGGCAAAUUGACCCUUAAGCACAAAAGCACUACCCCUCAAUUCAAUAACUAUUUCAUUAGGAAACUGGAAUAGAGCAAUUUUAUUUCUACAAUCAAUUGAGUUAUAGCAUGAGCAGAUCCAAUCCAUGCUGAGAAUGACAUCAAAAUCAUUCAUCUCUAACUCCACCAAAUCAACUAAAGUAACUUUCUUAGAAAAUAUAAUCAGGUAAUUUCUAUAAACCCAUCUAACUACAAUAGACUUACCAACUAGGGAAGAAACUAAGAAAGGCUCUACUAGUGUUUCGAUACUAACAGUAAAGUCCAAAGCUAUAUAAGGACUUAUAAAAUAAAGUAAAGCUUUAGGGUCUAUCAAUGCAUAAAUAUAAAUAUGGAAGACUUGAAACGUACUCAUAACUAAUCAGCAAAAUUCUCCUGAUUAUUUCAAGUUUGGUAAGCAUAAAGGUGGUUCUGACGAUACCUACUGGUGGUACUUGAUGUGGCACCCUGCUGAGUUGGGUGACCUUUUGAAGCUGAUGAAAAGUUGGACUGGCCCUAUUGAAACAAAUCCUUUCUACUCUGAACAACCACUAAAAAAUCCAUGAUUCUAUGUCAUAGUUGUUAAAUCCAAAACAUAUAUCACUACCCCCUUUGCAUUUACCUUGAUGAUUUUUACCACACUUCCAGUAAAGAAGAUUAGUGGAACUACUAUUCAUACUACAUUGAGACUUAGAACAUGUCGCUCUAUCCUGACUGUCCUUCCUAAACUAAGGCACUGGUGUACUAGUUAAAGAUUGGCAGGAGGUAAAAUUUUUUGGUAGAACUGAGAAUGGUUCUCGCCUUCAAACAUUGACUGAGAAAAGUUAAAUCUACUUAUUCUAGGCCUCUUAUUCUAGCUUUUCUUUUCCUUGAUCUUCUCCUUCUCAAUUGGCUAAGCAUGAACUAUCAGCCUAGAAAGGCCCAUCUCCUAAAUUAACAUGGUUGUCCUACACUCCUUUACUACACUAUCAGACACACCAGACACAAACUUGCUUAUCUUAAACCUGGAGUCGGGAACCAUAGUUGAAGAAUAUCUUACCAACUGAGUAAACUUAAGUGAGUAUUCCCACACACUCUGGUUACCCUAAUUAAGAUUUAUGAACUCUUGUACCUUAUUCUCGCUAUACUCAGUGGGAUAAACCUAUCUAUAAAGGUCAUGGCAGACUUCUCCUACUCUAUAAGCCCUGCCUUAUCACACCGGUCCUUCUUCCACUACAUAAACUAAGUAUGAGCUACUCCCUACAACUAGUAAGAAGCUAAGUCUGCACUCACUCAAAGUGACACCCAUGAUACCUGUAACUUUUUGCAUCUCUUCCAAAAACUUCUGCAGAUCCUCCUCAAACUUGAUCUAGAAAACAAAAGGGUAUUCAUCCAAGUAACGUAUCGAAUCAUGGAUAUAGUCAUAUUUAAUAAUGGAUUGAUUGGAGCAAUAGCCUACUAGCUAUUUUGGGUAGCUGUAAAUUGAGACAAGGCUAUGAAGGUGGCCUUGAGCUUAGUAUGGAAAACAAGGUCAUACAUGGGAUCUUCCUAAAUAGGUGGUAGUGCAGGAUGAUAUCCAUUCCUUAUUACAUUAUUUCUUCUUAGAGGCAUUUUCUGUAAAUGAAAUAGUGGAUUAGUUAUAAAAAGGGAAUUUAAUAGAGCUAAUGCUCUUUUGCACGUCAUGAAUGAAAGAAGGGAAACUUACCAAAAAACUUCUCAUAGCCUCAUGCCCAUAAGUAUGGUUCUCUUAACACACAUGCAUAAGAAUCUACUCAAUAUGGAUUUAAGACACCCUAGGACACUUUAAAACUUUAGGCUCUAAAAUAAAGUUUUGUCAUGACUUGAGGCUUCCCUCUAGUCACGACAUGGUACUUAAGGCUACAAGUGACCCCAAGCUAACCCAUGAUCUGGUACAUAUUGUGAGAACUGAAUAAAAUAAAAUUGAAACAUCAUACGUGGAAGAUAAAUGGAUAAAGUUCUGAUAUGAUAUGAUAUAGCACUAAAAUAUAAACCAAUAUUUCUGAAAUAAUUGAAUAGACUAAAAAACUAGACUGCAGUCUAAAAGCCUCUAAAACAUAAGGAGUUGAUGGGACAAAUCCCCAACUAACUCAAAUUAUCUAAGAUAUAGAAAGUAUUAAAAAUAAAUUAAGAAAACAUUUGGUCCUCAUUGAAUAAGGACUCACCACUACUGUUGUUGAGAGGUAUUGAGUUGUCUAAGAAUAAUUAAGGUACUAUUCAUCCAAAACUAUAUUGUAAGACAACAUAGCAUAAAAGAAGAGUAUGUGAUCAAUACUUUGAAUGUACUCAUACGUAAGGUAAGGAAUAACUGGACAUACAUUACAAAAAUAAACACGAAUGCAUGAAUAAGUAAAAAUAAGAAUGCAUGACCAAGUAAAGGAUGUACUAAAAUAAUCUAUUAAACUAACUGACUGAAUAACUAAUAAACAGAAUCCUUCGUCAUGGAAACCUGAGCUGAUAUAAUCUGAAUACUAAACUAAACUAAAACUGUGGGAGUUAUUAUGUAACUGACAUGCCCUAAUCUGAGCUAAUCAGGGUUAAAACACCCUGGGUUUUUAGAACUAUAGAAAAUUUCAUAGAUUUUUAUUCUUUGGACAUCAUAUGACUAGGGGGUAUUAGUUAUAUGAUGGGGUACCAUUUGUAUAGUCUUGGUCGUAUGUUAACCAAUAUUGGCUGGUGGGUUUGAUUGGUUUUUAGUGUGGGUACAACUUGGGUGGGUACGAGUCAUAUGGUGGGUGAUGAUUCGUAUUGUUUAGUUUUUCUAUCACUCAAUCUGAAAUUUGGUAACUUAACUUGGAUCUGAGUACGAAUGGAUCACCAUGAGCCGCAAUAUUGGGUAUGAGUCAUACCAUGCACUUGUAUGGUGAAAAGUGUCCAAAUCCUCUUUGAUUUCCAUUUUAUGGCAGGUACGAGUCGAGGGUACAGGUCGUCUUAUAUGGUUGCAUAUUGUGCAAUGUUACGGUCCAAAGGGAGUCCUAGGGUAUGAGUAAUGGGUACCACUCGUAUGGUAGGAUACGACUGGUAUGGGGUGGUUAUACCCUCCUGCGGGAUUUUUAAAAAUUUAAGUAGGGGUAAUCUAUAAAUUUCCCUACUUAACCUCUUAAGGCCCCAUGAAAUAUAACUCUCUGGUUACAUCAUUUACCCUAAUAUUCUAAUCAUAAACACUUAGAAACUCUCAAAUUCUAUGGAAGGCUCUUGGUUUAAGAAAGGCUAGGACUUUAUCUAGAGGAUCGGCUUGUACGGGUGAUUUCUCUCUUUCGUCUUCAUAAUCUAAGGCAAGAUACUUCUCCCUCAUGGUUAGUUCCAACUAAAGGCAUAUUUUAUGAAUUAUUUUCAUGGCAUAAUUGUUUUAUGGUUUUGGGUUUUAAAUUAUAUGUUGGGGAUUUUGAUUUUAAAUGCUUGGUUAUGGUUUUACCAUGUUUUAAUUAUGGAUGUACAUACUUUAAUCGUGUCUUGGACAAUUGGUUGCAUGGAAAUGGUUAAUUGGUAAUUGGUUUUGGUGUUGGAAUCACUAUACCCCGACAUGUUUGAUAAAGUUCCUAUGAGAAUACUCUUACUAUAUUAUUAAACUUUUAAUGGAACUAUUGCAUGUUAUAACUUGGUAAUGGAACCUUAAAUGGCAUAAAUUGUUUAAAUGGUUUGGAAUGGUUAAAUGGUAAGGUCUUGGUGGUGAUGAUUAUAGUUAAUUAAACAUUCCUUGUGGGGUACGAGGAAAUCCCCAAAGUGGACCUAAUUAUAAACCACUUGUGGGGUACACGAGACUCCCCCGAGUCAACAUGAUAAUGAAACCUAUGGGUACAAAGAAAUACCUUAAUAUUUGAAAGGUUGGCUAAAGACAUUGCUUGCAAGCUAUAGUUGGUAUGAAGAUACCACUAUUUAUAUACUUAGUUAAUAACAAAUGGAAUGGUUGUCUUGGUUAUGUGGUAAUGGUUUUAAUUGGGUAAUAAUGGUGGGGUGUAAUUAUUAGCAAUGAAGGUGUUAGUCCAAUGGACGUACACUAGAAACUCAUGUUUUCCGCCAUGAGAAUUUGGUCAUGAUGACCAUAUGGGGUACAUGGCAAUCCCCUAAGUUACAUUUGUAUAUAUGCAUCAUAGAGCGCGAAGGAUACUUGGGAAUCCCCUACUCCUAUGGUAUCUUCGAUUCAUGUGGUUACACAAAUCGAGGCUCGAUCAGGGGGUAACACUUGACCCAUAUUUCCUGUGGGUGGUACUAGGAUGGUUAAGCUACACAUACCCAGGUUAAUGAUUUUAAAUGCAUGGUAAACCAAAUUUUCUUUCCUAACAUGAUUUUUAUAUAUAUACAUAUACAUAUAUAUCUACAUAUAUAGAUAGAUAGAUAGAUAGAUAGAUAUGGAUUUGUAUGCAUAUGGUUGGUUUACUAGGUUUUAAUGGUUUGCAUUAUUUUAUUCUUAUCUUGAGUACUUGUUAUUGUUUACCCGCUAACCCAUCUUCGGGCAUAUGUAUACUCACGCGAUUACUCCUACUUAGUGAUCAGAUUCAGGAUCAGCUAUGGGAUUAAAGUUGUGAGCUUCUAUAUUCUAGAAGCCUUUAUUUUAUAUCAUGGAUGUCUUUACAUACUUUUCGUCAUUUUAUGGAUAUUGGAUUUGGCUAUAGUUGGGGGCAUGUCCAAACCAAAUAUUGUUUUUCCUUUUAGUUAGUGUCUUUCUGGAACUACUAUGGGAUGGAAUGGGCAGUGUCUGUAUUUGUGUCCACCUUAAUUUUGGCAUUGGUAUUGGUUCUAACACCAUUUGACUGAAUUUAUGAUUGUUCCAUCCUUUUAUGUUAUGUUAUGAGCAGGAACUUAUUUUUUAUUUGUUUGGUUAUUGUUGUUGCUUUGUAUUAGAAGGUUGGACCUUUUUUUGUUUUUUCAUGGUUAUAGACCUAUCCCAGUGUCUUGAAUUGUAACAAAUGCUUCCUUGUUAUACUAUCGGAAUUCAUCCGACUCAAGGUAUAUGUAUUUUGACAUUACGUUGGGUAACAGGGGUAUUCUCCGAUCCUAGUUUGACUUGGGAUGUCCAUUAUGACAAGGCCUUGGUUUGGGUCAUGUAAAGUUGGUAUUAGAUCUUUAGGUUCAUAGUCAAUAGGUAAUCCACAAAAACAUGUCAAGUAGAGUCUCUUUUAAAGGUGUGUAGUGCGCCACACUUAUAAGGGAGAGGCUACAAGGCUUUAGGAAAUGUUUCUCUUCUUUGUGUUCUAUUUUCAAGCUUAGAUUCUAAGUUCUAGAAUCUUCUCUAAUUCUGUUGAAUCACUUCUCAAAUCAUUCCUUAAUGAUAUGAAGUUCACAAAAACUCCUCUAUCCCAACUAGGGAGAAUAUUGAUGGGACACGCUCUACUCAGGGGAUCCAUACUCGGUCUAGGUUCCUGUCCCUGAUAUUCUAGAGUUCUAAUGGUUCCUUCUAGUGUUCCUCAAGCUUAAGUAAUGAAUUUUAAGUUUUGUCAGUCAAUUCAUAUAAUUUCUCAGUUAGUAGUUUCUUAGUCUAAGCGCGGUGCAUAUAGUAUUGCAUUGUUUGAGGCCACAAGGGUUGGCCAAUUCAUGAAGAUGAGUUCUCUAACCUUUACUAGCAUUAAGGUAGAGUAUGAUCCUUAGGGUUUUUGGAUAAGAUGGAAAAGAUUUCUUAGAUUAUGCUGCCAUGAAUAUUGAAGGGCUUGAGUUUGCUUCUUAUUAGCUCAAAGAUAUAGCAUACCAAUGGUAUGAGAAAUAGGAUAGGGCAAGGGGUGAUGUUAUAAAAUCAUCCUUAUGGGAGACUUUCUCCAAUGUAUUUCUAAACUACUCUUUCCUCAAGAUCUGAGGGAAGCAAAAGUGGAGGAAUUUAUUAAUCUGAAAUAGGGAUAUUUAUCAAGGAGUAUGCCUUGAAAUUUUACCAGUUGUCAAGGUAUGCUCAAGAAAUAGUAACUGAUGAAAAUGCUUGGAUAAGAAAGUUUGCAUUGAGACUGUCUCAGGAUUUGAUCCUUGAAAUCAAGACUGCAUUACUGAUUGGGGACAUGGAUAUAUAUAGGUUAGUUGUUUAUAUUCAAUAGGUAGAUAAGAAAAGAAACAAGUUGAGAUAGGUGAAUGGAAAGGUAAGAGGUUUUUUUUAUCAAAGUAGUGGUCAAUAACAAAGUUUUCCUAAUGAUGGUAAGUGGCCAAAGAAGUAGGGGAAUUUUGAUUCCUUCUCCAUAUCUAGUACUCCUUACCUGAAUCAAUUGGGUGAUAGACAUAAUUAUGGUGGCAACAGCUUUAGGGAAUAGGGUUCCUAAUCUUAGGAAAGUAAGGCACAGACGGCUUUAUUGUGUCCUCUUAAAAGGUUCUACAGUCGGUUGAAUAGGGGUUACUAUGAUGAGAGAAGGGACAGGUGUUUUAAAUAUAGUUAGCCAUCCAUAUGCUUAGAAACUGUCUGGUUGGUAAGGUUUCUUUAGGAGCAAAUAAGGUUUCGGUUGCCUCUUCAUCUACUGCUACGCUGAAGGGUAUUAUUGCUUCUACAUCUAUUUCUGCUUUAGGUAUCAAUAUAGGUCGGAAUAGGUUUUAUGCUCUUGCUACUUGAUAGGAAUCUGAGGCGUCACUGAUGUCAUGGCUCGUACGUUACAACUUUUUUCUCAGGAUGUUUAUUAUUUACUUAAUCCACGAUUUACUCCCUCUUAUGUGACCCCAUUUGUUGUUGUGCAUUUUGAUUUUGAUCUCAAGGUUAUUUCAGAUAUUUUUUCUAUUUCUACCCGGAUAGUUGACUCUCUAGUUGCUCAAAGAGUCUAUACGAGGUAUGUGGUAUUUGUUGCUAGUAAGGAGACUUUGGUGGAUUUGUUUGAAUUAGAUAUGGUGGAUUUUAAUGUUAUCCUGGGUAUGGAUUAGUUACAUUCGUGCUAUACAUCACUAGAUUGUCAAACCUAUUGGGUUAUUUUUACAUUCCCUAGUGAACUAACUGGUUAUUGAAUGGAAGGGUGAUUCCUUAGCUCCUAAUGGGAAGUUUAUAUCCUAUCUUAGAGCCCAGAGAUUAAUCUCCAAGGGGUGUCUCUAUCAUCUAGUCUAGGUUAAAUAUUUUAACUGAAAAGGUCCUUCUUUGCAUUGGAUUUCGAUGGGGAAUGAGUUUCCUGAGGUUAUUCUAGGUGAUCUUCCUGAUGUUCCUCGAGAUAGGGAGAUUAAGUUUGGGAUAUAUUUGGCUUCGGACACACGUCCAAUAACUAUUCCUCUUUAUAGAAUGGCUCUGACUGAGUUGAGGCAACUUAAGGAGCAACAUAAGGAUAUCUUGGAUAAGGGUUUCAUCCAUCCUAGUGUGUCCCUUUGGGGUGCACCAACAUUAUUCAUGUGCAAGAAGGAUGGUUCCUUUUGGAUGUGUAUUGACUAUAGGCAGUUGAAUAUGGUGACGGUUAAGAACAAGUAUCCUCUCCCAAGGAUAAAUGACUUGUUUGAUCAGUGGCAAGGUGCAAAAUUCUUAUCCAAGAUAGAUCUUUGGUCUUAGUAUCAUCUGCUUAAUAUUAGGUAGGUGAAUAUCCAUAAGACAACUUUCCAUACUAGAUAUAGGAACUUUGAGUUCUUCGUGAUGUCAUUUGGUUUUGCCUAAUUUUGUGGUACCUAUAAUGGAUUUGAUGAAUAGGGUAUCCCAUAAGUUUCUGGAUUUUUUGUCAUUGGUUCACCGAUGAUAUCCUGAUAUAUUCUAAGAGCAAGGUGGAUCAUGCCAAUUACCUUCGUGUGGUGUUGCAGAUAUUGAAAGAGCAGCAGUUGUAUGGAAAUUAUGUAAAUGUGAAUUUUGGUUGAUCGUUGUUACUUUUCUUAAUUAUAUUAUUUCUAGUGGGGGAACAAUGGUGGAUCCACAAAAAGUGGUGGUGGUUAAGAAGUGUCCUAGACCCAUAACUUUAAACGAUAUUCGGAGCUUCACUGGGUAUUAUAGGAGGUUUAUGGAAAGUUUCUUGAUGAUAACUGCUUCAUUGACCAAGUUGACUCAUAAGAUGGUAAAGUUUUUUUGGUUGGAUGCCUCUGAAGGUAGUUUCGAAGAGAUGAAAGAGAAGAUAAAUUUGUCUCUAUUUUUGAAUUUGUCUGAGGGCAAUAAGGGGUUUGUCGUUUACUGCGAUGCAUCCUGGGUGGGACUUAGUUAUGUUUUAAUGCAGCAUGGUAAGGUGAUUGCUUAUACCUUUAGGCAGUUGAAAGUGCAUGACAAGAAUUAUCCUGCUCAUAAUUUAGAAUUGUUAGUUGUGAUUGUUGCAUUGAAGGUCUGGACACUAUUUGUAUGAAGUGCAUGUAGAUAUCUUCUUGGAUCAUAAAAGUUUGCAGUAUUUAUUUAUUCUGAAGGGGUUUAACCUCAGGCAGAGGAGAUGGCUUGAGCUUCUCAAGGACUAUGACAUGAGUCUUCACUACUAUCUAGGUUAGGAUAAUGUUAUUGCUAAUAUUCUUAGCAGGUUGUCCAUAAGGAGUUUAGCUUUUGUGGAAAAGGAGAAGCGGGAGUUGGUGAAUUGUAUUCAUCGCUUGGCUAAUCUUACAGUUUUUCUUUUGGACUCCAAGAAUGGUGGUAUAUUGGUACAGGAAGUGGUUCAGUCGGCUCUUGGUGCAGAGAUCAAAAAGUAAAUGCUAGAUCCUAUCUUGAUAAAAAAACAAGGGUGAUAUAGGUGGGCAAAUGUUAAUGGUAUUUGAGAUCAGUGGUGAUGGUACCUUGUUGUACCAAAGGUGAUGUCGAUGGUUUGGGACAAAGGAUAUUAUUUGGGGUGCAUGAAUUGCUCUACAUUGUUCAUCCUAAUUCAAUGAAAGUGUAUCAUAAUCUCAAGGAGAUGUACAAUGGUAUAAAAAAGGAUGUGGCUAAUUUUGUGGCCAAGUGUUUAGUGUGUUAAAAGGUGAAAGUUGAGCUCAUACGGCCUGGUUGAUUAUAUCAAGGAAUGGAUUUUUUGAAAUGGAAAUGGGAGGUGAUCAAUAUAGAUAUCGUUACCGGUUUUCCUCAGUUUCGAAAUCAAUUUGAUUCAAUUUGGGUAAUUGUAGAUAGGAUGACAAAUUCGUCUCUUUUUUCUAGUAAGGACUAACUUUUUGGUGAAGGAUUAUCUGAGGUUGUAUCUUCAUGAGAUUGUGAAGCUAUAAAGGGUACCUAUUUCUAUUAUCUUUGAUCGUGGUAUGCAAUUUUCAUCUCACUUUUGUCAGUCAUUUUAGAAGGGGUUGGGUACUAAGGUUAGUCUGAGUAUUGUUUAUCACCAGCAGAUAGAUGGGCAAGCAGAAAGGACUAUUCAUACAUUUAAAGAUAUGCUUCAUGCAUGUGUGAUUGAUUAUGGCGGUAAUUGUAUUGAAUGUCUACCUCAUGUAGAGUUUGCUUACAAUAAUAGGUAAUAUUUCUUUGAGGCAUUGCAUGGUAGGAGGUGUAGGUCUCCUAUUGGGUGGUUCGAGGUUGGUGAGGCGGCUAUGUUUGGUCCAAACUUGGUUCAUCAGGCUAUGGAAAAGUUGAAGGUGAUUCGAGAUUGGCUUAAGGUUGCUCAAAGUUGCCAAAAGACCUAUGUAGAUGUAAGGCAUAGAGACUUGGAGUUUGAGUCUGGGGAUACGGCGUUCCUAAAGGUGUCUCCCAUGAACGGAGUAAUGUGGUUUCAUAAGAAGGGGAAGCUCAGUCCCUGGUAUAUUGGUCCUUUUGUGGUUUUGAGCAGGGUUGGUAAUUUUUCUUAUGAAUUGUAAUUGCCUUCUAGUUUGAGCUCCAUUCAUUCGGUAUUUUAUGUCUCUAUGUUGACAAAGUUUUUUGGUGAUCCUUGUUUAGUUAUUCCUUUUGAAGGAUUAGGCAUUUAAGAUUCUCUGUCUUAUGAAAAGAUCUCGAUUGAGAUCUUAGAUUGGUAGAUUCAUCGAUUACGAACAAAGGAUGUUGCCUCGGUUAAUGUUGUAUGGCGGAUCUAUAAGGUGGAAGAGGCUAGUUGGGAAGCAAAAGAGGACACUUCAGUAUCUGCACUUGUUUUUUGCUUUGGAAGUUCGUCCAGAAGGUAUGUGUUGUUGAUCACAUCUUUUUUUCUAACUUAGCUAAAGGCUAGAUUGAUUUUUUAUAAUGCAAUGACUCAUGUUUUUGCUUACCCUACCCAUCAUUCGAGGACGAAUGAUCCUAGUGUGGGAGACUGAAACACCCCAAAUUUUUGGAACCUUAGAAAAUUUCCUAGAUUUCUAAUUUCUGGACAUCAUACGACUAGGGGGUACUAGUCGUAGAUGGGGUAUGGUUGGUAUGGUCUUGGUCGUAUGUUAACCAGUAUUAGUUGGUGGGUUGGAUUAGUUUCUAGUAUGGGUACGAAUUGGGUGGGUACGGGUCUUAUAAUGGGUGACAGUUCAUAGGUUUGGUUUUUCCAUCACUUAAUCUAAAACUUGUUAACUUAACAUUAAUCUGAGUACGAAUGGCACACUAUGAGCCGUAAGAUAGGGUAUGAGCCGCUCCAUUCACUUGCAUGGUAUAUAGUGUCUAAGUCCUCUUUGAUUUUUAUUCUGUGGUAGGUAUGGGUCAAGGUUAUAGGUCGUAUGAUUCAAUACGACUUGGCUUGGAUGUUCUUACGAUGGGCAGUAUUGGGGUCCAAGCAUAGGCCUAUGGUAUGAGUGAUGGGUACCACUCAUACGAUGGGGUACGACUGGUAUGGGGUCGUCAUACCCUCCAGUGGGAUUUUUAUACAUUUAAGUGGAGGUAAUCUGGACAUUUCCCAACUUAACCUCUUAAGGCCCCUCAACUUAUAACUCUCUUGGGACAUCAUUUAUAGUAAUAUUCUAAUCUUAAACACUUAAAAACUCUCUCAAAUUCUCUCUAAGCUCUUGGGUAAGGAAAGGCUAGAUAUUUCUCCCUCAUUGUUAGUUCCAACUAAAGGCAUAUUUUAUGAAUUGUUUUCAUAGCAUAAUUGUUGUAUGGUUUUAGGUUUUCAAUCAUAUAUUGGGGGUUUUGGUUAUGAAUUCUUGGUUAUGGUUUUCCCAUGUUUUAACUAUGGACUUACAUACUUUAAUGGAGGCUUGUACAAUUGGUUUCAUAGGAAUGGUUAAUUGGUAAUUGGUUUUUGUUUGGAAACACUAUGCUCCUACAUGUUUGAUAAAAUGCCUAUGAGAAUAUUUUUACUAUAUUGUUGGACUCUUAAUGGAACUAUUGCAUGAUAUAACUUGGUAAUGGAACCCUAAAUAGCAUAAAUGGUUUAAAUGGUUUGGAAUGGUUUAAUGGUAAGGUCUUGGUAGUAAUGGUUAUGGUUAAUUAAGCAUUCCUUGUGGGCCCUCCAAGUGAACCUUUUUAUAAAACACUUGUGGGGUACACGGGACUCCCUCCCAAGUCAACUUUAUAAUAAAACCUAAGGGUACAAGGGAAUCCCUUAAUCUUUGAAAGGUUGGCUAAGGACAUUGCUUGCAAGCUAUAGGCGGUAUGAUGAUACCACUAAUUAUAGACUUGGUUAAUAACAAAUUGAGUGGUAGUCUUAUUUAUGUGGUAAUGGUUUUAAUUGGGCAAUAAUGGCAAGGUGUGAUAGCUAACCGUGAAGGUGUAAGUCCAAUAGACAUACACUGGAAGCUUAUGUUUGUCGGUAUGAGGAUUUGGUCAUGAUGACCAUAUGGGGUACAUGGGAAUCCCCUAAGUUACACUUUUUUAUAUGUAUCAUGGAGAGCGAAUGGUACUUGGGAAUCCACUACUCCUAUGGUAUCUCCAGUUUGUGCGGCUACAUACAUCGGGGCCUGUUAGGGGUUACACUUGACCUAUAUAGCCCGUGGGUGGUACUAGGACGGUUAAGCUACACAUACCUAGGUUAAUGGUUUUAAAUGUAUGCUAAAAUUGGUUCCAUUUCCCGGCAUGUUUUAUAUACAUAUAUAUAUAUAUACAUACAUAUAUAUAUGUAUGUAUAUGUACGGAUUUGUAUGCAUAUGGUUGAUUUACUUGGUUUUAAAGGUUGUCAUGAUCUUAUCCUUAUCUUGAGUAAUUGUUAGUAUUUACUCGCUAACCCAUCUUUGUGUGGCUAUAUCCCCAUGCAAUGCAGAGACCGACCAUUCUACUACUCUUGCUUAGCGAUCAAACUCGGGAUCAGCUAUUGGAUUGAAGUGGUGAGCUUCCAUAUUUUGUAAGGCUCCAUUUCAUAUCAUGGUUGUCUUUACAUACUUCUGUCAUUUUAUGGAUAUUGGUUUUAGCUAUGGUUGGGGGCAUAUCCCAACCAAAUUUUAUUUUUUCCUUUUAUUAGUCUUUUUAGAAAUACUAUGGGUUAGAAUGGGCGGUGUCGGUAUUGGUGACAGCCUUACUAUUAGCAUUGGUAUUGGGGCUUAUACCAUCUGACUGAAUUUAUGAUUGUUCUAUCAUUUUGUAUUAUAAAAAUAAACUUGUUUUUGUAUUAUUUUGGUUAUGGUUGUUGGUUGGUAUUGGACGGUUGGACUUGUUUGGGUUAGUCACGGUUAUAGACCUAUUCCACAGUCUAGAAUUUUAAUAAAGGCUACCUUGUUAUACAGUCAGAAGUCAUCCAACUCAGGGUAUACGUAUUUUGAGGUUAGGUUGGGUAAUAGGGGUAGUCUCCAGUCCUGGUUGAACUUGGGAUGCCCAUUAUGAGAAGGCCCUGGUUUGGGUCAUGUUAAGGAUCCAACCUAUAACCCUAGUUUGAUGGGUAUCAGUACCUUACCAUAGGUACUUACACUGGCUGUGUGGAUCCACUAAAUUGGUGUCCCAAAGGACUAGGGUGUUAGUACACUACUGGCGGGUAACCCUUAAAAGAAUGUCAGUCCUCUACUGGUGGGUGACAUAUCAUAACCUAUGAUGGCUAUGUAGUUCUAGAACUUAGAUAUUUCUACUAAAGUUCUUAGUCCUCUACUGGCGGGUGAGCUUUUAUCCCUAGGUUCGCUUGAUGCUAAUCCUACUCCCAACUUAACUGUCACUAGUAUUGAUUACUGUUAACUAAACUCAUAACUAAUAGUGCUCAGCAUGAGCAUAACAGAACUGACUAUGAUAAUGGAAUUAAUGAUUUAACUAACUUAGUACUUGAAAAUCUGAAACAUGAGUAAACACAGAGGUAUUGGGUGUUCAUAACCCUCCCGUGUUAAAUGAUACUAAAAUACGAUUACACCACUUAAAAAUUUAUAGAAAGUUAUAAUUCAGAGACCAAAACAAAAAUACAUUUCAAAGAAUGACUGAGAUACAUGAAUUUGAAAUGGGGAGGUGUUAAACUUGGGAGGAUAACAAUAUAUUAUGGUUUCAUUCAUAACUUGAUAAUUUGACAUGGGGUCAAUUGAAUAUGACAUGGGUAAUUGCAAUUCAAAGUAUGAAAUAACCUAAUUUACACAGGAAAACACGUUGACAAGGCUUGAAUUCAAAUUACUAAGAAAAACAACAACAUGGAUUAAAUUCAUAUUUAAUCCUGAUAAAUUUCACAAAAGAGAAUGCGCAUUCAUUUGAUCCUGAUCCUUGUGGAUCGAAAGGUAGACUAGACUGGACCUGCACGGCCCUCCUAAUAAUAUCCAUAAAUGAGUUGUUUUUGGUAAUAGAUGAACAUUACCGCAUGUAAAUUCUGGUGCAUGAUAGACACCGGUACUCCAGUGCAUUUCUCCAUCUGAAUCAGAAUAAAUAUGUUUUCAAACCUUCUCUUUAAAAUUUAAAGUGGAUAUUCCUGCGCGAAUAUCAGUAAUUACUUGUUCUGAUUCUACAUAUUGAUCGUUUUGAACUAAAAGCAAACUUUUGGGUGGAAUAUUCACAUUAUGUAGAAUAUCUUCACUCUCAAUAGUUACAUACAAGUCUAUAGAACAUAGAAAGGCGGGAUGCCCAUGACGUGUACGUAUCGAAUGAACCAAAUCCUCAUUGAAUUUUAUUUUUCCAUUAGAUGGGGCUCGCACAUGUUCUACAGUACCCCCCGUGAAUACUCCUACAGUAUGAAAAGUUCUUAAUAUUAAUUGAGUACCAGGUUCUCCAAUCGAUUGACCUGUAAUAAUACCUACAGCUUCCCCCAACUCAACCAGGUCGCCAUGAGUAGGACUCCGGCCAUAACAUAAUCGACAAAUCCAAGAUGUACUCCUACAAGUAAAGGGAGUUCGAAUAGAGAUUGGUUGUGCCCGAAAGGUUAUGAAUUGAUUUACAAGUCCAAUGCCAAUGUCUUGGUUUCUAGUGGCAAUACAUCGUGAACCCAUGUAUAUAUCAUCUGCUAAUACACGGCCAAUUAAUGUUUGACUAAAAAUCCUUUCCGGCAUCAUCUCAUUCCAAGGACUCACAGAAAUACCCCGGGCGGUGCCACAAUCCAUUCAACGAACAACAAUGUGUUGAACUACUUCAACAAGUCUGCGAGUGAGAUAUCCAGUGUCUGAUGUUCGUACAGCAGUAUCCACAACUCCUUUACGGGCUCCGUAGCAAGAAAUGAUGUAUUCUGUUAAAGAGAGUCCUUCGCACAAAUUGUUUUGAAUAGGUAAAUCAAUCAUUUGUCUUUGAGGAUCUGACAUUAAUCCUCGCAUACCUACUAAUUGAUGUACCUAAGAUGCAUUUCCUCUAGCUCUCAAGAAAGACAUUAUAUGAACUGGAUUAAAAGGGUCAGUCAUCAUAAAUUUCGAAUUCAUUUCUUGUCGCAAAUAUUCACUUGUAGCAUACCAUAUUUCAAUGGAUUGACGUAAUUUUUCUACCGUGUGUACAUUCCCAUAAUGAUGGUGUUUUUUCAAAAUCAAGCUUUGUUGUUCAGCAUCUUGAGCGAGCCAUCCCUUAGAAGGUAUUGUUAAAAGGUCAUCAAUUCCUAAUGAAAUGGAUGUAGCAGUAGCUUGUUGGAACCCCAGAAUUUUUACUUGAUCUAGGAUAUGUGAUAUAUAUGCCAUUCCGAAGUGCUCUAUUAAUCUACUAAUAAGUCAUUUCAUGGAAGUUCCGUCUAUCGCUUUAUUGUGAAAGACCAGAUUGGGCCGUUCUGCCAUAGGUACCUCUAUAUUUCGCUGAGUAGGAUUCGACAAUGGGUUUGAGUCAGUGAUUGUAAAACUUCCUUUUAUCGAUCUUGAUUCACGUAUAAAUUCUGAAACUAUGUACCUAGCUGAACCGAAGAACCCCAAAGUCCCACGGUAUCAUAUAAUUACGUUAGGUACCAUAUGAAUAGGCUCGAGAAAACCCCUAUAUAGCUUCUUUGAUUUCUCGAUAAAGAGCAAUAUGACCAACAGUGGUUUGAAUGUAUAUAAAAAGGAUUUGUUUUUGUAGACUUCUUACUAUUAGAUAGUGUCCAUAAAUCUCAUAAAAGAACCUAAAGAUUCAUAGUGAACUUCGAUGGGAGUUUCUCUUGAAGCAAUAACGCGGUUAUCUAGUCACCACCGGAGCCACAAAGGACUAUCUAAAUUGAUUCGUUUCUGCCGAUAAGCCCAAAUUGCAUCAUAGGAAUUCAAAAAAAGGGGUUCUUUCGUAUACUUAUAGUAACUAUUGUCACUUCUUUUUUGAUUUUGAUAGUUUCUGCAAUUAUAUGGAUUAUAUCUAUUUACACAAAUACCUCGAUGAUUUCCGCUCGUUAAUACAUAGAGUCCAAUAAGCAUAUCUUGGAUUGGUACGAAAAUGGGAUCCCCAAUAGUCGGAGACAAAAGAUUCAUAUGAGAAAACAUGAGUAAACAGGCCUCUACUUGAGCCUCCAAGGAUAACGGUACAUGAACAGCCAUUUUAUCUCCAUCAAAAUCGGCAGUGAAUCCCUUGCAAACUAAUGGAUGUAAGCAAAUAGUGCGCCCCUCCACUAAAAUGGGCUGGAAUGCCUGUAUGCCUAAUCUAUGCAGAGUGGGUGAUCUAUUUAGCAAUACAGGAUGUCCUUGCAUAACUUCUUGAAGGAUUUCCCAUACAAUCGGCUCUUUUUCUCGAAUUUUACUCUUAGCAACUCCUAUGUUUAAAGCAAGAUGUUUUCUAAUUAGACCAUGAAUUACAAAUGUCUGGAAAAGUUCUAUUGCUAUUUCAUGAGGCAAUCCACAUCGAUGUAAUGAAAGUGAAGGACCCACGCCAAUGACAGAACGUCCUGAAUAAUUAACUCAUUUUCCAAGUAGAGUCUCACAAAAUCUUCCCUCUUUGCCUUCAAUUACAUCAGAAAAUGACUUGUAAACUUUAUUAUGACCAUCCCUCAUUGGUUGUGCUCGGAUUCCAUUAUCAAGAAGUGUAUCCACGGCUUCUUGUACUAAUUUCUCCUGACACAUUUCUAAUUCUCCUAGAGUAGAUCUACUUGUUGUUAAUAGAUUGGUAAGGGUAUUGUUCUGAUAGAUAACUCUUCUAUAGAGUUCAUUAAUAUCUGAGCUCAUUAGUUUACCCCCAUCUAUCUGAAUGAUCGAUCUCAACUCAGGAGGAAGAACUGGUAAUAGACACAAAACCAUCAAUUCUGGCUCUAUAUUUGUUCGAAUAAAAUGCUUAGCCAAUUCCACGCAUCUAACCAAAAAGUCCUUUCUUCUUUCAACCUUUCGAUCUUCCCAUUCAUUCCCUGUGUGCCAUUCUUCCCCCAAUUCUUCCCAUUCCACCAACGAAUUCUCUAUAUAAUUCAUAAAUCUAGAUCAACUAAUUGUUCUCAGAUAGCACCUACACCAGUAGAGAUUUGUCGAUUGUGAAAUGUAUCGAAACCCUGGGUAGUAAAAAAAUUGGGAUGCUGUAUUUCCAAAACCUGGUAAAGAGCCGCCCGAUUUGGAUUUGUACAUAUAGGACAAAUGCUCUCAUUACCAUUUCUUUUUGUAUUUCUUUUUUUUUUUCAAUUCAUUUUAUACAAGUAUUUAUUAGAGUUGAGAUAACUUUGCUUGACAAUUAGGAUCUCUUUACAAAUUACAAAAAAAAAAUAUGAAUAGCAAUCAUAGAUAUCUUACCAAUCCAAUUGGGUUUUUUCUAAACGGAGCCUGGAUACUUCAUUUUUUUAGUCCAACCAAGCCAACCAUAAAUUAUUCUAAUUGAUAAUAGUAAUAUGAAUCCUCUCAAAAAUGGAUCUAAUUGCACUUCACGCUCCAAAUUUUUGAUGAUUUAAUUUAUCAUUUUAUCAUUCUUGGGCGAAAUGGGGGAUAUCUCGAUCAGGGGAGAGAACGGGGAAAUACCAUAUAACCCAAUAUAUCUGAUAAGUCGCACUAUAUGUCAACCCAAAGUAGAUUUGCCUCUCCGAGACCUCGAAAGGGAACUUUCGGAACACCAAUAGGCAUUAAAUGAAAGAAAGAACUAAAUACUAUAUUUCACUUUGAGGUGGAAACGUAACAAUUUUUUUACUGUACUUAGAAUAUUCAUAUUAGUUCUUAUCGUAUUUAUUUUAUCCAUAGAUUCUAAAAAUUCAUAAAGAAAGACAGAAUGAAUAAACUCAAAUUAUUACGAAUAGGUCUUUCUAAUGAUAAAUAAGUAUGGACUCAUUCGCUCAUAGAAAAUGAGAUCAACUCCCCCAUUGCGUAUUAGUACUUAUCGAGUAUAGAAUAAAUCUGCUUCUCUUUGUUCCUACGAAUAGAAUUGUUCUAUUAUUACCACCAGAAUAGCACACCCUUGAUUCAAAAAUAAUCGACUGAACAAGAGUGGUCCAUAGGAUAGUCAUAUUAUAGUCUUUUCCAAUGCAAUAAAGUUAUGGAGUAUUUAUUUAUCUUUGAUAUAAGGGGUAUUUCCAUGGGUUUGCCUUGGUAUCGUGUUCAUACCGUUGUAUUGAAUGAUCCCGAUUAGUUGCUUUCUGUUCAUAUAAUAGAUACAGCUCUGGUUGCUGGUUAGGCCGGUUCGAUGGCUCUGUAUGAAUUAGCAUUUUUUAAUCCUUUUGAUCCUGUUCUUGAUCCAAUGUGGAGACAGGGUAUGUUCAUUAUACCCUUCAUGACUCAUUUAGGAAUAACCAAUUCAUGGGGCGGUUGGAGUAUCACAGGGGGGACUAUAAUGAAUUCGGGUAUUUGUAGUUAUGAAGGUGCAGCGGGAGCACAUAUUGUGUUUUCUGGCUUAUGCUUUUUGGCAUCUAUCUGGCAUUGGGUGUAUUGGGAUCUAGAAAUAUUUUGUGAUGAACACACAGGAAAACCCUCUUUGGAUUUGCCAAAGAUCUUUGGAAUUUAUUUAUUUCUCUCAGGGGUAGCUUGCUUUGGUUUUGGUGGAUUUCAUGUAACAGGCUUGUAUGGUCCCAGAAUAUGGGUGUUCGAUCCUUAUGGACUAACGGGAAAAGUAAAACCUAUAAAUCCAGCGUGGGGCAUGGAAAGUUUUGAUCCUUUUGUUCCAGGAGGAAUAGCCUCUCAUCAUAUUGCAGUAGGAACAUUGUGCAUAUUAGCGGGCCUAUUCCAUCUUAGCAUCCAUCCACCACAACGAGUAUACAAAGGAUUGCGUAUGGGAAAUAUUGAAACCAUCCUUUCCAGUAGUAUUGUUGCUAUCUUUUUGUAGCUUUUGUUGUUGUCGGAACUAUGUGGUAUGGUUCGGCAACUACCCCGAUUAAAUUAUUUAGGCCCACUCGUUAUCAAUGGGAUCAGGGGUACUUCCAGCAAGAAAUAUAUCAAAGAGUUAGUGCUGGGCUAGCAGAAAAUCAAAGUUUAUCAGAAGCCUGGCCUAAAAUUCCUGAAAAAAAAUUAGCUUUUUAUGAUUAUAUCGGCAAUAUUCCGGCAAAAGGAGGAUUAUUCAGAGCAGGUUCAAUGGAUAACAGGGAUGGAAUAACGAUUGGAUAGUUAGGACACCCUAUCUUUAGAGAUAAAGAAGGGCGUGAACUUUUUGUACGUCGUAUGCCUACUUUUUUUGAAACAUUUUUGGUCGUUUUAGUAGACGGCGAUGGAAUUGUUAGGGUUAAUGCUCCUUUUAGAAGGGCAGAAUCGAAGUAUAGUGUUGAACAAGUAGGUGUAACUAUUGAGUUCUACAGCGGUGAACUCAACGGCAUCAGUUAUAGUGAUCUUGGUACUGUGAAAAAAUAUGCUAAAUGUGCUCAAUUGGGUGAAAUUUCUGAAUUAGAUCGUGCUACUUUGAAAUCCGAUGGUGUUUUUCAUAGUAGUCCAAGGGUUCAUUUACUUUUGGGCAUGCUUUGUUUGCUUUGCACUUCUUCUUCGGACACAUUUGGCAUGGUGCUAGAACCUUGUUCAGACAUGUUUUUGCUGGUAUUGACCCAAAUUUAGAUGCUCAAGUUGAAUUUGGGGCAUUCCAAAAACUUGGAGAUCCAACUACAAAAAGACAGGCAGCCUGAUACAACAUUGCUUUGGUAUCUUUCUUUUUCCCUUAUUUUCUUUCUUUUACUUUUAUUGACAUAGGGUACCAGAGAAAUCUUUAUUUGAAUCAACUUCGUUUUUACUCUUGUUCGUUCUUUAUCUGGAAGAUGAUAAAAAAAAGAAAAUAAAAAGAAACAAACAGGUAUGAAAGCUAUAAUUGUAAACCACGAUCGAAUCUAUGGAAGCAUUGGUUUAUACAUUCCUCUUAGUCUCGACUCUAGGGAUAAUUUUUUUCGCUAUCUUUUUUCGAGAACCGCCUAAAGUUCCAACUAAAAAGAACUAAAAAGGGGAAUGAAUUUUUCAUUAUCUCAGUUGAAGUACUGACCCUCCCGAUAUCGGGAGGCUUAGUACUUCAACUAAUCUCCAUGUUCCUCGAAUGGAUCUCUUAGUUGUUGAGAAGGUUGCCCAAAAGCGGUAUAUAAGGCAUAUCCAGUAAAACUUACAAGUAAACUAGAUAUAAAGAUGGCGACUAGGGUUGCUGUUUCCAUUCUUAUCAUAUUUAUAUAAUUUCAAGACCCCAAUGGAUUAUGAUAGGAUCAUUUACUUACAACGGAAUGGUAUACAAAGUCAGCAGAUCUCAAUGAAUACUAUAGGAUUUAUGGCUACACAAACUGUUGAGAACAAUUCUAAAUCUGGUCCGAGACGAACUGUAGUAGGAGAUUUAUUAAAACCAUUGAAUUCGGAAUAUGGUAAAAUAGCUCCUGGGUGGGGAACUACUCCUUUGAUGGGUGUCGCAAUGGCCUUAUUUGCGGUAUUUCUAUCUAUUAUUUUGGAGAUUUAUAAUUCUUCCAUUUUAUUGGAUGGAAUUUCGAUGAAUUAGAUCUAUAAGAAUCGCAAAGUCCUUACUUUGGAGUCCAAAAUGAAUCAUUUAGAGCUCCGAUUUAUAGUACAUUCUAUUUUGUUUUGGUAGUUCGAUCGUGGAAUUUCUUUGUUUCUGCACUUUCGGAGUAUGAGUGUGUGACUUGUUAUAAUUGAUCCUAUUGAUAGUACAGAGAAUGAGUCUGUCAUCUUGAUAGAGAUGAUUCUACUUCGUCAGAUAUUUAUUCUAAUAUUUGGAACACGAAAUAGAUUAAGAAAUAUUUGAACUAUGAUUCAUACUUAAUAUUCAGACCCCGUGUCCGGGCUCCAAAAAAUUUUCAAACAAAGAAUUCGAAUUUCUAAAUCGAAAGAUUCUUUUCUUUCAACCCCUAAUUUAUAUUUUGACCAAAAGCAAAACCUUUCUUUGAAUUUUUAGUCAUUCUAUUUAUUCAGGGAAUAAGUGAUGAUCCGAGGAUUCUUACUCAGAGAAUCCUUGAUUUGAUUUAGGUUAGGUUUUUUUUAUUGAAUCAUCGUGGUUCUAGUAUGAAUCUGAGGUUUUAAUCGAUUCAUAGGGUCUUAACAAGAGAAUUCCUAUCAAUAAUAAAGAAAACAAAGAAUAAAAGACAUAUUCCACAAAAACAAAUUCUAGAAAGAAAUAGGGAAAAAGAGAAUUCAAGAGGCCCAUAAGUAUCAAAAUAAAGAUAAAGACGACUGCGCCAACUUGAUAUUUUGGUAUUAUCGCCACAAAGAAGAGCUUUCGGAUUUUCCAGAGAAGAUGGGAUCAGAACUUAAUAACUUUAAAACUUUCUAUUCCAUAUCCGUUACAACUAGUAUUUGGGAGG
Molecule: long non-coding RNA, 91925 nt
Filed under: Capsicum annuum
Lineage: Eukaryota; Viridiplantae; Streptophyta; Magnoliopsida; Solanales; Solanaceae
Description: long non-coding RNA (CANN_LNC019075)
Source: RNAcentral